GCCAACGUGUGCCGCCUCCCGCCACCGGAUGCCCCGGACCGCCCCGCAGCCGCUUGCCAGCCACCUCCAUAGUACUUGGCAACAAACCUAUACAUUCCCGAGCUGGCACACUCUCCAGCUCGCUCCUCGCCUCCUCCUCCUCCUCCUCCCCUGCUUCUGCUUCAGAGGGACACGACAACAACACGAGCCUAGAGCAGAGCAAGAGCCGAGAGCCACCCUCAGCGAAGAGGAGAGGUGUGCUUGGAUUGCCGCUCCAUUGCUGAAUAAUAUAUACUCUGCUAGUGGUAGUUUUUUAUUGAUUUUAGCCGGGAGGGGAUAAAAGAUGUCGUCGCUGGUGUCCGCGCCGUUCGCCACGGCCACCGGGGCGCAGAAGAAGGCGCGCGGGCCGCGGCCCGCGCCGCUGCACUCCUUCCUGCUCACCGGCCGGCGGGGGCGGCGCGCGACGAUACGGUGCGCCGUGGCCGGGAACGGGCUGUUCACGCAGACCAACCCGGACGUGCGCCGCGUGGUUCCCGCCGAGCGCGGCCUGCCGCGGGUCAAGGUGGUCUACGUCGUGCUGGAGGCGCAGUACCAGUCCUCCGUCACCGCCGCCGUGAUGCAGCUCAACGCCGACCCGCGCCGCGCCGCCGAGUUCGAGGUGGUGGGCUACCUGGUGGAGGAGCUGCGGGACGCGGACACGUACGCCGCCUUCUGCNNNNNNNNNNNNNNNNNNNNNNNNNNNNNNNNNNNNNNNNNNNNNNNNNNNNNNNNNNNNNNNNNNNNNNNNNNNNNNNNNNNNNNNNNNNNNNNNNNNNUGUUGGGGAACGUCGCAUGGGAAACAAAAAUUUUCCUACGCGCACGAAGACCUAUCAUGGUGAUGUCCAUCUACGAGAGGGGAUGAGUGAUCUACGUACCCUUGUAGACCGUACAGCAGAAGCUUUAGAGAACGCGGUUGAUGUAGUGGAACGUCCUCACGUCCCUCGAUCCGCCCCGCGAACAAUCCCGCGAUCAGUCCCACGAUCUAGUACCGAACGGACGGCACCUCCGCGUUCAGCACACGUACAGCUCGACGAUGAUCUCGGCCUUCUUGAUCCAGCAAGAGAGACGGAGAGGUAGAAGAGUUCUCCGGCAGCGUGACGGCGCUCCGGAGGUUGGUGAUGACCUCGUCUCAGCACGGCUCCGCCCGAGCUCCGCAGAAACACGAUCUAGAGGAAAAACCGUGGAGGUAUGUGGUCGGGCUGCCGUGGAAAAAUCGUCUCAAAUCAGCCCUACAACCUCCGUAUAUAUAGGUGGGAGGGAGGGGACCUUGCCUUGGGGCUCAAGGAGCCCCAAGGGGGUCGGCCGAGUCCAAGGGGGAGGACUCUCCCCCCCAAACCGAGUUGGACUAGGUUUGGUGGGAGGGAGUCCCCCUUCCUUCCCAUCUCCUCUUUUUUUUUCUUUCUCUCUUGAUUUUCUUCUCCUUGGCGCAUAGGGCACUUGUGGGUUGUCUCACCAGCCCACUAAGGGCUGGUGUGUCUCCCCCAAGUCCUAUGGGCUUCCCCGGGGUGGGUUGCCCCCCCCGGUGAACUCCCGGAACCCAUUCGUCAUUCCCGGUAACUCCGAAAACCUUCCGGUAAUCAAAUGAGGUCAUCCUAUAUAUCAAUCUUCGUUUCCGGACCAUUCCGGAAACCCUCGUAACGUCCGUGAUCUCAUCCGGGACUCCGAACAACAUUCGGUAACCAACCAUAUAACUCAAAUACGCAUAAAACAACGUCGAACCUUAAGUGUGCAGACCCUGCGGGUUCGAGAACUAUGUAGACAUGACCCGAGAGACUCCUCGGUCAAUAUCCAAUAGCGGGACUUGGAUGCCCAUAUUGGAUCCUACAUAUUCUACGAAGAUCUUAUCGUUUGAACCUCAGUGUCAAGGAUUCAUAUAAUCCCGUAUGUCAUUCCCUUUGUCCUUCGGUAUGUUACUUGCCCGAGAUUCGAUCGUCAGUAUCCGCAUACCUAUUUCAAUCUCGUUUAGCGGCAAGUCUCUUUACUCGUUCCGUAAUACAAGAUCCCGCAACGUACACUAAGUUACAUUGCUUGCAAGGCUUGUGUGUGAUGUUGUAUUACCGAGUGGGCCCCGAGAUACCUCUCCGUCACACGGAGUGACAAAUCCCAGUCUUGAUCCAUACUAACUCAACUAACACCUUCGGAGAUACCUGUAGAGCAUCUUUAUAGUCACCCAGUUACGUUGCGAUGUUUGAUACACACAAAGCAUUCCUCCGGUGUCAGUGAGUUAUAUGAUCUCAUGGUCAUAGGAAUAAAUACUUGACACGCAGAAAACAGUAGCAACAAAAUGACACGAUAAACAUGCUACAUCUAUUAGUUUGGGUCUAGUCCAUCACGUGAUUCUCCUAAUGACGUGAUCCAGUUAUCAAGCAACAACACCUUGUUCAUAAUCAGAAGACACUGACUAUCUUCGAUCAACUGGCUAGCCAACUAGAGGCUUGCUAGGGACGUUGUUUUGUCUAUAUAUCCACACAUGUAAACGAGUCUUCAUUCAAUACAAUUAUAGCAUGGAUAAUAAACGAUUAUAUUGAUACAUGAAUUAUAACAAUAACUAUAUUUAUUAUUGCCUCUAGGGCAUAAUUCCAACAACUGUUGGGGAACGUCGCAUGGGAAACAAAAAUUUUCCUACGCGCACGAAGACCUAUCAUGGUGAUGUCCAUCUACGAGAGGGGAUGAGUGACCUACGUACCCUUGUAGACCGUAUAGCAGAAGCGUUGGAGAACACGGUUGAUGUAGUGGAACGUCCUCACGUCCCUCGAUCCGCCCCGUGAACAAUCUCGCGAUCAGUCCCACGAUCUAGUACCGAACAGACGGCACCUCCGCGUUCAGCACACGUACAGCUCGACGAUGAUCUCGGCCUUCUUGAUCCAGCAAGAGAGACGGAGAGGUAGAAGAGUUCUCCGGCAGCGUGACGGUGCUCCUGCAGGUUGGUGAUGACCUUGUCUUAGCAGGGCUCCGCCCGAAAUCCGCAGAAACGCGAUCUAGAGGAAAACCGUGGAGGUAUGUGGUCGGGCUGCCGUGGAAAAGUCGUCUCAAAUCAGCCCUAAAACCUCCGUAUAUAUAGGUGGGACGGCGGGGACCUUGCCUUGGGGCUCAAGGAGCCCCAAGGGGGUCGGCCGAGUCCAAGGGGGAGGACUCUCCCCCCCCAAACCGAGUUGGACUAGGUUUGGUGGGAGGGAGUCCCCCUUCCUUCCCACCUCCUCCUUUUUUUUCUCUCUCUUGAUUUUCUUCUCCUUGGCGCAUAGGGCACUUGUGGGCUGUCCCACCCGCCCACUAAGGGCUGGUGUGUCUCCCCAAAGGCCUAUGGGCUUCCCCGGGGUGGGUUGCCCCCCGGUGAACUCCCGGAACCCAUUCGUCAUUCCCGAUAACUCCGAAAACCUUCCGGUAAUCAAAUGAGGUCAUCCUAUAUAUCAAUCUUCAUUUCCGGACCAUUCCGGAAACCCCCGUAACGUCCGUGAUCUCAUCCGGGACUCCGAACAACAUUCGGUAACCAACCAUAUAACUCAAAUACGCAUAAAACAAUGUCGAACCUUAAGUGCGCAGACCCUGCGGGUUCGAGAACUAUGUAGACAUGACCCGAGAGACUCCUCGGUCAAUAUCCAAUAGCGGGACCUGGAUGCUCAUAUUGGAUCCUACAUAUUCUACGAAGAUCUUAUCGUUUGAACCUCAGUGUCAAGGAUUCAUAUAAUCCUGUAUGUCAUUCCCUUUGUCCUUCGGUAUGUUACUUGCCCGAGAUUCGAUCGUCAGUAUCCGCAUACCUAUUUCAAUCUCGUUUACCGGCAAGUCUCUUUACUCGUUCCGUAAUACAAGAUCCCGCAACUUACACUAAGUUACAUUGCUUGCAAGGCUUGUGUGUGAUGUUGUAUUACCGAGUGGGCCCCGAGAUACCUCUCCGUCACACGGAGUGACAACGGAGUGACAAAUCCCAGUCUUGAUCCAUACUAACUCAACUAACACCUUCGGAGAUACCUGUAGAGCAUCUUUAUAGUCACCCAGUUACGUUGCGACGUUUGAUACACACAAAGCAUUCCUCCGGUGUCAGUGAGUUAUAUGAUCUCAUGGUCAUAGGAAUAAAUACUUGACACGCAGANNNNNNNNNNNNNNNNNNNNNNNNNNNNNNNNNNNNNNNNNNNNNNNNNNNNNNNNNNNNNNNNNNNNNNNNNNNNNNNNNNNNNNNNNNNNNNNNNNNNUAUAGGGCGAAUUCUUCUUGCUACUUCUCUUGUUUGCGUCGGUUUUUCCCUUGAAGAGGAAAGGGUGAUGUAGCACAGGAGCAGUAAGUAUUUCCCUCAGUUUGAGAAACAAGGUAUCAAUCCAGAAGGAGGGUCUCGUCAAGUCCAGAGUACCUGCGCAAACACAAACAAGCUUGCACCCAACGCUUCAAAGGGGUUGUCAAUCCCUUCAAGAUUGUUUGCAAAGUGAGAUCUGAAGGCCGAAAGUGCAAUGAAGUAAAAAGUGUAAGGCUGAAAAUAUGGUGUGGAGUAGACCCUGGGGGCCAUAGUGUUCACUAGGGGCUUCUCUCAUAAUAGAAAAUAUCACGGUGGGUGAACAAAUUACUGUCGAGCAAUUGAUAGAACCGCGCAAAGUCAUGAUGAUAUCUAAGGCAAUGAUCAUACAUAUAGGCAUCAUGUUCGAGACAAGUAGACCGAUACUUUGUGCAUCUACUACUAUUACUCCACACACCGACCGCUAUCCAGCAUGCAUCUAGUGUACUGAGUUCAUGACGAACAAAAUAACGCCUUAAGCAAGAUGACAUGAUGUAGAGGGAUAAUUUCAAACCAAUGAUGAAAACCCCAUCUUUUUACCCGUGAUGGCAACAACACUAUGCGUGCCUCGCUACCCCUUCUGUCACUGGGUGAGGUCACCGCACGGUAUGAACCCAAAAACAAGCACUUCUCCCAUUGCAAGAAUCAUAGAUCUAGUUGGCCAGACAAAACCCACAACUCGAUGAGAAUUACAAGGAUAUGAAAUCAUGCAUAAGAGAGAUCAGAAGAAACUCAAAUAAAAUUCAUAGAUAAUCUGAUCAUAAAUCCACAAUUCAUCGGAUCUAGACAAACACACCGCAAAAGAAGAUUACAUCGGAUAGAUCUCCAUGAAGAUCAUGGAGAACUUUGUAUUGAAGAUCCAAGAGAGAGAAGAAACCAUCUAGCUACUAACUAUGGACCCAUAGGUCUAUGGUGAACUACUCACGUAUCAUCGGAGAGGUCAUGGUGUUGAUGAAGAAGCCCUCCGUAUCCGAAUCCCCCCUCCGGAAGGGCAGCAGAAUGUGCCCCAAAUGGGAUCUUGCGGAGAGAGAAGCUUGCGGCGGCGGAAAAGUACUUUCGAUGAUCUCAUGAUUUUUUAUGGAAUUUUUGGGAAUAUAUAGGCGUGAAACCAAGGGCAAACAAGCAUCAGGGAGCCCACAAGCCAGGGGGGCACGCCAUGAGGGCUUGUGGGGUCCCUGGUGGGUCCCUACCCUGAUUCUCCGGCUUUCCGAUCUUUUUCUGUUCCGGAAAAAAUCUUUUUGGCAGUUUUAUUCCGUUUGGACUCCGUUCAAAAUCCUCCUCUGAAAGGGGUCAAAAACAUGGAAAAAACAGGAACUCGCACUUGGCACUGAGUUAAUAAGUUAGUCCCAAAAAAUAUAUAAAAGGCAUACAAAACAUCCAAAGUUUGACAAGAUAAUAGCAUGAAACCAUAAAAAAUUAUAGAUAAGUUGGGGUCGUAUCAAGCAUCCCCAAGCUUAACUCCUGCUCGUCCUCGAGUAGGAAGUGAUAAAAAUGAAUUUUUUAUGUGGAAUGCUACCUAGCAUAGUUGUCCUUUGCAACUUCUUUCACGUGACAUGAAUGUUCAGAUCCGUAAGAUUAAAAACAAUAGUUUGCUAUUGACAUGAAUACAAUAAUACUUCAAGCAAACUAGCAAGGUAAUCAUGAACUUUCAAAAUAACAAGGCCAAGGAAAGUUAUCCCUACAAAAUCAUAUAGUCUGGCUAUGCUCCAUCAUCCUCACACAACUAAUGUAAAUCAUGCACAACCCCUGUAUUGGCCAAGUAAUUGUUUUCACACUCUUACUUUCUCAAACUUUUUAUAACUGUCACGCAAUACAUGAGGGUGAGCCAUGGAUAUAGCACUAUAGGUGGAAUAGAGUGUGGUGGUGGUUGUGAGACAAAAAGGAGGAGAUGGUCACAUUGACUCGGUGUAUCAAAUGGCUAUGGAGAUGCCCAUUAAUAGAUAUCAAUGUGAAUGAGUCGGGAUUGCCAUACAAGGGAUGCACUAGAGCUAUAAGUAUGUGAAAGCUCAAAAGGAGAACUAGUGGGUGUGUAUCCAACUUGCUUGCUCACGAAGACCUAGGGCAAUUUUGAGGAAGCCCAUCAUUGGAAUAUACAAGACAAGUUAUAUAAUGAAGAUUCUCACUAGCAUAUGAUAGUUACAAAGCAAAAAUCUCUCAAUCAUGAAGAACAUGGUGCUAUUAUGAAGCACAAGUGUGGAAAAGGAUAGUAGCAUUGUCCCUUCUCUCUUUUUCUCUUUUUUUUAUUUGGGAUCUUAGGCCUCUCAUUUUUUUCUCCUUCUUUUAUUUUUGGGAUCUUUGGCCUCUUUUUUUAUUUCCUCACAUGGGACAAUGCUCUAAUAAUGAUGAUCAUCACACUUUUGUUUACUCAUGGCUCAAAGCUUAGAAAUGACUCUAUAGGAAAUGCCUCCGGAAGUAUAACGGGAUGUGCAACGAUCUAGCUUGGCGUAUGACGUUGAAACAUCUCGCUAGCUAUAUUACGAUCAUGCAAUGGGAAUAUGAUAAUGACGGCACAAGUCAUGAGACAGAAUGGUGGGAGUUGCAUGGCAAUAUAUUUCGGAAUGGCUAUGAAAAUGCCAUAGUAGGUAGGUAUGGUGGUUGUUUUGAGGAAGACAUAUGGUGGGUUUGUGUACCGGCGAAAGCUGCGCGGCACUAGAGAGGCUAGCAAUGGUGGAAGGUGAAAGUGCAUCUAUACCAUGGACUCGCAUUAGUCAUGAAGAACUCACAUACUUGUUGCAAAAGUUUUUAUUAGUAAUCGAAACAAAGUGCUAAACGCAUACUCCUAGGGGAAGGGUUGGUAGGUGUUAACCAUCGCGCGAUCCCGACCUCAACACAAAGGAUGACAAUCAAUAGAUAAAUUAUGCUCCGACUUCCUAACAUAGCGGUUCACCAUACGUGCAUGCUACGGGAAUCACUAACUUCAACACAAGUAUUUCUAGAUUCACAACGGCCUACUAACAUAACUCUUAAUAUUACCGAAUCCAAGUCUCAAAAUUAAUUGAGAGGAAUCAAUACUUCUAUUUCUACUCAGUGCAUAUGAAGAUGGAGGUUUCUGUAUCCUCUUUGGGUACCUAUCAACUUUGGGACUACUUUCAUAGCAUAAGCCAACUACCAAGUCACGCACCACCGUGCUCUAAAAGAUAUAAAUGAAGCACAUAGAGGAAAAUUAUCUAGCUCAAAAGAUAUAAGUGAAGCACUGAUACAUCCAUUUUGCAUCAUGCUUUCAUGUUGAUAUUUAUUGCUUUAUGGGCUGUUAUAUUACUUUGUGGUACCAUAUUUAUGCCUUUUCUCUCUUAUUUUGCAAGGUUUAUUUGAACAGGGAGAAUUCAGGCAGAUGGAAUUAUGGACUUGAAAAGGAGCAAAUCUUAGUCCACUAUUCUGCACAUCUCCAAAUGCCCUGAAAAGUUACGUGGAAUUUUUUGGGAUUAUAUAAAAAAUACUGGGCGAAAGAAGUGCCGGAGGGGGGCCACCAGGGCGCCACAAGCCCUGCCACCGCCACCCCUUGGUGGCGGAGGGCAAGCUUGUGGGCUCCCUAACGGCACACUAGCUCCCCUCUUUUGCUAUGUGAAGGGUUUCGUUCCAGAAAAAAAUCAAUCGGGAGCUUUUUCGUGGUUUCGCCGCCGCCACGAGGCAGAACUUGAGGAGAUCCAAUCUAGAGCUCCGACAGGACGAUCCUGUCGGGGAAACUUCUCUCCCGGAGAGGGAAAUCGUCGCCAUCGGCAUCACCAACCCGCCUCUCGUCGGAGGGGAGGCAUCUUCAUCAACAUCUUCAUCAGCACCAUCUCCUCUCCAAUCCCUAGUUCAUGUCUUGUAACCAAUCCUCGUCUCGCGACUUUGAUUGGUACUUGUAAGGUUACUAGUAGUGUUGAUUACUCUUUGUAGUUGAUGCUAGUUGGAUUACUUGGUGGAAGAGUUUAUGUUCAGAUCCUUGAUGCUAUUCAUUACACCUCUGAUCAUGAUUAUGAUUAUGCUUUGUGAGUAGUAACUUUUGUUCCUGAGGACAUGGGAUAAGUCAUGCUGAUAAUAGUCAUGUGAAUUUGAUAUUCGUUCGGUAUCUUGAUAUGUUGUAUGUUGUCUUUUUUCUCUAGUGGUGUUAUGUGAAUGUCGACUACAUAACACUUCACCAUAUUUGGGCCUAGAGGAAGGCAUUGGGGAGUAGUAAGUAGACGAUGGGUUGCUGGAGUGACAGAAGCUUAAACCCCAGUCUAUGCGUUGCUUCGUGAGGGGCUGAUUUGGAUCCACUAGUUUAAUGCUAUGGUUAGACGUUGUCUUAAUUCUUCUUUUGUAGUUGUGGAUGCUUGCGAGAGAGGUUAAUCAUAAGUGGGAUGAUUGUCCAAGUAAGGGCAGUACCCAAGCGCCGGUCCAUCCACAUAUCAAACUAUCAAAGUAACGAACAUGAAUCAUAUGAACAUGAUGAAACUAGCAUGACAGAAAUUCCCGUGUGUCCUCGGGAGCGUUUUUCCUCCUAUAAGACUUUGUUCAGGCUUGUCCCUUGCUACAAAAGGGAUUGGGCCACUUGCUGCACCGUUGCUACUACUUGUUACUUGUUACGUUUCACCUGCUACACCAUCACUUGUUACCGCUACUUUUAGUGCUUGCAGUUAUUACCUUGCUGAAAUCCGUUUAACAGAGCCUUCUGCUCCUCGUUGGGUUCGACACUCUUACUUAUCGAAAGGACUACGAUUGAUCCCCUAUACUUGUGGAUCCGCAAGCUUAGGCUUUUUCGUGUCCUUGAAUUUGGCUUGGGAUGCCUUGGGCAUCCCCAAGCUUGAUCUCUUUCCACUCCUUAUCUCUUUGUCCAUGAGAACAUCACCCAAAACUUGAAAACUUCACAACACAAAACUUAAACAGAAACUUGUGAUAACAUUAGCACAAGAAAACAAACUACCACCUCUUUUGGUACUGUAGCAAACUUGAAUUCUAUCUAUAUUGGUGUUGGGCUACUGUAUACUCACUUUUCCAUGGCUAAUACCCCCCGAUACUAACCAUAGUUUCAUCAAAACAAGCGACCAACUCAACAAAAACAGAAUCUGUCAAAAACAGACCAGUCUGUAGCAAUCUGUAUACUUCGUAUACUUAUGGUACCUCAAAAAUUCUGAAACUUUACGACUAACUGUGAAAAAGGCAUAUGAACCAGCAUAAAAAAGAAUCACCUCAAAAGCUCUUUCUGAAUAAAAAUGAAGAAACAUCUCAUGAGCGAACAUUUUCUGUCUUUUUCCAGCAGGAUGAAACAACCAUUACCAAGACUAUCAUAAAGGUUUUGCUUCGCUCAAACACAAAAAACACAACGACAACAGAAUUGUGAAAGUGUGGAUGCAACAAAACAUAAAGAAAAAGAUAAAUUCAUUGGGUUUCCUCCCAACAUGCGCUAUUGUUUAACGCCCUUAGUUAGGCAUAAAAGCGAUAGAAUCACGUAUCGUCGUCUUUGGUGCUCAAACCAUAAGUGGCCCUCAUCAUGGAUUCAUAAGGCAAUCUUAUUUUUUUCUAGGAAAGUGUUCCAUGCCCUUCCUUAAAGUAAAUUGAAAUCUAAUGUUCCCUUCCUUCAUAUCGAUGAUAGCACCAAUAGUCCUUAGGAAAGGUCUACCAAGAAUAAUAGGGCAUGUAGGAUUGCAAUCAAUGUCAAGCACAAUGAAAUCCAUGGGUACAUAGUUCCUAUUUUCAAUAAUAAGAGCAUCAUUGAUCCUUCCCAUGGGAUUCUUGACAGUAGAAUCCGCAAGAUGCAAAUUAAGAGAACACUCUUCAAUCUCAUUAAAACCCAAAACAUCACAUAAAGACUUUGGAAUCGCGGAAACACUAGCACCCAAAUCACACAAAGCAUUGCAUUCAUAGUUUUUGAUUUUGAUUUUGAUAGUAGGUUCCCACUCGUCAUGAAGCUUUAUAGGGAUAGAGACUUCCAAUUCAAGUUUCUCUUCAAGAGAUUUUAUCAUGGCUUCGACGAUAUGAUCGGUAAAGGCCUUGUUUUGGAUAUAAGCGUGUGGAGAGUUUAACAUGGAUUGCAUCAAGGAAAUGCAUUCAAUCAAGGAGCAAAUAUCAUAAUUGAAUUCCUUGAAAUCCAUGGUAGUAAUUUCAUUACUACUCCAAGUUUUAAUAUCUUCUACUCCACUUUCAAUGCUUUUAGCAUCAAGAUAGAUGGACUCCGAAUCAUUGGGGCACUUUUCAACCAAACUGGAUUCAUAUCCAGUCCCAUAAUCAUUAGGUUUUUCACAAGAAAACAAAGAUUCAAGGGGAGUCACACCAAGCACUUUAAGAUCUUCGUGACUCUUAUCACGAGAACACGCCUUUUUAAGCCAUUCAUGUCUAGCAUGAAUUUGGGCGGUUCUUUCUUUGCUCUCAAUCAUGGAAACAUGCAUAGCUUUCAAAGUGUCAUCCAUAAUGAUCUUGGGAGGAGCACAUCUAACUUUCAAAGCAUCAAUAUCACUAGACAUUCUAUCCACGCUCUUAGCCAAAUCGUCAAUUUUGAGUAGUUUUUCCUCUAUGGACGCAUUGAAUUUUUUUUGUGAGUUGAUAAACUCUUUGAUAUUACUCUCUAGAUCAGAGGGUAAUCUAUUGUAAUUUCCAUGAGUAUUGUUGUAGGAGUUGCCAAAUUUGUUAGAGGAGUUACUAGGAAAAGGCCUUGGAACAUAGUUUCCUCUAAAAGCAUUAUUGUUGCCAAAAUUAUUCCUACCAACAAAAUUAACAUCCAAGCUAGCGUUGCUACUCUCAAUCAAACAAGACAAAGGCAUAUCAUUGGUAUCUAAAGGAGCACUUCUACAAGCAACCAAAUUCAUUAACUCAUCCAACUUAGCACUCAACGAGUUAAUUUCUUCUAUAGCGUGUACCUUCUUACUAGUAGGUGACUCAUACGUCCAUUUUGCAUCAUGUUUUCAUGUUGAUAUUUAUCUCUUUAUGGAUUGUUAUUAUACUUUGUGGAACCAUACUUAUGCCUUUUCUCUCUUAUUUUGCAAGGUUUAUUUGAAGAGGGAGAAUACCGGCAGCUGGAAUUCUGGACUGGAAAAGGAGCAAGUCUGAGUCCUUUAUUCUGCGCAACUCCAAAUGCCCUAAAAAUCAACGUGGAUUUUUUUGGGAAUAUAUAAAAAAUACUGGGCGAAAGAAGUGUCAGAGGGGAGCAUCUAGGGGGCCACAAGCCUGGUUGCCGUGGCCUACCCCCCUGGCCGCCGCAACAGGGCUUGUAGGCACCCUGGUAGCCCACUGGCCCCCCUCUUUUGCUAUAUGAAGGGUUUCGUCCGAGAAAAAAUCAAGGCGGAGCUUUUUCGUGGAUUCGCCGCCGUCACGAGGCGGAACUUGACCAGAUCCAAUCUAGGGCUCCGGCAGGACGAUCCUGCCGGGGAAACUUCCCUCCCGGAGGGGGAAAUCAUCGCCAUCGUCAUCACCAACACUCCUCUCGUCGGAGGGGGGUCAUCUCCAUAAACAUCUUCAUCAGCACCAUCUCCUCUCCAAUCCCUAGUUCAUCUCUUGUAACCAAUCUCCUGUUGGGGAACGGCGCAUGGGAAACAAAAAAAUUUCCUACGCGCACGAAGACCUAUCAUGGUGAUGUCCAUCUACGAGAGGGGAUGAGUGAUCUACGUACCCUUGUAGACCGUAUAGCAGAAGCGUUAGAGAACGCAGUUGAUGUAGUGGAACGUCCUCACGUCCCUCGAUCUGCCCCCCGAACAAUCCCGCGAUCAGUCCCAUGAUCUAGUACCGAACGGACGACACCUCCGCGUUCAGCACACGUACAGCUCGACGAUGAUCUCGGCCUUCUUGAUCCAGCAAGAGAGACGGAGAGGUAGAAGAGUUCUCCGGCAGCGUGACGGCGCUCCGGAGGUUGGUGAUGACCUUGUCUCAGCAGGGCUCCGCCCGAGCUCCGCAGAAACGCGAUCUAGAGGAAAAACCGUGGAGGUAUGUGGUCGGGCUGCCGUGGAGAAGUCGUCUCAAAUCAGCCCUAAAACCUCCGUAUAUAUAGGUGGGAGGGAGGGGACCUUGCCUUGGGGCUCAAGGAUCCCCAAGGGGGUUGGCCGAGUCCAAGGGGGGAGGACUCCCCCCAAACCGAGUUGGACUUGGUUUGGUGGGAGGGAGUCCCCCUUCCUUCCCACCUCCUCCCUUUUUUUUCUUUCCUCUUGACUUUCUUCUCCUUGGCGCAUAGAGCCCUUUUGGGCUGUCCCACCAGCCCACUAAGGGCUGGUGUGCCACCCUCAAGGCCUAUGGGCUUCCCCGGGGUGGGUUGCCCCCCCGGUGAACUCCCGGAACCCAUUCGUCAUUCCCGGUACAUUCCCGGUAACUCCGAAAACCUUCCGGUAAUCAAAUGAGGUCAUCCUAUAUAUCAAUCUUCGUUUCCGGACUAUUCCGGAAACCCUCGUGACGUCCGUGAUCUCAUCCGGGACUCCGAACAACAUUCGGUAACCAACCAUAUAACUCAAAUACGCAUAAAACAACGUCGAACCUUAAGUGUGCAGACCCUGCGGGUUCGAGAACUAUGUAGACAUGACCCGAGAGACUCCUCGGUCAAUAUCCAAUAGCGGGACCUGGAUGCCCAUAUUGGAUCCUACAUAUUCUACGAAGAUCUUAUCGUUUGAACCUCAGUGCCAAGGAUUCAUAUAAUCCCGUAUGUCAUUCCCUUUGUCCUUCGGUAUGUUACUUGCCCGAGAUUCGAUCGUCAGUAUCCGCAUACCUAUUUCAAUCUCGUUUACCGGCAAGUCUCUUUACUCGUUCCGUAAUACAAGAUCCCGUAACUUACACUAAGUCACAUUGCUUGCAAGGCUUGUGUGUGAUGUUGUAUUACCGAGUGGGCCCCGAGAUACCUCUCCGUCACACGGAGUGACAAAUCCCAGUCUUGAUCCAUACUAACUCAACUAACACCUUCGGAGAUACCUGUAGAGCAUCUUUAUAGUCACCCAGUUACGUUGCGACGUUUGAUACACACAAAGCAUUCCUCCGGUGUCAGUGAGUUAUAUGAUCUCAUGGUCAUAGGAAUAAAUACUUGACACGCAGAAAACAGUAGCAACAAAAUGACACGAUCAACAUGCUACGUCUAUUAGUUUGGGUCUAGUCCAUCACGUGAUUCUCCUAAUGACGUGAUCCCGUUAUCAAGUGACAACACUUGCCUAUGGCCAGGAAACCUUGACCAUCUUUGAUCAACGAGCUAGUCAACUAGAGGCUUACUAGGGACAGUGUUUUGUCUAUGUAUCCACACAAGUAUUGUGUUUCCAAUCAAUACAAUUAUAGCAUGGAUAAUAAAUGAUUAUCAUGAACUAAGAAAUAUAAUAAUAACUAAUUUAUUAUUGCCUCUAGGGCAUAUUUCCAACAGUCUCCCACUUGCACUAGAGUCAAUAAUCUAGUUCACAUCACCAUGUGAUUCCAACGAAUCCAACACCCAUAUAGUUAUGGGGUCUGAUCACGUCUUGCUCGUGAGAGAGGUUUUAGUCAACGGUUCUGAAACUUUCAGAUCCGUGCGUUCUUUACUAAUAUUUAUGUCAUCUUAUAGAUGCUGCUACUACGUGCUAUUCGGAAAUGCUCCAAAUAUCUACUCUACUAUACGAAUCCGUUUCACUACUCAUAGUUAUUCGGAUUAGUGUCAAAGCUUGCAUCGACGUAACCCUUUACGACGAACUCUUUAACCACCUCCAUAAUCGAGAAAAAUUCCUUAGUCUAUUUAGUUACUAAGGAUAACCUUGACCGCUGAUCAGUGAUUCAAUCCUGGAUCACUCUGUGUACCUCUUAAUAGACUUGCUGUAAGGCACACAUCAGGUGCGGUACUCAGCAUGGCAUACUUUAGAUUCUACGGCUAAGGCAUAGAAGACGACCUUCGUCUAUUCUCUUUAUUCUGCCGUGGUCGGGUUUUGAGUCUUACUCAAAUUCACACCUUACAACGCAACCAAGAACUCCUUCUUUACUGAUCUAUUUUGAACUCCUUCGAAAACUUGUCAAGGCAUGCAUCUUGUUGAAACUUCUAUUAAGCGCUUUCGAUCUAUCUCCAUAGAUCUUUGAUGCUCAACGUUCAAGUAGCGCAAUCUAGGUAUUUCUUUGAAAAACUCCUUUCAAACAACCUUGUAUGCUUUACAGAAAUUCUACAUUACUUCUGAUCCACAAUAUGUCAACCACAUAUACUUAUCAGAAAUUCUAUAGUGCUCCCACUCACUUCUUUGGAAAUACAAGUUUCUCAUAAACCUUGUACAAACCCAAAAUCUUUGAUCAUCUCAUCAAAGUAUAUAUAUUCCAACUCCGAGAUGCUUGCACCAGUCCAUUGAAGGAUCGCUGGAGCUUGCAUACUUGCUAGUAUCUUUAGGAUCGACAAAACCUCCUGGUUGUAUCACAUACAAUGUUUGCUCAAGGAAACCGUCGAGGAAACAAUGUUUUGACAUCCUACGUGCAAUAUUUCAUAAAUAAUGCAUCAACAACUAACAUAAUUCUAACAGACCUUUAGCAUCGCUACGAGUGAGAAAGUCUCAUCAUAGUCAACUGUUUGAUCUUGUCGAAAACAUCUUUGCGACAAGUCGAGCUUUUCUUAAUAGUGACUUAUCACCAUCACAUCUAUUUUCCUUUAAAGAUCCAUCUUUACUCAAUAGUCCUAUGACCAUCAAGUAAUUCUUCCAAAGUCUACACUUUGUUUUCAUCCAUGGAUCCUCUCUCGGAUUUCAUGGCUUCAAGCCAUUUGUCGGAAUCUGGGCCCACCAUCGCUUUCUCCAUAACUCGUAGGUUCACUGUUGCUCAACAACAUGACCUCCAAGACAGGGUUACCGUACUACUCUGCAGCAGUACGCGACCUUGUCGACCUACGAGGUUUGUAGUAACUUGAUUCGAAGCUCAAUGAUCACCAUCAUCAGCUUCCACUUCAAUUGGUGUAGGCGCCACAGGAACAACUUCCUGCGCCCUGCUACACAUUGGUUGAAGUGAUGGUUCAAUAACCUCAUCAAGUUCUACUACCCUCCCACUCAAUUCUUUCGAGAGAAACCUUUCCUCGAGAAAGGAUCCGUUUCUAGAAACAAACACUUUGCUUUCGGAUCUGAGAUAGGAGAUGUACCCAACUGUUUUGGAUACCCUAUGAAGAAGCAUUUAUCCGCUUUGGGUUCGAGCUUAUCAGACUGAAACUUUUUCACAUAAGUGUCGAAACCCCAAACUUUCAAGAAACGACAGUAUAGAUUUCUCUAAACCUCAGUCUAUACUGUGUCAUCUCAACGGAAAUACGCGGUGCCCUAUUUAAAGUGAGUGCGCUUGUCUCUAAUGCAUAACCCAUAAAUGAUAGUGGUAAUUCGAUAAGAGACAUCAUAGUAUGUACCAUACCAAAUAGUGCGUGGCUAUGACGUUCAGACACAUCAUCACACUAUGAUGUUCCAGGUGGCAUGAACUGCGAAACAAUUUCCACAUUGUCUUAACUGCGUACCAAAACUCGUAACUCAGAUAUUCAUUUCUAUGAUCAUAUCCUAGACAGUUUAUCCACUUGUUACGACGAACUUCACUCUGAAACGGAUUUGAACUUUUCAACAUUUCAGACUUGUGAUUCAUUAAGUAAAUACUCCUGUAUCUACUCAAAUCGUCAGUGAAGUAAGAACAUAAUGAUAUCCACUACGUGCCUCAGCACCCAUUGGACUGCAUACAUCAAAAUGUAUCACUUCCAACAAGUUACUAUCUUAUUUCAUCUCAAUGAAAACAAGGCCUUGCUCAUGUGGUAUGAUUUGCAUGUCACUAGUGAUUCGAGAUCAGGUGAGUACAAAGAUCCAUCAGCAUGGAGCCUAUUCAUGCAAUUUAUACUAACAUGACUCAAGCGGCAGUGCCACAAGUAAGUGGUACUAUCAUCAUUAACUCGUAUCUUUUGGCACCAAUAUCAUGAACAUGUGUAACACUACGAUCGAGAUUCAAAAAACCAUUGAAGGUGAAUAUUCAAGAAAAUAGAGUAACCAUUAUUCUCCUUAAAUGAAUAAUCGUAUUGCAAUAAACACGAUCCAAUCAUGUUCAUGCUUAACGCAAGCACCAAAUAACAAUUAUUUAGGUUUAACACCAAUCCCGAUGGUAGAGGGAGCGUGCGACGUUUUGAUCAUAUCAACCUUGGAAACACUUCCAACACGUAUCGUCACCUCGGCUUUAGCUAGUCUCCGUUUAUGCCGUAGCUUUCAUUUCGUGUUACUAAUCACUUAGCAACCGAACCGGUAUCCAAUGCCCUCAUGCUACUAGGAGUACUAGUAAAGUACACAUCAACAUCAUGUAUAUCAAAUACACUUCUUUCGACUUUCGCCAGCCUUCUUAUCUACCAAGUAUCUAGAGUUGCUCCGCCUCAGUGACUGUUCCCCUCAUUACAGAAGCACUUAGUCUCGGGUUUGGGUUUAAUCUUGGGUCUCUUCAUUAGUGCAGCAACUGUUUUGACGUUUCACGAAGUAUCCCUUCUAGCCCUUGCCUUUCUUGAAACUUAGUGGUUUUACAAACCAUCAACUAUUGACGCUCCUUCUUGAUUUCUACUUUCGCAGUGUCAAACAUCGCGAAUCGUUCAAGGAUCAUUGUAUCUAUCCUUGAUAUGUUAUAGUUCAUCACGAAGCUAUCACAGCUUGGUGGUAGUCACUCUGGAGAACCAUCACUAUCUCAUCUGGAAGAUUAACUCCCACUUGAUUCAAGUGAUUGUCGUACUCAGACAAUCUGAGCACACGCUCAAUGAUUGAGCUUAUCUCCUUUACUUUGUGGACAAAGAAUCUUGUUGGAGGUCUCGUACCUCUUAACAAGGGCACAAGCAUGAAAUCACAAUUUCAUCUCUUUAGAACAUCACUUAUGUUCCGUGACGUUUUACAACGUUUUCGGCGCCUUGCUUCUAAGCCAUUAAGUAUUUUGCACUGAACUAUCGUGUAGUCAUCAGAAACGUGUAUGUCGGAUGUUCAUAGCAUCCACAGACGACGCUCUAGGUGCAGCACACCGAGUGGUGCAUUAAGGAUAUAAGCCUUCUGCGUAGCAACAAGGACAAUCCUCGGUUUUACAGACUCAGUCUGCAAAGUUUGCUACUAUCAAUUUUCAACUAAAUUUUCUCUAGGAACAUAUAAAAACAGUAGAGCUAUAGCGCAAGCUACAUCGUAAUUCGCAAAGACCAUUAGACUAUGUUCAUGACAAUUAGUUCAAUUAAUCAUAUUACUUAAGAACUCCCACUCAAAAAGUACAUCUCUCUAGUCAUUUGAGUGGUACAUGAUCCAAAUCCACUAUCUCAAGUCCGAUCAUCACGUGAGUCGAGAAUAGUUUCAGUGGUAAGCAUCUCUAUGCUAAUCAUAUCAACUAUACGAUUCAUGCUCGACCUUUCGGUCUCAUGUGUUCCGAGGCCAUGUCUGCACAUGCUAGGCUCGUCAAGCUUAACCCGAGUGUUCCGCGUGCGCAACUGUUUUGCACCCGUUGUAUGUGAACGUUGAGUCUAUCACACCCGAUCAUCACGUGGUGUCUCGAAACGACGAACUGUAGCAACGGUGCACAGUCGGGGAGAACACAAUUUCGUCUUGAAAUUUUAGUGAGAGAUCACCUCAUAAUGCUACCGUCGUUCUAAGCAAAAUAAGGUGCAUAAAAGGAUUAACAUCACAUGCAAUUCAUAAGUGACAUGAUAUGGCCAUCAUCACGUGCUUCUUGAUCUCCAUCACCAAAACACCUGGCACGAUCUUCUUUUCACCGGCGCCACACCAUGAUCAUCCAUCAACGUGUUGCCAUCGGGGUUGUCGUGCUACUCAUGCUAUUACUACUAAAGCUACAUCCUAGCAAAAUAGUAAACGCAUCUGCAAGCACAAACGUUAGUAUAAAGACAACCCUAUGGCUCCUGCCGGUUGCCGUACCAUCGACGUGCAAGUCGAUAUUUCUAUUACAACAUGAUCAUCUCAUACAUCCAAUAUAUCACAUCACAUCGUUGGCCAUAUCACAUCACAAGCAUACCCUGCAAAAACAAGUUAGACGUCCUCUAAUUUUGUUGUUGCAUGUUUUACGUGGUGACCAUGGGUAUCUAGUAGGAUCGCAUCUUACUUACGCAAACACCACAACGGAGAUAUAUGAGUUGCUAUUUAACCUCAUCCAAGGACCUCCUCGGUCAAAUCCGAUUCAACUAAAGUUGGAGAAACCGACACUUGCCAGUCAUCUUUGAGCAAAGGGGGUUACUCGUAACGAUGAAACCAGUCUCUCGUAAGCGUACGAGUAAUGUCGGUCCAAGCCGCUUCAAUCCAACAAUACCGCGGAAUCAAGAAAAGACUAAGGAGGGCAGCAAAACGCACAUCACCGCCCACAAAAACUUUUGUGUUCUACUCGAGAAGACAUCUACGCAUGAACCUAGCUCAUGAUGCCACUGUUGGGGAACGUCGCAUGGGAAACAAAAAUUUUCCUACGCGCACGAAGACCUAUCAUGGUGAUGUCCAUCUACGAGAGGGGAUGAGUGAUCUACGUACCCUUGUAGACCGUACAGCAGAAGCGUUAGAGAACGCGGUUGAUGUAGUGGAACGUCCUCACGUCCCUCGAUCCGCCCCGCGAACAAUCCCGCGAUCAGUCCCACGAUCUAGUACCGAACGGACGGCACCUCCGCGUUCAGCACACGUACAACUCGACGAUGAUCUCGGCCUUCUUGAUCCAGCAAGAGAGACGGAGAGGUAGAAGAGUUCUCCGGCAGCGUGACGGCGCUCCGGAGGUUGGUGAUGACCUUGUCUCAGCAGGGCUCCGCCCGAGCUCCGCAGAAACGCGAUCUAGAGGAAAAACCGUGGAGGUAUGUGGUCGGGCUGCCGUGGAAAAGUCGUCUCAAAUCAGCCCUAACACCUCCGUAUAUAUAGGUGGGAGGGAGGGGACCUUGCCUUGGGGCUCAAGGAGCCCCAAGGGGGUCGGCCGAGUCCAAGGGGGAGGACUCUCCCCCCCCAAACCGAGUUGGACUAGGUUUGGUGGGAGGGAGUCCCCCUUCCUUCCCACCUCCUCCUUUUUUUUUCUCUCUUGAUUUUCUUCUCCUUGGCGCAUAGGGCACUUGUGGGCUGUCCCACCAGCCCACUAAGGGCUUGUGUGUCUCCCCCAAGGCCUAUGGGCUUCCCCGGGGUGGGUUGCCCCCCCGGUGAACUCCCGGAACCCAUUCGUCAUUCCCGGUACAUUCCCGGUAACUCCGAAAACCUUCCGGUAAUCAAAUGAGGUCAUCCUAUAUAUCAAUCUUCGUUUCCGGACCAUUCCGGAAACCCUCGUGACGUCCGUGAUCUCAUCCGGGACUCCGAACAACAUUCGGUAACCAACCAUAUAACUCAAAUACGCAUAAAACAACGUCGAACCUUAAGUGUGCAGACCCUGCGGGUUCGAGAACUAUGUAGACAUGACCCGAGAGACUCCUCGGUCAAUAUCCAAUAGCGGGACCUGGAUGCCCAUAUUGGAUCCUACAUAUUCUACGAAGAUCUUAUCGUUUGAACCUCAGUGUCAAGGAUUCAUAUAAUCCUGUAUGUCAUUCCCUUUGUCCUUCGGUAUGUUACUUGCCCGAGAUUCGAUCGUCAGUAUCCGCAUACCUAUUUCAAUCUCGUUUACCGGCAAGUCUCUUUACUCGUUCCGUAAUACAAGAUCCCGCAACUUACACUAAGUUACAUUGCUUGCAAGGCUUGUGUGUGAUGUUGUAUUACCGAGUGGGCCCCGAGAUACCUCUCCGUCACACGGAGUGACAAAUCCCAGUCUUGAUCCAUACUAACUCAACUAACACCUUCGGAGAUACCUGUAGAGCAUCUUUAUAGUCACCCAGUUACGUUGCGACGUUUGAUACACACAAAGCAUUCCUCCGGUGUCAGUGAGUUAUAUGAUCUCAUGGUCAUAGGAAUAAAUACUUGACACGCAGAAAACAGUAGCAACAAAAUGACACGAUCAACAUGCUACGUCUAUUAGUUUGGGUCUAGUCCAUCACGUGAUUCUCCUAAUGACGUGAUCCAGUUAUCAAGCAACAACACCUUGUUCAUAAUCAGAAGACACUGACUAUCUUCGAUCAACUGGCUAGCCAACUAGAGGCUUGCUAGGGACGGUGUUUUGUCUAUGUAUCCACACAUGUAAAUGAGUCUUCAUUCAAUACAAUUAUAGCAUGGAUAACAAACGAUUAUCUUGAUACAGGAAUUAUAACAAUAACUAUAUUUAUUAUUGCCUCUAGGGCAUAAUUCCAACAGUCUCCCACUUGCACUAGAGUCAAUAAUCCAGCCCUCACAUCACCAUGUGAAUUACAUUGUAAUAAAUCUAACACCCAUACAGUUCUGGUGUUGAUCAUGUUUUGGCCGUGGAAGAGGUUUAGUCAGCGGGUCUGCUACAUUCAGAUCCGUGUGCACUUUGCAUAUAUUUACGUCCUCUCCCUCGACGUAGUCGCGGAUGAGGUUGAAGCGUCGUUUGAUGUGUCUGGUCUUCUUGUGAAACCGUGGUUCCUUUGCUAAGGCAAUGGCACCAGUGUUGUCACAGAACAAGGUUAUUGGAUUCAGUGCGCUUGGCACCACUCCAAGAUCCGUCAUGAACUGCUUCAUCCAGACACCCUCCUUAGCCGCCUCCGAGGCAGCCAUGUACUCCGCUUCACAUGUAGAAUCUGCUACGACGCUUUGCUUGGAACUGCACCAGCUUACCGCACCCCCAUUAAGAAUAAAUACGUAUCCGGUUUGCGACUUAGAGUCGUCCGGAUCUGUGUCAAAGCUUGCAUCGACGUAACCUUUUACGGUGAGCUCUUCGUCACCUCCAUACACGAGAAACAUCUCCUUAGUCCUUUUCAGGUACUUCAGGAUAUUCUUGACCGCUGUCCAGUGAUCCACUCCUGGAUUACUCUGGAACCUACCUGCCAUACUUAUGGCCAGGCUAACAUCCGGUCUAGUGCACAACAUCGCAUACAUGAUAGAACCUAUGGCUGAAGCAUAGGGGACGGAGCGCAUAUGCUCUCUAUCUUCAUCAGUUGCUGGGCACUGAGUCUUACUCAAUAUUGUACCUUGUAAAACUGGCAAGAACCCUUUCUUGGACUGUUCCAUUUUGAACCUCUUCAAAACUUUAUCAAGGUAUGUGCUUUGUGAAAGUCCUAUCAGGCGUUUUGAUCUAUCCCUAUAGAUCUUAAUGCCUAGAAUGUAAGCAGCUUCUCCUAGGUCCUUCAUAGAGAAACUUUCAUUCAAGUAACCUUUUAUGCUCUCCAAAAGCUCUACGUUGUUUCCAAUCAGUAAUAUGUCAUCCACAUAUAAUAUUAGAAACGCCACAGAGCUCCCACUCACUUUCUUGUAAAUACAAGAUUCUCCAACCACUUGUAUAAACCCAAAUGCUUUGAUCACCUCAUCAAAGCGUUUGUUCCAACUCCGAGAUGCUUGCACCAGUCCAUAAAUGGAUCGCUGGAGCUUGCACACCUUGUUAGCAUUCUUAGGAUCGACAAAACCUUCGGGUUGCAUCAUAUACAACUCUUCCUUAAGGAAACCGUUAAGGAACGCCGUUUUGACAUCCAUCUGCCAGAUUUCAUAAUCGAAAAAUGCAGCUAUUGCUAACAUGAUUCUGACGGACUUAAGCAUCGCUACGGGUGAGAAAGUCUCAUCGUAGUCAACUCCUGGAACUUGUGAAAAACCCUUUGCCACAAGUCGAGCUUUAUAAACGGUCACAUUGCCGUCAGCGUCCGUCUUCUUCUUAAAGAUCCAUUUGUUCUGAAUAGCCUUGCGGCCCUCAGGUAGUAUCUCCAAAGUCCACACUUUGUUCUCAUACAUGGAUCCUAUCUCGGACUUCAUGGCUUCUAGCCAUUUGUUGGAAUCUGGGCCCACCAUUGCUUCUUCAUAAUUUGCAGGUUCAUUGUUGUCUAACAACAUGAUUGAUAAGACGGGAUUACCGUACCACUCUGGAGCAGCACGUGAUCUCGUCGACCUGCGUGGUUCAACAGAAACUUGAACUGGAGUUUCAUGAUCAUCAUCAUUAACUUCCUCCUCAACCGGCGUCGCAACGAUAGAGGUUUCCCCUUGCCCUGCGCCACCAUCCAGGGGGAUGAGAGGUUCGACAACCUCGUCAAGUUCUAUCUUCCUCCCACUCAAUUCUCUCGAGAGAAACUCCUUCUCAAGAAAAGCUCCGUUCUUAGCAACAAACACUUUGCCCUCGGAUUUGAGAUAGAAGGUGUGCCCAACUGUCUCUUUUGGGUAACCUAUGAAGACGCACCUUUCCGCUUUGGGUUCCAGCUUUUCAGGCUGAAGCUUUUUGACAUAAGCAUCACAUCCCCAAACUUUAAGAAACGACAACUUUGGCCUUUUGCCAUACCACAGUUCGUAUGGUGUCGUCUCAACGGAUUUUGAUGGUGCCCUAUUUAAAGUGAAUGCAGCUGUUUCUAAUGCAUAACCCCAAAAUGAUAACGGCAAAUCAGUAAGAGACAUCAUAGAUGACACCAUCUCUAACAAAGUACGAUUACGACGUUCGGACACACCAUUACGCUGUGGUGUUCCAGGCGGUGUCAACUGUGAAACAAUUCCACAUUUUCUUAAGUGAUCACCAAACUCGAAACUCAGAUAUUCACCCCCACGAUCAGACCGUAGGAACUUGAUCUUCUUGUUACGAUGAUUUUCCACUUCACUCUGAAAUUGCUUGAACUUUUCAAAUGUUUCAGACUUGUGCUUCAUCAAGUAGAUAUAGCCAUACCUACUCAAAUCGUCAGUGAAGGUGAGAAAAUAACGAUAUCCGCCGUGUGCCUCCACGCUCAUCGGACCACACACAUCGGUAUGUAUGAUUUCCAAUAAGUCACUUGCACGCUCCAUUGUUCCGGAGAACGGAGUCUUAGUCAUCUUGCCCAUGAGGCAUGGUUCGCACGUGUCAAGUGAAUCAAAGUCAAGUGACUCCAAAAGUCCAUCAGCAUGGAGUUUCUUCAUGCGCUUUACACCAAUAUGACCCAAGCGGCAGUGCCACAAAAAUAUGGCGCUAUCAUUGUUAACUCUAACUCUUUUGGUCUCAAUGUUAUGUAUAUGCGUAUCGCUAUCAAGAUUCAAUAUGAACAAUCCUCUCACAUUCGGUGCAUGACCAUAAAAUAUGUUACUCAUAGAAAUAGAACAACCAUUAUUCUCUGACUUAAAAGAGUAACCGUCUCGCAAUAAACAAGAUCCAGAUAUAAUGUUCAUGCUCAACGCAGGCACUAAAUAACAAUGAUUUAAGUUCAUCACUAAUCUUGACGGUAGAUGAAGUGAUACUGUGCCGACGGCGAUUGCAUCAACCUUGGAACCAUUUCCUACGCGCAUCGUCACUUCAUCUUUCGCCAGCCUUCGUCUAUUCCGCAGUUCCUGUUUCGAGUUGCAAAUAUGAGCAACAGAACCGGUAUCGAAUACCCAGGCACUACUACGAGAGCCGGUUAGGUACACAUCAAUAACAUGUAUAUCAAAUAUACCUGAUUUUUCUUUGCCCGCCUUCUUAUCUGCGAGAUACUUGGGGCAAUUGCGCUUCCAGUGACCCAUACCCUUGCAAUAGUAGCACUCCGUUUCAGGCUUAGGUCCAGCUUUGGGUUUCUUCGGCGGAUUGGCAACAUGCUUGCCGCUCUUCUUCGAAUUUCCCUUCUUGGCUUUGCCGUUUCUCUUGAAACUAGUGGUCUUAUUCACCAUCAACACUUGAUGCUCUUUACGGAGUUCAGACUCUGCGACUUUCAACAUCGCAAACAACUCGCCGGGAGACUUGUUCAUCCCUUGCAUGUUGUAGUUCAACACAAAGCCUUUGUAGCUUGGCGGCAGUGAUUGAAGGAUUCUGUCAGUGAUAGCUUCUUGCGGGAGUUCAAUCCCCAGCUCAGCUAGACGGUUUGAGUACCCAGACAUUUUGAGCACAUGUUCACUCACAGACGAGUUUUCCUCCAUCUUGCAAGCAUAGAAUUUAUCGGAGGUCUCAUACCUCUCGAUCCGGGCGUUCUUCUGAAAGAUAAACUCCAACUCCUGGAACAUCUCAAAUGCUCCAUGACGCUCAAAGCGACGUUGAAGUCCCGGUUCUAAGCCAUACAAGACUGCACAUUGAACUAUUGAGUAGUCCUCCUUACGUGCUAACCAAGCGUUCUUAACAUCCUGAUCAGCCGUAGCGGGUGGUUCAUCUCCUAGCGCAGCAUUAAGGACAUAAUCCUUCUUCCCAGCUUGUAAGAUUAGCUUAAGAUUAUGAGCCCAGUCUACAAAGUUGCUUCCAUCAUCUUUCAACUUAGCUUUCUCUAGGAACGUAUUAAAAUUCAGGAUGACUGUCGCGUGAGCCAUGAUCUACAACACAAAUAUAUUCAAAGUGGACUUAGACUAUGUUCAAGAUAAUUAGAGUUUAACUUAAUCAAAUUGUACGCUAAACUCCCACUCAAAAAGUACAUCUCUCUAGUCAUUUGAGUGGUUCAUGAUCCACUUACACUAUCCCAAGUCCGAUCAUCACGUGAGUUGAGUAUAGUUUCAGUGGUAAGCAUCCCUAUGCUAAUCAUAUCAUCUAUAUGAUUCAUGAUCGACCUUUCGGUCUCAUGUGUUCCGAGGCCAUGUCUGCACAUGCUAGGCUCGUCAAGCUUAACCCGAGUGUUCCGCGUGCGCAACUGUUUUGCACCCGUUGUAUGUGAACGUUGAGUCUAUCACACCCGAUCAUCACGUGGUGUCUCGAAACGACGAACUGUAGCAACGGUGCACAGCCGGGGAGAACACAAUUUCGUCUUGAAAUUUUAGUGAGAGAUCACCUCAUAAUGCUACCGUCGUUCUAAGCAAAAUAAGGUGCAUAAAAGGAUUAACAUCACAUGCAAUUCAUAAGUGACAUGAUAUGGCCAUCAUCACGUGCUUCUUGAUCUCCAUCACCAAAGCACCGGCACGAUCUUCUUGUCACCGGCGUCACACCAUGAUCUCCAUCAUCAUGAUCUCCAUCAACGUGUCGCCAUUGGGGUUGUCGUGCUACUCAUGCUAUUACUACUAAAGCUACAUCCUAGCAAAAUAGUAAACGCAUCUGCAAGCACAAACGUUAGUUAUAAAGACAACCCUAUGGCUCCUGCCGGUUGCCGUACCAUCGACGUGCAAGUCAAUAUUAACUAUUACAACAUGAUCAUCUCAUACAUCCAAUAUAUUAGAUCACAUCGUUGGCCUUAUCACAUCACAAGCAUACCCUGCAAAAACAAGUUAGACGUCCUCUAAUUUUGUUGUUGCAAGUUUUACGUGGUGACCAUGGGUAUCUAGUAGGAUCGCAUCUUACUUACGCAAACACCACAACGGAGAUAUAUGAGUUGCUAUUUAACCUCAUCCAAGGACCUCCUCGGUCAAUUCCGAUUCAACUAAAGUUGGAGAAACUGACACCCGCCAGUCAUCUUUGAGCAACUGAGUUACUCGUAGCGAUGAAACCAGUCUCUCGUAAGCGUACGAGUAAUGUCGGUCCGAGCCGCUUCGAUCCAACAAUACCGCGGAAUCAAGAAAAGACUAAGGAGGGCAGCAAAACACACAUCACCGCCCACAAAAACUUUUGUGUUCUACUCGAGAAGACAUCUACGCAUGAACCUAGCUCAUGAUGCCACUGUUGGGGAACGGCGCAUGGGAAACAAAAAUUUUCCUACGCGCACGAAGACCUAUCAUGGUGAUGUCCAUCUACGAGAGGGGAUGAGUGAUCUACGUACCCUUGUAGACUGUACAGGAGAAGCGUUAGAGAACGCGGUUGAUGUAGUGGAACGUCCUCACGUCCCUCGAUCCGCCCCGCAAACAAUCCCGCGAUCAGUCCCACGAUCUAGUACCGAACGGACGGCACCUCCGCGUUCAGCACACGUACAGCUCGACGAUGAUCUCGGCCUUCUUGAUCCAGCAAGAGAGACGGAGAGGUAGAAGAGUUCUCCGGCAGCGUGACGGCGCUCCGGAGGUUGGUGAUGACCUUGUCUCAGCAGGGCUCCGCCCGAGCUCCGCAGAAACGCGAUCUAGAGGAAAAACCGUGGAGGUAUGUGGUCGGGCUGCCGUGGAAAAGUCGUCUCAAAUCAGCCCUAAAACCUCCGUAUAUAUAGGUGGGAGGGAGGGGACCUUGCCUUGGGGCUCAAGGAGCCCCAAGGGGGUUGGCCGAGUCCAAGGGGGGAGGACUCCCCCCCCAAACCGAGUUGGACUUGGUUUGGUGGGAGGGAGUCCCCCUUCCUUCCCACCUCCUCCCUUUUUUUUAUUUCCUCUUGAUUUUCUUCUCCUUGGCGCAUAGAGCCCUUUUGGGCUGUCCCACCAGCCCACUAAGGGCUGGUGUGCCACCCUCAAGGCCUAUGGGCUUCCCCGGGGUGGGUUGCCCCCCCGGUGAACUCCCGGAACCCAUUCGUCAUUCCCGGUACAUUCCCGGUAACUCCGAAAACCUUCCGGUAAUCAAAUGAGGUCAUCCUAUAUAUCAAUCUUCGUUUCCGGACCAUUCCGGAAACCCUCGUGACGUCCGUGAUCUCAUCCGGGACUCCGAACAACAUUCGGUAACCAACCAUAUAACUCAAAUACGCAUAAAACAACGUCGAACCUUAAGUGUGCAGACCCUGCGGGUUCGAGAACUAUGUAGACAUGACCCGAGAGACUCCUCGGUCAAUAUCCAAUAGCGGGACCUGGAUGCCCAUAUUGGAUCCUACAUAUUCUACGAAGAUCUUAUCGUUUGAACCUCAGUGCCAAGGAUUCAUAUAAUCCCGUAUGUCAUUCCCUUUGUCCUUCGGUAUGUUACUUGCCCGAGAUUCGAUCGUCAGUAUCCGCAUACCUAUUUCAAUCUCGUUUACCGGCAAGUCUCUUUACUCGUUCCGUAAUACAAGAUCCCGCAACUUACACUAAGUUACAUUGCUUGCAAGGCUUGUGUGUGAUGUUGUAUUACCGAGUGGGCCCCGAGAUACCUCUCCGUCACACGGAGUGACAAAUCCCAGUCUUGAUCCAUACUAACUCAACUAACACCUUCGGAGAUACCUGUAGAGCAUCUUUAUAGUCACCCAGUUACGUUGCGACGUUUGAUACACACAAAGCAUUCCUCCGGUGUCAGUGAGUUAUAUGAUCUCAUGGUCAUAGGAACAAAUACUUGACACGCAGAAAACAGUAGCAACAAAAUGACACGAUCAACAUGCUACGUCUAUUAGUUUGGGUCUAGUCCAUCACAUGAUUCUCCUAAUGAUGUGAUCCCGUUAUCAAGUGCCCCCCCCCCCCCCCCCCCAGGAAACCUUGACCAUCUUUGAUCAACGAGCUAGUCAACUAGAGGCUUACUAGGGACAGUGUUUUGUCUAUGUAUCCACACAAGUAUUGUGUUUCCAAUCAAUACAAUUAUAGCAUGGAUAAUAAACGAUUAUCAUGAACUAAGAAAUAUAAUAAUAACUAAUUUAUUAUUGCCUCUAGGGCAUAUUUCCAACAUCUCCGUCCCACGACUCCGAUUGGCACGUUUAAGGUUGCUAGUAGUGUUGAUUACUCUUUGUAGUUGAUGCUAGUUGGAUUACUUGGUGGAAGAGUUUAUGUUCAGAUCCUUGAUGCUACUCAUUACACCUCUGAUCAUGAUUAUGAUAAUGCUUUGUGAGUAGUUACUUUUUUUCCUGAGGACAUGGGAUAAGUCAUGCUAAUAAUAGUCAUGUGAAUUUGGUAUUCGUUCGGUAUUUUGAUAUGCUGUAUGUUGUCUUUUCCUCUAGUGGUGUUAUGUGAACGUCGACUACAUAACACUUCACCAUAUUUGGGCCUAGAGGAAGGCAUUGGGGAGUAGUAAGUAGAUGAUGGGUUGCUAGAGUGACAGAAGCUUAAACUCCAGUCUAUGCGUUGCUUCGUAAGGGGCUGAUUUGGAUCCACUACUUUAAUGCUAUGGUUAGACGUUAUCUUAAUUCUUUCGUAUUUGCGGAUGCUUGCAAGAGGGGUUAAUCAUAAGUGGGAUGCUUGUCCAUGUAAGGGCAGUACCCAAGUGCCGGUCCACCCACAUAUCAAACUAUCAAAGUAACGAAUGUGAAUCAUAUGAACAUGAUGAAACUAGCAUGACAGAAAUUCCCGUGUGUCCUCGGGAGCGUUUUUCCUCUUAUAAGACUUUGUUCAGGCUUGUACCUUUCUACAAAAGGGAUUGGGCCACUUCUCUGCACCAUUUCUACUACUUAUUAAUUGUUACUUUUCGCUUGCUACGUUUCAACUCACUACACCAUCACUUGUUACCGCUACUUUCAGUGCUUGUAGUUAUUACCUUGAAAACCGUUUAUGAGAGCCUUCUGCUCCUCGUUUGGUUCGACACUCUUACUUAUCGAAAGGACUAUAAUUGAUCCCCUAUACUUGUGGGUCAUCAAGACUCUUUUCUGGCGUCGUUGCCGGGGAGUGAAGCGCCUUUGGUAAGUAGAAUUUGGUAAGGAAACAUUUAUAUAUUAUUCUGAAAUUUAUUGUCACUUGUCACUAUGGAAACUAUUCCUUUGAGGAGUUUGUUCGGGGUAUCUUCACCACGAACGGAAGGACGAGGAGUUGUUCCUCAACCUGAUGUACCUACUGAAAAUAUCUUUUAUGAAAUUCCUUCGGGUAUGCUUGAGAAACUGCUGGCUAAUCCUUUUACACGAGACGGAUCUUCACAUCCAGACUUGCAUCUAAUCUAUGUAGAUGAAGUUUGUGGUUUAUUUAAGCUUGCAGGUUUGCCCGAGGAUGAGGUAAAUAAGAAAGUCUUUCCUUUAUCUUUGAAGGAUAAGGCGUUGACAUGGUAUAGGCUAUGUGAUGAUACUGGAUCAUGGGACUACAAUCGGUUGAAAUUGGAAUUUCAUCAAAAGUUCUAUCCUAUGCAUUUAGUACAUCGUGAUCGGAAUUAUAUUUAUAACUUUUGGCCUCGUGACAGGGAAAGCAUAGCUCAAGAUUGGGGGAGGCUUAAAUCAAUGCUAUAUUCAUGCCCCAAUCAUGAGCUCUCGAGAGAAAUUAUCACUCAAAACUUUUAUGCUCGACUUUCUCAUGAAGAUCGUACCAUGCUUGACACUUCUUGUACCGGUUCUUUUAUGAAGAAGGAUAUUGACCACAAGUGGAAUUUAUUGGAAAGAAUCAAACCUAACUCUGAAGAUUGGGAGCUUGAAGAAGGUAAGGAGUCAGGUAUGAAUUUCCAGUUUGAUUGCGUUAAAUCUUUUGUUGAAACAAACACUUCUAGAGAUUUUAGCGCUAAGUAUGGACUUGACUCUGAGAUAGUAGCUUCUCUAUGUGAAUCUUUUGUUGCUCAUGUUGAUCUUCCCAAAGAGAAGUGGUUUAAGUAUCAUCCUCCUGUAGAAAUCAACAUAGUUAAACCCAAUCUAGUUGAAGAGAAAGUCAUUGCCUUUAGUGAUCCUAUUGUUCCUUGCGCCUACGCUGAGAAAUCACCUUACCCUGCUAGGAAAAAGGAUUAUUCUAAAGCUCCAACUGUGAUACGUAGGGGUUACAUUAGACAACUUGCACCCCCUGAGGAAAUUAGAAUUGAACCCAGUGUUGCUAUUAUCAAACAUCUCUUAGCCGAAGACAUAGACGGGCAUGUUAUCAAAUUCUGUGAGGACUCCGCUAGAAUUACUAAACCUCACGCAAAAGACAAAUACGGACCUGUAGUUGGCCUGCCCGUUGUGUCUGUCAAGAUAGGAGAUCACUUUUAUCAUGGUUUAUGUGAUAUGGGUUCUAGUGUUAGUGCAAUACCCCGGUCCCUAUAUGAUGAAAUCAAAGAUGAGAUUGCACCUACUGAGUUAGAACCCAUUGAUGUCACUAUUACGCUAGCUAAUAGAGACACUAUCUCCCCUCUGGGAAUUGUGAGAGAUGUAGAAGUCCUGUGUUGUAAGACGAAGUAUCCUACUGAUUUCCUCGUCCUUGCUACUGCACAAGAUAGCUUUGGUCCCAUCAUAUUUGGUAGACCCUUGCUCAACACUGUCAAUGCUCACAUUGAUUGCAUUAAACAGACGGUCACUGUUAGUUUCGAGGGUGUGUCUCAUGAAUUUAACUUCUCCAAGUUUGGAAGACAACCCCAUGAAAAAGAGUCGUCUGGUAGGGAUGAAAUCAUUGCUCUUGCCUCUAUUGCCAUACCUACUACGGAUCCUUUAGAGCAAUAUCUUCUUGAGCAUGAAAAUGAUAUGCAUAUGGAUGAAAGAGAUGAGAUAGAUAAAAUUGUCUUAGAACAAUAUCCUAUUCUCAAGAAUAAUCUGCCUGUUGAACUGCUUGGGGAUUCUCCCCCACCAAAGGGUGAUCCUAUGUUCGAGCUAAAACAGUUACCAGAUACUCUUAAGUAUGCCUAUCUUGAUGAGAAGGAGAUAUAUCCUGUUAUUAUUAGUGCUCACCUCUCGAAUCAUGAAGAGAAGAAGUUAUUAAAAACUUUGAGGAAGCACCAUGCUGCUAUUGGAUAUACUCUUGAUGAUCUUAAGGGUAUUAGUCCCACUCUAUGUCAGCACAAGAUUAAAACCGAUCUUGAUUCUAAGCCAGUUGCUGAUCAUCAACGGAGAUUAAAUCCGAGGAUGAAAGAGGUCAUGAGAAAAGAAAUAUUAAAGCUUCUGGAAGCAGGAAUCAUUUAUCCUGUUGCUCAUAGUGAUUAGGCAAGCCCAGUACGUUGCGUACCUAAGAAGGGAGGUAUCACCGUCGUUCCUAAUGAUAAGAAUGAACUAAUCCCACAGAGGAUUAUUACUGGCUAUAGGAUGGUGAUAGACUUCCGAAAACUGAACAAGGCAACUAGGAAAGAGCAUUAUCCUUUGCCGUUUAUCGACCAAAUGCUAGAAAGGCUAUCUAAACACACACACUUCUGCUUUCUAGACGGUUAUUCAGGUUUCUCGCAAAUACCUGUUGCACAAUCUGAUCAAGAUAAAACCACCUUCACUUGCCCCUUCGGUACCUUUGCUUAUAGACGUAUGCCUUUUGGCCUGUGCAAUGCACCUACCACCUUUCAAAGAUGUAUGAUGGCAAUAUUAUCUGACUUUUGUGAAAAGAUUGUUGAGGUUUUCAUGGAUGAUUUCUCCGUUUAUGGUUCUUCCUUUGACGAUUGCCUCAACAACCUUGAUCGAGUCUUGCAAAGAUGCAAAGAUACCAACCUCGUCUUGAACUGGGAAAAGUGCCACUUCAUGGUUAAUGAAGGCAUCGUCUUAGGACACAAAAUCUCUGAGAAAGGCAUUGAAGUUGAUAAGGCUAAGGUUAAUGCAAUUGAGAAAAUGCCUUGCCCCACAGAUAUCAGAGGUAUACGAAGUUUCCUAGGUCAUGCUGGUUUCUAUAGAAGGUUCAUUAAAGACUUCUCUAAGAUUUCUAGGCCUCUUACCAACCUCUUGCAGAAGGAUGUUUCUUUUGUUUUUGAUGAGGAUUGUGAGGAAGCUUUCGAAAUACUUAAGAAGGCCUUGAUAACCGCACCUAUUGUUCAACCACUUGAUUGGAACUUGCCCUUUCAAAUCAUGUGCGAUGCUAGUGAUUACGAUGUUGGUGCUAUUCUAGGACAAAGAGUUGACAAGAAGUUGAAUGUCAUUAACUAUGCUAGUAAAACUCUAGACAGUGCCCAAAGAAACUAUGCCACUACGGAGAAGGAAUUUUUAGCAGUCGUGUUUGCAUGUGAAAAGUUCAUAUCUUAUAUAGUUGACUCCAAAGUCACUAUUCACUCUGAUCAUGCUGCUAUUAAGUACCUUAUGGAGAAUAAGGACGCUAAGCCUAGGCUAAUCAGAUGGGUUCUUCUGCUACAGGAAUUUGAUUUGCAUGUUGUUGACCGAAAGGGUGCUGAUAAACCUGUAGCAGAUAACUUGUCUAGGCUAGAUAAUGUCCUUGAUGACCCACGACCGAUUGAUGACAUAUUUCCUAAUGAGCAAUUGAAUGUCAUCCGCACUUCACAUAGUGCAUCGUGGUAUGUUGAUUACGCAAACUAUAUCGUAGCCAAAUACAUACCACCCAGUUUCACCUACCAGCAAAAGAAGAAAUUCUUCUUUGAUUUGAGACACUACUUUUGGGAUGAUCCUCACCUUUAUAAGGAAGGAGUAGAUGGUGUUAUUAGACGUUGUGUUCCUUAACAUGAACAGGGACAGAUCCUGCAGAAGUGUCAUUCCGAAGCCUAUGGAGGACACCAUGCUGGAGAUAGAACUGCUCAUAAGGUAUUGCAAUCAGGUUUCUAUUGACCUACUCUCUUGUCUUGUGACGAAUGUCAAAGAAUAGGGAACAUUAGCAAACGUCAGGAAAUGCCUAUGAACUAUUCACUUGUCAUUGAACCAUUUGAUGUCUGGGGCUUUGAUUAUAUGGGACCCUUCCCGAGUUCCAAUGGGUACACUCACAUCUUAGUUGCUGUGGAUUACAUCACUAAGUGGGUAGAAGCUAUCCCCACUAAAAAUGCUGAUCACCACACCUCUAUUAAGAUGCUUAAAGAAGUCAUUUUCCCAAGAUUUGGAGUCCCUAGAUAUCUGAUGACUGAUGGCGGUUCACACUUCAUUCAUGGUGUUUUCCGCAAGAUGCUCGCUAAGUAUGAUGUCAACCAUAGAGUUGCAUCUCCUUAUCAUCCUCAGUCUAGUGGUCAAGUGGAGUUGAGUAACAGGGAGAUCCAAUUGAUCUUACAAAAGAUCGUCAAUAGAUCUCGAAAGAAUUGGUCUAGCAAACUUGACGAUGCACUAUGGGCUUAUACGACUGCUUAUAAGAAUCCCAUGGGCAUGUCGCCGUAUAAAAUGGUUUACGGUAAAGCCUGCCAUUUACCUCUUGAGCUAGAACACAAAGCUUAUUGGGCAAUCAAAGAGCUCAACUUCGAUUUCAAACUUGCCGGCGAGAAACGGCUGUUUGAUAUCAGCUCAUUAGAGGAAUGGAGGGCCCAGGCAUAUGAGAAUGCCAAGUUGUUCAAAGAAAAGGUUAAGAGAUGGCACGAUAAAAGAAUACAAAAACGAGAGUUCAAUGUAGGUGAUUAUGUCCUGCUAUACAAUUCUCGCUUAAGAUUCUUCGCAGGCAAGCUUCUCUCUAAAUGGGAAGGUCCCUAAUUUGUCGAGGAAGUAUAUCGUUCCGGUCCCAUCAAAAUCAAUAACACGGAAGGUAAUUUUCCUAGAGUGGUAAAUGGGCAAAGAAUCAAGCAUUACAUCUCUGGUACUCCCAUAAAUGUUGAGACCAAUAUCAUCAAUAUCAUAACUCCAGAGGAAUACAUAAGGGAUGUUUAUCAGCCUGUUUCAGACCCUGAAAACGAAGAGGUAUCUGUUUCGGUAAGUAAUUGGACUCCGAAACUUUUCCAAUAGGAAAUUUUCUCCGUUUUGGAAUUUAUGGAAAAUUAGAAAAAUAAAAAGCAGUCCGGAGAGUGCACGAGGUGGCCACAAGCUUGGUUGCCACGACCUCCCCCCUGGCCGCGGCAACAGGACUUGUUGGCACCUCGUGUGCCUCCCGGACUCCGUUUUCUUGUGGAGCACUCCUUGUAGUACAGAAAAAAUCAUUAUAUAUAUGCCCGAGGGUUUUGAUCUCCGUAUCGCGCAAUUUUCCUCUGUUUUCGUUUCGAGCAUGUUUCUGUUGCAGAUCUAGAUCGUCAUGACUUCCCCAAAAGUUCCUAAGGAUAAGAUCUUCGAGAAGGUCAUCAAUCCCUACCUCACAGAAGUAUUGCAGCACCCCCAAUCUAUCAAGAUGAGCGAGGGGAUGUUGCACAUCCGUGAUGUUGAGGGGCCUAAGAAGACCGGAAGCGUGGAGACGAGGCUCGAAGCAAUGGAGCAACAAGUCUUCAAGUGCCAAGGGAUGGUGGAGCGUGGACUCAACGCCAACCACAUGAUGAUCACGGAGUUCACCAGCAAUCACAAGAUGGAUGCCAUUGACAUUGGGAAGCACCUCUCCAGGAUCUAUGACAGGGUUGAUCAACUUCAGGGCCAGAUCUAUGACCUGCAGAACCAAAACUGUGAGUAUGAGUAUAGAUUUAAAUCAAUAGGGUUGGCUGCAGAUUUGAGGAUUCCGGCGACUCGUUCAUCCUGUCAUGAUGGAGCUCCUAUGCCUUGGAAGACGGAGGACCAGACUACUUCAACAACACCACCAAAGGAAGACAACUAAGCAUUGGUAUGGGCAAUCCCCUUGGCUUAUGCCAAGCUUGGGGGAGUUGCCGUGGUAUCGUAUCAUCUUUAUAUCUUUUGCUUUUACCUUUGUUUUAGUUCUUUCCUUUUCAGUUUUAUUUCUUCUCUUAGUGGAAUAAGUCUUUAGUGUUUAGUUUGAGUCUUUUGCUUUGUGUCUCCCCCGAUGUAUUCGAGCUUGCGAGCUAUAUAAUAAAGAGUAUCUUAGUCACGGGCUUUGCUUUGUGCCCUGAUCAAAAGUAUGAAAAGAACGAUUGCAUGAAAGAUCAUGAGAUGAUCUUAUGGAAAGUGAUAGCUUCACAUAUAACAAGUAUGAUGAUUGAAACUUGUUGAGAAUAGACUAACAUAGACCUCAGUCAUUGUUGCAAUUAAUAAGAAGUAAUAAGGAAAGAGAGGUUCACAUAUAAAUAUAUCAUCUUAGACACUUUCUAUAAUUGUGAGCACUCACCAAACUAUUACAUUCUUAGAAGUAGAUGUUGGACAAGGAAGACAACAUAAUGAAUUGUGUUUGCUUGGUUCCAAACAAUGUUAUAUGAUUAGUGAUCCCUUAGCAUGUGACGAUUGCUUCCACCUCAUAUUAGCCAAAACUCCCGCACCAAGUAGAGAUACUACUUGUGCAUCCAUAAACCUUCAAACAAGUUUUCCAUGAGUGUCCACCAUACCUACCUAUUGUUUGAAUAAGAUCCCUCAAGUAAGUUGUCACCGUGCAAGCAAUAAAAGAUGCUCUUUAAUAUGUAUGAUCUAUUAGUGUAUGGUAAAUAAACUUUGUACGAACCUGUGAUGAGGAAGACAUAAAAGCGACAGACUGCUUAAUAAAGUUCUUUAUCACAGGAGGUAAUAUAAAGUGACGUUCCUCCGCACUAAGAGGACACGCAUCUAAACCUCAAAAGUGCAUGACAACCUCUACUUCCCUCUGCGAAGGGACUAUCUUGUACCUUUACUUUGUACCUUUGUAAGAGUCAUGGUGAUCUUCACCAAUUCCUUAUUUAGCCUUUUUCUUGGUGAACGUCAUAUGCUUGGGAAAGAUCUAUAUUCAUAUAUCAACUUGGAGCUGAGUACUUAUGCUUUAUUAUUGUUGACUUUACCCUUCAGGUAAAUGGUUGGGAGGCAAAAUUAUAAGCCCCUAUCUUUCUCUCUGUCCAACUGAAACUUUGAUAUCAUGAGUACCACGUGAGUUGUAACAAUUGUGGAAAACAAAAGAGAUGAUUGAGUAUGUGGAUUUGCUUUGCAUGCUCUUAUUUGACUCUUUCUGAUAAUAUGAUAAAUUACAAUUGCUUCAAUGACUAUGGACUGUUGUUGGCUACUUCUCGGUAAGGUUUUUGUUUCAUACUUUGCUUUGUGAAGGAAUUGUUACUUUCCCAUAAGAAUCUCUAUGAUGUAUUGUUGUCCUAUGUGUGACCAUGAUGCCCUCAUGUCCGUAUUAUGUUUUAUCGACAACUUCAUCCCUAAACAUGUGGACAUGUUUUGGGUCUUAGUUUUUGCUUGAGGACAAGAGAGGUCUAAGCUUGGGGGAGUUGAUACGUCCAUUUUGCAUCAUGCUUUCAUGUUGAUAUUUAUCGCUUUAUGGACUGUUAUUAUACUUUGUGGAACCAUACUUAUGCCUUUUCUCUCUUAUUUUGCAAGGUUUAUUUGAAGAGGGAGAAUACCGGUAGCUGGAAUUCUGGACUAGAAAAGGAGCAAGUCUGAGUCCUCUAUUCUGCGCAACUCCAAAUGCCCUGAAAAUCAACGUGGAUUUUUUUGGGAAUAUAUAAAAAAUACUGGGCGAAAGAAGUGUCAAAGGGGAGCAGCCAGGGGUCCACAAGCCUGGUUGCCGCGGCCUGCCCCCUGGCCGCGGCAACAGGGCUUGUGGGCACCCUGGUGGCCCACUGGCCCCCUCUUUUGCUAUAUGAAGGGUUUCGUCCGAGAAAAAAUCAAGGCGGAGCUUUUUCGUGGAUUCGCCGCCGCCACAAGGCGGAACUUGAGCAGAUCCAAUCUAGGGCUCCGGCAGGACGAUCCUGCCGGGGAAACUUCCCUCCCGGAGGGGGAAAUCGUCGCCAUCGUCAUCACCAACAUUCCUCUCAUCGAAGGGGAGUCAUCUCCAUCAACAUCUUCAUCAGCACCAUCUCCUCUCCAAUCCCUAGUUCAUCUCUUGUAACCAAUCUCCGUCUCGCGACUCCGAUUGGCACUUGUAAGGUUGCUAGUAGUGUUGAUUACUCUUUGUAGUUGAUGCUAGUUGGAUUACUUGGUGGAAGAGUUUAUGUUCAGAUCCUUGAUGCUACUCAUUACACCUCUGAUCAUGAUUAUGAUGAUGCUUUGUGAGUAGUUACUUUUAUUCCUGAGGACAUGGGAUAAGUCAUGCUAAUAAUAGUCAUGUGAAUUUGGUAUUCGUUCGGUAUUUUGAUAUGUUGUAUGUUGUCUUUUCCUCUAGUGGUGUUAUGUGAACAUCGACUACAUAACACUUCACCAUAUUUGGGCCUAGAGGAAGGCAUUGGAGAGUAGUAAGUAGAUGAUGGGUUGCUAGAGUGACAGAAGCUUAAACUCCAGUCUAUGCGUUGCUUCGUAAGGGGCUGAUUUGGAUCCACUAGUUUAAUGAUAUGGUUAGACAUUGUCUUAAUUCUUCUUUCGUAGUUGCGAAUUCUUGCGAGAGGGGUUAAUCAUAAGUGGGAUCCUUGUUCAAGUAAGGGCAGUACCCAAGCAUCGGUCCACCCACGUAUCAAACCAUCAAAGUAACGAACGCGAAUCAUAUGAACAUGAUGAAACUAGCAUGACAGAAAUUCCCGUGUGUCCUCGGGAGCGUUUUUCCUCUUAUAAGACUUUGUUCAGGCUUGUCCCUUGCUACAAAAGGGAUUGGGCCACUUUGCUGCACCGUUGCUACUACUUGUUACUUGUUACUUUUCGCUUGCUACGUUUCACCUCACUACACCAUCACUUGUUACCGCUACUUUCAGUGCUUGCAGUUAUUACCUUGCUGAAAGCCGUUUAUCAGAGCCUUCUACUCCUCGUUGGGUUCGACACUCUUACUUAUCGAAAGGACUACGAUUGAUCCCUAUACUUGUGGGUCAUCGGUGACCUUUCAGUGUGCCACUGAGAGUAGUUUGUCAUGAUAUUGUCUAGGAGCUUUGUGGCCUCCCCCAACGUGAUUUCCAUGAAUGUUCCACCUGAGGCAGAGUCCAAGAUAUUUCUAGAAGCGAAAUUCAAGCCAGCGUAAAUGAUUUGAAUAAUCAUCCAAAGACUCAAGCCAUGAGCGGGACAAUUUCUAAUCAUCAAUUUCAUUCUCUCCCAAGAUUGUGCAACAUGUUCAUGAUCAAGUUGCUUGAAAUUCAUGAUAUCAUUACAGAGAGAUAUGAUCUUAGCCGGCGGAAAAUACUUGGAAAUAUAAGCAUCUUGGCACUUAUCCCGAGAAUCGAUACUAUUUUUGGGCAAAGAAGAAAACCAAGUUUUUGCGCGAUCUCGCAACGAGAAAGGAAAAAGCUUCAAUUUAAUCACAUCAUUAUCCACAUCUUUCUUCUUUUGCAUAUCGCAAAGCUCAAUGAAGGUAUUGAGAUGGGAUGCGGCAUCUUUGCUAGGAAGGCGAGAGAAUUGCUCUUUCAUAACAAGAUUCAACAACACGGCAUUGAUUUCGUAUGACUCCGCACUAGUCGCGGGAGCAAUUGGAGUACUAAUAAAAUCAUUAUUAUUAGUAUUUGAGAAGUCACAAAGUUUGGUGUUUUCAUUCAUGGUGACUUCAGCAAGCAAGCAAGCACACAAGCGAACAAAGAGCAAGCGAGAAAAAGGGCAAACGAAAAGGCAAACAUAAAAGGAAAAUUGUGAAGUGGGGGAGAGGAAAACGAGAGGCAAUUGGCAAACAAAGUAAAUGCAAGAGAUGAGUUUGCGACACCUACUUGGAUGAGUUCUUGACUUGAUCUUCCUUGGCAACGGCGCAAGAAAUUCUUCUGCUACGGCAACGAAAGUCCUUCUCCGGCAACGCCGGGAAUUCUUCUUGCUACUUCCCUUGUUUGCGUCGGUUUUUCCCUUGAAGAGGAAAGGGUGAUGCAGCACAGGACCAGUAAGUAUUUCCCUCAGUUUGAGAACCAAGGUGUCAUUCCAGUAGGAGAAUCUCGUCAAGUCUAGAGUACCUGCGCAAACACAAAACAGCUUGCACCCAACGCUAUAAAGGGGUUGUCAAUACCUUCAAGAUUGUUUGCAAAGUGAGAUCUGAAGGCGGAAAGCGCAACGAAGUAAAAAGUGUAAGGCUAAAAAUAUGGUGUGGAGUAGACCCGGGGGCCAUAGUGUUCACUAGAGGCUUCUCUCAAAAUAGCAAGUAUUACUGUGGGUGAACAAAUUACUGUCGAGCAAUUGAUAGAACCGCGCAAAGUCAUGACGAUAUCGAAGGAAAUGAUCAUACAUAUAGGCAUCACGUCCGAGACAAGUAGACCGAUACUUUCUGCUUCUACUACUAUUACUCCACACAUCGACCGCUAUCCAGCAUGCAUCUAGUGUAUUGAGUUCAUGACGAACAGAGUAACGCCUUAAGCAAGAUGACAUGAUGUAGAGGGAUAAUCUCAAACCAAUGAUGAAAACCCCAUCUUUUUACCCUUGAUGGCAACAACACGAUGCGUGCCUCGCUACCCCUUCUGUCACUAGGUGAGGUCACCGCACGGUAUGAACCCAAAACCAAGCACUUCUCCCAUUGCAAGAAUCAUAGAUCUAGUUGGCCAAACAAAACCCACAACUCGAAGAGAAUUACAAAGGAUAUGAAAUCAUGCAUAAGAGAGAUCAGAAGAAACUCAAAUAAGAUUCAUUGAUAAUCCGAUCAUAAAUCCACAAUUCAUCGGAUCUUGAAAAACACACCACAAAAGAAGAUUACGUCGGGUAGAUCUCCAUGAAGAUCAUGGAGAAUUUUGUAUUGAAGAUCGAAGAGAGAGAAGAAGCCAUCUAGCUACUAGCUAUGGACCCGUAGGUCUAUGGUGAACUACUCACGCAUCAUCGGAGAGGUCAUCGUGUUGAUGAAGAAGCCCUCCGUAUUUGAAUCCCCCUCCCGCAGGGCACCAGAACGUGCCCCAGAUGGGAUCUUGCGGAGACAGAAGCUUGCGGCGGCGGAAAAGUACUUUCGAUGAUCUCCUGAUUUUUUAUGGAAUUUUUGGGAAUAUAUAGGCGCAAAACCUAGGGCAAAGGAGCCUCAGGGAGCCCACAAGCCAGGGGGCGCGCCAUGAGGGCUUGUGGGGUCCCUGGUGGCCCCUGCCCUGAUUCUCCGGCUUUCCGAUCUUUUUCUGUUCCGGAAAAAAUCUUUUUGGUAGUUUCAUUCCGUUUGGACUCCGUUCAAAAUCCUCCUCUGAAAGGGGUCAAAAACAUGGAAAAAACAGGAACUGGCCCUUGGCACUGAGUUAAUAAGUUAGUCCCAAAAAUAUAUAAAAGGCAUACAAAACAUCCAAAGUUUGACAAGAUAAUAACAUCAAACCAUCAAAAAUUAUAGAUACGUUGGGGACGUAUCAGUGAUCUCGAUGCAGAAAGAUAAAGCAAAGACUAAAUCAUAGAGCGAUAUACCAUUUGAUCCACAACUUUACCAUUGGUAUCGAGGUUAAGAUUGCAGUUGAGAGGCAUGGGAGUGUUUGCCUUGGUCGGUUUGAGAUCAUCCAUCUUGAACCUCUUGAGCAUGCCUUGGGUAUAUUUUGCUUGAUUGAUGAAGGUUCCUUGACUUUGAAUGUAAGAAAAACUUCAACUAUCACAUUAUAGACAUCUCAAGUUCUUUUGUCAUUAGUGCGGCAAACUCUUCAUUAAAAUCUUUAUUAGGAUAAACAAAGAUAAUAUCAUCAACAUCUAGUUGGCAUAUGAACAAACUCCCUUUCACCUUCUUAGUGCAAAGAGUGGGGUCAACUUUCCCAAUUUCAAACCCACGAUCAUGCAACAUCUUGGUAAGGUGCUCAUACCACGCACGUGGGGCUUGUUUAAGGCCAUAGAGUGCCUUAUCGAGAACAUAUACAUGAUUGGGGAACUUGGAAUCCUUGAACCUCGGGGGUUAUUUGACAUAUACCAACUCUUUAAGAGGACCAUUAGGAAAUGCACUCUUCACAUCCAUUAGAUCUAAUUGAAGUUACGAUGAGAGGCAAAUGCAAGCAACAUGUGAAUAGAUUCAAGGCGAGCAACAGGAGCAAAGGUUUCACCGUAGUUGAUGCCCUCCACUUGGGAGCAGCCUUGUGCUACCAUUCUUGCCUUGUACGAAUUACGACACCAUUUGCAUCUUGCUUGUUCUUAAAGAUACACUUGGCUCCAAUGACAUUGUGGUUCUCCUUCGGUCUUGGCACCAAACGCCACACCUUGUUGUGCUCAAAGUUGUUGAGUUCAUCACGCAUGGCUUCAACCCAGUCCAUGUAUUCGAAUGCUCCGUGUACCUUUAGGGGUUCAAUGCAAGAAACAAACACAUGAUGUGCACUAAAUUUUUUUAAUUGUCUGCGAGUGGUUACCCCUUUCAUAAAGUUGUCGUAGACAUUCUCUAACACAUGUUGAUUCUUUAUAAGCUUGGUGGCACGUCUUUCUUGAAUCUCCUUAGGGGUAAGUUGAGGAGGAACCCUUUUUAGACCUUUACUGCCUUUGUGAGGUUGAUCUUGAUCUUGAGCUUGGUCUUGAUCAUGAGCUUGGUCUUGAUCUUGAGCAUUCUCUUGAUAUUGAGCUUGCUCGGAGGUGUGAGCUUGAUCAAGGACAUUACUUGGUGAAGCACCAUCAUGUGGUUGAUAUUAUCCAUAAUCUUGAUCACAAGGUUGAGGGCCUUCACUUUGUUCUUCGGAAACAUGUCGGUCUUGCAUAGGUGAUGGUUCCACUUGAAUGGAACAUUGUCCUUGUCCUUCGGCCACAAGGAGUUCCUCAACGGGUAGGAAGUGUCCCAUACCCAUUCUUCCUAUGGCUUGGGGAGGAAUUUCAUCACCUACAUCAUAAAGACCACUUUGCUCCACCUAGGAGCCAUUAUUCUCAUCAAACUCCAUGUUACACGUCUCCUUAGUGAGUCCAUUUGACUUGUUGAGGACACGAUAAGCACGAGAGUUUGUAGCAUAACCAACCAACAUGCCCUCUUGAGCUCUAGGUUCAAAAUUAGACAAACAAGCACAUUUCUUAAGAAUGAAUCACUUACAACCGAACACCUGAAAGUACUUGAGAUUGGGCUUGUUACCUAUAAGAAUUUCAUAAGGAGUCUUUUUCAAGCCUUUAUGGAGGUAGAGCCGAUUAGGUGCAAGACAUGCGGUGUUGAUGGCUUUGGCCCAAAAGUUAUACGAAGAUUUAAACUCCGCCAUCAUGGUUCUUGCUGCAUCUAUCAACGUCUGAUUCUUCCUUUUUGCUACACCAUUUUGUUGAGGGGUAUAUGGUGCAGAGUAUUGAUGAUUGAUCCCCUCAUCACUCACAAAUUCAUUUAAGGUGCAAUUCUUGAAUUCGGUGCCAUUGUCACUUCUAAUCAUCAAUAUCUUUGCCUCAUGUUGACGUUGGACUUCAUUGGCAAAGUCGAUGAGGGUUUCUUGCGUCUCACUCUUCCUCUUGAAGAAGUAUACCCAGGUAUAUCUUGAGUAAUCAUCCACUAUCACCAAGCAAUAAUUUAUUACCCAAGACUAACAAAGAUUGAGGACCAAAGAGAUCCAUGUGAAGGAUCUCCAAGGUCCUCUUUGAGUAUAUCGUAGUCAUGGGGCGGUGAGUUGUCUCAUGUAGCUUUCCUUCAAUGCAAGCACUGCAAGCACGAUCUCAGGCAAAACUCACAUUUAUUAGUCCAUGAACGUGAUCCCCUUUGAGGAUACUUUGCAAAGAUCUCAUAUUGACAUGGGCUAGCCGGUGAUGCCAAAGCCAUCCCAGAUCAACUUUAGCCAUUAGGCAAGUCACGGUCUUAGUGGGUCACUGCGAAAAGUUAACCACAUAGAGACUGUUCUAGACAUGACCAACAAAGGCUACUUUAAGAGUCUUGCUCCACAAAAGGGCCAAAGAGUUAACACCACAGAAUGUAGUAAAACCCAUGAGUUCAAGUUGAUGAACGGAAAGUAAAUUGUAUGCAAGGGUCUCAACAAGCAUGACCUUUUCAAUGGUAAGUUCCGGAAAAAUCACCACCAUUCCAAGAGCCAAUACCUUCAAAAUUGCAUCAUCACCAAACGAGACUUGGGUGGCCAUGGAUAGGUCGGGAUGAACAUCCACCACCAAGUCCUUGCUUCCGGUCAUAUGAUUUGUCGCUCCACUAUCAAGCAACCAUGACGUUCCACCGGAAGCAAACUCAUGCAUAAGAUCAAUGCUUGGAUUUAGGCACCCAUUAUUUAAUGGGACCUUUCAGGUUGGUAACAAGGGUAUUAGGAACCCAAAUAGACCAUUCAAUGUACUCAUAAGGGGAACCAACAAAUUUAGCAAAGACAUUUCCAUUACUAGCACGACAUAAAACAUAAGAUGGGUUAAAGUCGCCGGCAUUGUUGGGAAAGAGGGUUUUGCCCUUCUUGGCAUUACCUGUUGGAAAUAGGCCCUAGAGGCAAUAAUAAAAUAGUUAUUAUUAAAUUUCCUUGUUCAAGAUAAUUGUUUAUUAUCCAUGCUACAAUUGUAUUGAAUGGAAACUCAGAUACAUGUGUGGAUACAUAGACAACUCAUUGUCCCUAGUAAGCCUCUAGUGGACUACCUCGUUGAUCAAAGAUGGUCAAGGUUUCCUGGCCAUGGACAAGGGUUGUCACUUGAUAACGGGAUCACAUAAUUAGGAGAAUGAUGUGAUGGAGAAAACCCAAACUAUGAACAUAGCAUGUGAUCGUUUCUAUUUAUUGCUACUGUUUUUCUGCAUGUCAAGUAUAUGUUCCUAUGACCAUCAGAUCAUGUAACUCACUGACACUGAAAGAAUACCUUGUGUGUAUCAAAUGUCGGAAUGUAACUGGGUGACUAUAAAGGUGCUCUAUAGGUAUAUCCGAAGGUGUCCGUUGGGUUAGCAUGGAUCAAGACUAGGAUUUGUCACUCCGUAUGACGGAGAGGUAUCUCGGGGCCCACUUGGUAAUACAACAUCACAACAAGCCUUGCAAUCAAUGUGACUAAAGAGUUAGCCACGGGAUUUUUUAUUGCAGAAUGAGUAAAGAGACUUGCCGGUAAUGAGAUUCAAAUAGGUAUAGAGAUAUCGAUGAUCGAAUCUCGGGCAAGUAACAUACCGAAGGACAAAGGGAAUGUUAUACGGGAUUAACUGAAUCCUUGACAUAGAGGUUCGACCGAUAAAGAUCUUCGUAGAAUAUGUAGUAGCCAAUAUGGACAUCCAAGUCCCGCUAUUGGUUAUUGAUCGGAGAGUGUCUGGGACAUGUCUGCAUAGUUCUCGAACCCGCAGGGUCUGCACACUUAAGGUACAGUGACAUUUUUGUAUAGUUGAAUUAUGUAUAUUGGUGAUCGAAUGUUGUUUGGAGUUCCGGAAUGAUCGGGAGACGAAGAUUGAUAUAUAGGAAAUGUAUGUUUUGAUGCCGGAAGGUUUUAGGGCAUUUUCGGUAAUGUACCGGGGGUGACGAAUAGGUUCCGGGGGUCCACCUGGAGGGGCCACCCACCUGGAGAGGGCCACAUAGACCCAAAAGGGGGCGCACCAGUCCCUAGUGGGCUGGGCAGCCAGCCUCAUGGGCCUAUGCUCCAAAGAGAGGGGAGGUGGGGCAAACCCCUAGGAGGAGGACUCCUCCUCCACCAAACCGAAUUGGAGGAGGACUCGUCCCUCCUUUUGUGCACUGGCUGAACCCUAGGGGUUUUCCCUAGGGUGCCACCCCUCCCUCCCUCCUAUAUAUAGUGGAGGGGAAAGAUUCUAGACACACCACAAGCCACGACGCAGCCCCUCUCCCUCCACUACUUCGUGACACACCGUAGGUCAUACCGGCAGUGCACGGCGAAGCCCUGCCGGACUAGCUCCACCAUAAUCACUGUCACACGGUCGUGCUGUCGGAGAAUUCAUCUACCUCUUCGCCUCUCUUGCCGGAUCAAGAAGGCGGAGAUCAUCAUCAAGCUGCACGUGUGCUGAACAUGGAGGUGUUGUCCGUUCGGCGUUAGAUCGUGAUUGGAUUGCGGGACGGCUUGCGAUUUGGAUCGCGAAGACGUUUGACUACAUCAACCGCGUUUCUUAAUGUUUUCUGCUUAGUGAUCUACAAGGGUAUGUGGAUCCAAUCUCUCCUGUCGUAGAUGGUCAUCACCAUGGAUAGAUCUUAUGUGUGCGUAGGAAAAUUUGGUUUCCCAUGCAAUGUUACCCAAUAGAGGCAUCGUGAGCUAGGUCUAUGCGUAGAUGAAAUCUCGAGUAGAAUACAAAGGAGUUUGUGGGAGUUGGUAUUCAGAUUGCUUCCCUCCUUAGUCCUUUCCUGAUUCGGCGGUAUAGUUGGAUGAAGUAGCCCGGACCAACAUUACUCGUAUGCUAAUGAGAGACCGGUUCCAUCGACUAACAUGCAACUUGUUGCAUAAAGAUGGGUGGCGGGUGUGUGUUUCUCCUACUUUAGUUGGAUCGGAUUUGACCGAGUCGGUCCUUGGAGAAGGUUAAAUAACUUCUUGUAUAUCACCGUUGUGGUUUUGCGUAAGUAAGAUACCCAUAGCAGCCAUGUAAAACAUGCAAUAAUAUAUUGGAGGACGUCUAACUUGUUUUUGUAGGGUAUGUUGUGAUAUGAUAUGGCCAAAGACAUGAUAUGAUAUAUCUGAUGUAUGAGAUGAUCAUGUUGUAAUAGUUAAAUAUCGACUUGCAUGUCGAUGCUAUGGCAACCGGCAGGAGCCAUAGGGUUGUCUUUAAUUAUUUUGCGCCUCGUGAUGCUUUAAUUUAUUGCUAGUUCAGUACCUUUAGUAGUAACAACAUAGUUGGCGUGACAACCUCGGUGGCAGCACAACGAUGGAGAUCAUGGUGUGGCGCCGGUCAGGAUGGAGAUCAUGUCGGUACUUUGGAGAUGGAGAUCAAAAGCGCAAGAUCAUGACCAUAUCAUGUCACUUAUGAUUUGCAUGUGAUGUCAAUCCUUUUACGCACCUUAUUUUGCUUAGGACGACGGUAGCAUUAUAAGGUGAUCCCUCACUAAAAUUUCAAGAUAAAAUUGUGUUCUCUCCGAGUGUGCACCAUUGCGAAAUUUCUUCAUUUCGAGACACCGCGUGAUGAUCGGGUGUGAUAGACUCUACGUUCACAUACAACGGGUACACGACAGUUUUGCACACGCGGAACACUCGGGUUGAACUUGACGAGCCUAGUAUGUACACACAUGGCCUCGGAACACAAGAGACCGAAAGGCCAAACAUGAGUCGUAUAGUAGACAUGAUCAACUUAGAGAUGUUCACCACUGAAGCCAACUCAACUCACGUGAUGACCGGACUUGAGUUGGUGAAUUUGGAUCAUGUGUCACUCAAAUAACUAGAGGGAUGUCAAUUUGAGUGAGAGUUUAUUAGUAAUAUGAUUAACUAAACUCAUUAUCUCGAACAAUAGUCUAAGUAAUCUUUGCAAAUUUAUGUUGUGGAUCAAUGGCUCGUGCAGUAGCACCCUCAAAUUUUAAUGGGUUCUUAGAGAAAGCCAAGUUGAAAGAUGACGGAAGUAACUUUGUAGACUGGGCCUGAAAUCUGAGAAUUGUUCUCACGGUUUCUCAAAAGUAUUAUAUCCUUGAUGCACCGUUAGGUGAUGCACCGUUAGGUGAUGCACCAACCCAAUCGGUGACCCAUGAUGAUAUGAACAUGUGGCAAUCACGUCUGGAUGACUGCUCAGUAGUUAAAUGUGCAAUUUUGUAUGGCUUAGAACCGGGACUUCAAAAAUGUUUUAAAUGUCAUCGAGCAUAUGAGAUGUUCCAAGAGUUGAAGUUUAUCUUUGAGAAUAAUGCCUAGAUCAAGAGGUAUGAAACCUCCGGUAAGUUCUAUGCUUGCAAAAUGGAGGAGAACAGGUAUGUCAAUGAGCACAUACUCAAAAUGUCUCGAUACUCUAACCAUCUGACUGAAUUGGGAAUUGUUCUCUCGCCAGAGGAAAUCACUGAUCGAGUUCUUCAAUCAUUGCCACCUAGCUAUAAAGGCUUUGUGUUGAACUACAACAUUCAAGGGAUGUAUAAAUGAGUCAUCGAGCUGUUUGCGAUGCUGAAAGUCGCUGAGUCAGAAAUCCAGAAAGAACAUCAAGUGUUGAUGGUUAAUAAAACCACUAGUUUCAAGAAAAACGGCAAGGGAAAUAAGGACAACUCCAAUAAGAGUGGCAAAGGAGUUUCCCCUCCCAUGAAGAAACCCAAGGCUGGACCCAAGCCGGAAACUGAGUGCUUUCAUUGCAAGGGGACUAGUCACUCGAAGCGGAACUGCCCCAACAUUACUAGGAAAAACCUUAUACGCAGGACCUCACUAGUAGCACUGGAAAAAAGAAAACGUUGCUGCUAAUUAGCAGUAGCGCUGAUCGAGUUAAGAGCUACUACUAACACCUUAGCAGUAGCGCUGCUUACCAAAAACGCGCUACUAUUAUGUGGGACCAAACGAUGCCACUGACGGUAGAUGUAGUAGCAGCGUUGCCCAAAAUCCAGCGCUACUGCUAAGUGUUUAGCGGUAGCGCUAUGUUUUGCAGCACCGUUGCUGCUAGUGCCCCGCUUAGUAGUAGCGCUUUCUCGUAUGCAGUGCUACUGCUAGUUGCGGCUGGUGCCACCUUUUCACACCCCCCCUCCCCCCGUGGACCGCCUUUUUUAGUUUUGCAGAAAAUAAAAAAAAUGAUAAAAUCUUCAAAAAAUAAAAUCAUUUGAGAUGUAGUUAGGUUUUAGUGCCUAGUUGGUAUACACAUUUUGAAAUAUGAAUUUUGACCAUUUUUCCAAAAAGGCGAAAAAAUGUAAAACGACCAUAACUUUUGCAUACGACGUCAAAGAAAAGUUUAAUAUAUAAAAAAAACUCGAGAAAAUUUUGGACUCGAUUUCACCCGGGCUUGCCCGAUGAACUUUUCUCAGAUGCUCAAAAUUCCAAAUGUAAAAAAACUUAUGGUAAAAAGAAGAUGUUUUUCAGAANNNNNNNNNNNNNNNNNNUAAUAAUAAUAAAUUAUUACUUAUUUUAUUUUCAAUAAAAAAUCAAUAUUAUUAUUAUUUAGUUUGUUUAUUUUAAUAAUUAUUUGGAUUUCAAAUAAUUAAAUCAUGUGACAUCAAGACCUAAGGGUUAAUAGGAUUGAUAGCUUACUAUUGUGAGGAAAACAACAAGUGGAGACUUGGAAACUAGGGGCGAUUGAACGAGGAAGUUAAGCGUGCUCGGGCUGAAGCAGUGAGAGGAUGGGUGACCGACCGGCAAGUAAAACAUAAAAACAAAUCAAAACAUAUUCCAAAAUUUGAACAAGCGCUACUGAUACGCUACUCAUAGUUAUCAGUAGCACUCGACAGGGAAGCGCUACUGCUAACAUUACUUACCAGAUAUACAUGUUAUUGAUGUGUACCUCACCAACUCUCCUUGUAGUGCAUGGGUAUUUGAUACCGGUUCGGUUGCUCACAUUUGCAACUCAAAGCAGGAACUACAGAAUGGAAGAAGGUUGGCGAAGGAUGAAGUGACGAUGUGCGUGGAAAACGGUUCCAAGGUUUAUGCGAUCACCGUCGGCAUGCUCUCACUUCAAUUACCAUCGGGAUUAGUGAUGAACCUGAAUAAUUGUUAUUUAGUUCCUGCGUUAAGCAUGAACAUUAUGUCUGGAUCUUGUUUAUUGAGAGACGAUUACUCAUUUAAAUCACAGAAUAAUUGUUAUUCUAUUUAUAUGAGUAAUAUAUUUUAUAGUCAUGCACCCAAUCUGAGGGGUUUGUUCAUAUUGAAUCUCGAUAGUGAUGACACACAUAUACAUAACAUUGAUGCCAAAAGAUGUAAAGUUGAUAAUGAUAGCACCACUUUCUUGUGGCACUACCGCUUAGGUCACAUUGGUAUAAAACACAUGAAGAAACUCCAUGCUGAUGGACUUUCGAAGUCACUUGAUUUUGAAUCACUUGACACAUGUGAACCAUGCCUCAUGGUAAAGAUGACUAAGACUCCGUUCUCCGAAACAAUGGAGCGAGCAAGUGACUUGUUGGAGAUCAUACAUACUGAUGUGUGCGGAGCAAUGAGCAUAGAGCCGUGCGGUGGUUAUCGUUAUUUUCUCACCUUCAUAGAUGAUUUGAGUAGAUAUGGUUAUAUUUACUUGAUGAAACACAAGCCUGAAAGGUUUGAGAAGUUCAAUCAAUUUCAGAGUGAAGUUGAGAAUCAUCAUAACAAGAAGAUCAAAUUCCCGCGAUCUAAUCGAGGCGGAGAAUAUAUGAGUUAUGAGUUUGGCACUCACUGAAGACAAUGUGGAAUUGUUUCACAGUUGACAUCGCCUGGAACACCACAACGUAAUUGUUGGGGAUAUUACCCGCGGCAUGACCCGCCCUAUUGGGUCGGGUCAGGUGCAUGAUAUGUCUCCGUCGUAUCUAUAGUUUUUGAUUGUUUCAUGCCAAUAUUCUGCAACUUUCAUAUACUUUUGGCAACUUUUUAUACUAUUUUUGGGACUAACAUAUUGAUCCAGUGCCCAGUGCCAGUUCCUGUUUGUUGCAUGUUUUUUGUUUCACGGAAUAUCCAUACCAAACGAAGUCCAAACAUAAUAAAAACUUACGGGGAUUUUGUUUUGGAAUAUUUAUGAUUUUUGGAAAGAAGAAUCAACGCAAGGCGAUGCAAGGAGUGCCCACAAGCCCUGUCGCCGCGGCCAAGGGGUUGACCUGCGGCAGGGGGGCUUGUGGCCACUCCUUAAGGAGGUUGGAGCCCUUCUUACGCCUCAAGAAAGAUAAUAUCCGGAAUAAAAUCGUGUUAAAAUUUUAGCCCAAUCGGAGUUACGGAUCUCUGGGAAUUUAAGAAACGGUGAAACGCAGAAUCUGGGAGUGCAGAAACAGAAGGACACAGAGAGAGAGAUCCAAUCUUGGAGGGGCUCUCGCCCCUCCGCCACCAUGGAGAUCAUGGACCAGAGGGGAAAAUCUUCUCCCAUCUAGGGAGGAGGUCAAGGAAGAAGAAGAAGGAGGGGGGCUCUCUCCCCCUCUCUCCCGGCGGCGCCGGAACGCCGCCCGGGACAUCAUCGUGUGACGACGAUCUACACCAGCACCUCCGUCAGCUUCACCAACAUCUCCAUCAUCUUCCCCCAUCUAUAUUCAGCGGUUCACUCUCCCGCAACCCGCUGUACCCUAUACUUGAACAUGGUGCUUUAUGCUACAUAUUAUUAUCCAAUGAUGUGUUGCUAUCCUAUGUUGUCUGAGUAGAUUAUCGUUGUCCUAUCGGUGAUUGAUGAAUUGCUAUGAUUGGUUUAAUUUGCUUGUGGUUAUGUUGUUGUCCUUUGGUGCCCAUCAUAUGAUCGCGCGCGUGGAUCACACCAUAGGGUUAGUUGUAUGUUGAUAGGACUAUGUAUUGGCAGGCUAGAAUGACAGAAGCUUCAAACCUAGCAUAGAAAUUGAUGCAUAUGGAAUCGAAGGGGGACCAAUAUAUCUUAUUGCUAUGAUUGGGUUUUACCUUAAUGAACGUUAGUAGUUGCGGACGCUUGCUAAUAGUUCCAAUCAUAAGUGCAUAGAAUUCCAAGUAAGGGAUGACAUUCUAGCAGAGGCCUCUCCCACAUGAUACUUGCUAUCGAUCUAGUAAAGUAGUCAAUUGCUUAGGGACAAUUGCGCAACUCCUACCACCACUUUUUCACACUCGUUAGACACUCGUAGUUGUUUCUUUAUCUAACCAGCCCCUAGUUUUAUUUACGUGUUCUUUACUUUCUUGCAAUCCUACCAUAUCACUCCUACAAAGUACUUCUAGUUUCAUACUUGUUCUAGGUAAAGUGAACGUAAAGUGUGCGUAGAGUUGUAUCGGUGGUCGAUAGAACUUAAGGGAAUAUUUGUCCUGUCUUUAGCUCCUCAUUGGGUUCGACACUCUUACUUGUCGAGAAAGGCUACAGUUGAUCCCCUAUACUUGUGGGUUAUCAGUGCACGGCGAUUCAACAUUCAUAAUCAAGAUAGGCCUUGGCCCAGGGUCUGAGAGGCGCAAGGAGAUCUUCAACGGAGAGUCGGUCGGGCCCAUGAACCUAGAUGGCGUUUCAAGACCCACGAAGAAGACGAGUCGCCGUGGGUCGUUUCCUUGCUUGGAAGACACGGCGGUUUAGAGAUAUGGCAGGCCACGAUUUGUAAUGUGGCCUGGACUCUUGUAAAAUCUAGGACCUCGACCUGUAUACAAAGGUGAGUCCCUAAGGUAGAUAGGGUUAAGUUACAAUCCAUCGAGAUCAAGGUCAGGUGAGUUACGUCGUCCUUGUAAUCAAUUCCACCAUCAAUAUAUACACAAAGCAGGACGUAGGCUUUUACCUCCAUCGAAGGGGCCGAACCUGGGUAAACACGAGUCUCGCUUCCGUUCAACCCCUUUGAGUUGCCACCAAGGUGCGAAGGCUCCAUCACUAAGUACUUUUAUGAGGACAUCUGCUGUCGGGGAUAUACCCCGCAGUGUAACCCGACUUGAAGUAUGACCCGCCAAUGACUUGGCGACUCACCGGCGACUCGGCAGUGACCUAGCGGGCAACUCAUACUUGACCCCACAGGCGACUUAGAUAAAUGACGAAGGCCCAAGGCCUGACGUACACCCUGGCAUAAGGCGAGGGCCGGCUCACAAGAGAAGGACCAAGAAGAGGAGAGACUCCCUCACAACGAAAACAAGACCAGGAUUAGGAUUCAAGAGAGACUAGUCCUAUUCCAACUCCUAGUAGGACUCUACAUGUAAACUUACCCCCUUUCCACCUAUAUAAGGAGGGGUAAGACACCCCAAGAGGGACAAAUUAAGUUAGACAGAUUGACAACUUAGGUCUAGACAAGACAAAUCAUGAGAAAGACAGAUUAGACACCCACGAGACUAGAGGUGGCGAGUCUGCACCCUUGUAAUCGAGCUCAUCAUCUUCAUCAAUGAAACACAAGCAGGACGUAGGCUUUUACCUCCAUCGGAGGGGCCGAACCUGGGUAAACUUGCGUCUCUCGAUUCCGACCAACCCCUCUCAAGCCGUCACAUGGUUGCGAUGGCCUCACACCUAAGUCCUUGCACGAGGACAUAUGCCGUGACAAAACCAUAACAUUUGGCACCCACCGUGGGGCCACCACACGGUGGUGUUGUGUUCUUGGAAGGAGAUUCUUUAGGAUCAAGAAAUUCGCGAUGCACCGGAUGAAGGGAAGCUGACAUGGAAAGAUCUAGAUCAUCACCAUGACAAGGAGCUGAGACGGUUUAUAGAAGAUUGAGACAAAAAAUUAUGGAUGCGUCAGUGCACCGCCUACAUGACGCGAUCAACCGAAACCAACACGAGAUUGAUUUCGCUAUUGCUCGGGCCCAUCAAAUCGCUUGAGAAAACUCGGCUACUACUAUUUACUCCUCGUAUGAUCACGCUACACAGUAUUGUUUCGAUGGAUAGUAGUACUACCCGAUCGUCAUCACCACAAAGAUCAGAUCUCGAAGUUGCUCCACAUCACCAAACAAGCAAUUUACAAUUAGCCGAGACACGAGUGCUAUUCCACAUACAACAAUUCAAGUCCCGAGGCAGCAAAGAAACAAGGACUGGACUAGGCAGCGGCGCCGCACGAAAGCCUUGCCGUGCGGCGGCUCCUACAGACUAAGCACGACCUACCACAUGCAAAAUUCCCUUUGAUGUUUGAAAUUUAAAAAGUUUUAUCUACAAAACCGUUAAUUCAAUCGAUGAUCCGUUUUCACCAUUGACUUUCUCGCGACGAGUUCUUCGAAACUAGAUCCCAUGUCGACAUGUUUCUUCAACUAUUUUUUUCAUUCAUACUUGCCACAUUUUUUGAUUCACUUGCCAUAUUAUUAACCACUUACUUGUCUAAAAAAAUAACUUGAUUGUCACUUUUUAAUAUUGUUUUGUACAAAGCCUUGUAGUAGUUUUCAUCAUACAUGAUAUAAAAAGCAUGUAGUAGGUUGUGUUUGUCAAAUUAAAUAUGUCAACUUGUCAUAUUUACAUACAAAUUUGCCAGAAAACUAUUUUGUGUGCUUCUUAGUUUAAUUGUGCCAAGUUGUCAUAUUUACAAACAAUGACCAAAAAAGAUUUCUUGUGGUCAUCGUUUUUAAAUAUGUUGAGUUGUCAUAUUUUUGCGUGUGAUCGACUAAAAAAAGUUGUUUGUGUUUGCCAGUUUGAUUAUGUCGAGAUGUCAUAUUUAUACGGAAUUUUUAAAAAAUAUGACGAUUAAGUUAUUUUUAUCACACAAGUAGGUACUUACUAAUAUGACAAGUAAGUGCAACAAAUGUGGUAAGUACGAGCAAAAAAAAAGUUGUCGAAACAUGUCGACAUGGGAUCUAGUUUUGAAGAUCUCGUCGCGAUAAAAUCAGUGGUGAAAACGGAUCGUUGAUUGAGUCAACGGUUUGAAAGAUAAAUCUUUUUAAAAAUACAACGCAGCUAAGCGAGCUCUUCGGACUUACACGCAUCAGCCGCUGGAUGGGAAAACAAUCGUACGUUGUGUGCAAUUUAGAUUUUUCCAAGAAACAAAGGAGAGAAAGAAAAGAAGGUCAAGUCCUUGUGCAGGUAGGACAUACACUAUCACGCAUCAAGCCAGAAUUGGACAAAAAAAAGAGGGAACCGCCCCUCACUCAAUCUCAACUGCUGCAUCGUGGCCACCCCGCCGGUCUCAGCCGCCGACACCUCACCACAACUCGUCGUCCGCGCUCCAACGCGCUGACUCACCUCCGCCUCCAGCACUGCACCUCCACUCCGAGUCGAACUCGGCGCCCCGCUACAACCGAUCCGCCGUCACGCCUUCCUUUGCCACGAGUUUGAGCUGGAGACGCCUCGCCAGCAAUGAGCCGGCUUACAUCGUCGCUGGCCUCGCCUCCACCACCAUGGCUCGACACUCGAGCCGCCGCGCCGUCUCGUUUCCCGCGGCCAUCUUGCCCUGGUGUUGUGGUCCUCGAGUCGCUGCAAAGUACUCCAGCAACGUUGCUACUAGCCCCCGCUGGCUCUGCCCCGUUCCUUGCCUCACCACAGCUGUCGCUGCUGCCAUGGCCCUGUCGCGCCUCCACCUCCAAAGCACCCAUGCUGCCGUGGCUACCCUCAUGUGCCCGCGCUGCUCAACCUCGCCACCUCGCACCAGCCGACUGCUGUGCGUCACGCUUCUCCUGCCACGCUUCAGCUCGCCGGCACACCGCUCUUCCUCACGCCGCGCAAGCCGGCAUCACAAAAAGUGGCUUUAUACCCGUACAAUCAUCUUUUUUCACUCGCUUAUGUCUCAAUCAAGUAUGGAGACUCUCAAGCCGCCUCCUUGAGUCGACUUAAGACUCGGGGGCUACAUGAACAUGGCUCGACAGGCUCAACUGGGGUGAAUAAUUCAAGAACCCCGGGUUGUUACAGAAAAAUUAAGCCGGUCUCGGGGGUUGAUGCCUCAUAGACGAGAAGAUUUAAACAUCGCUUAAGAAGACAAGUCGUCAUGAUGCGACCGCCCAAACAUGGGUGGCCGACCUUAUUGACGGAUGAUUCACAAGUCGCCAAAGAGAAUGGUGCUACCAGUAUCAAAGAGGGUGAGCCGUCAUAUUACGCUCGCCCGAACAUGGGUGCCGGUAAGACAAAGAGGACCAAACAGUUACCAUGAGCACGGUUCAAACAUAGGCACCCAAUUAUGUUCUUAAGAAUUAAGUCGGCUUACUUGGGGCUACUAGCUUCCCAAAUCGUUUUGGAGUAAGAGCGUAAGCUUCUGCAAUCCUAUGCUCGACUUUUCCCUGAUCAUAGAUCAUUUGAGGGCUUCCGACUCACUGAGUUUAGCCUGAAUACCCUCUUGUCUAGCUAAAAAUUAUCGCAUUACAAUGGUUAUACUGGACUGUUUGUUUGGCGACUCACCCUUCACGCCCCUAGAACUCUUGGCGAGUCAAUCCAAUCUUGGACCCUGAACUCCCAACGUUAAAACGAGUGGAGCUGGUGGGAGUCGGCAUAUGGAAAAUAGACAAACCAUGGGUUCACUGAACCUACUUUACUGAAGCUUGACUCGCGCCUGAUCAAUCGGUCUGAACAACUAAGGUUGUUGCAAAAGCCUCUUUAGGGUAGCACUAGAUCCUUGCAAGCUCGUCCUACUCUAUCGUGACUCAUUGAGCCGGCUGCCGUGACUCACUGAGCCGGUUUAACCUUUUUUGGGUACCAUUAGAGCCUUGAGAGCUCGUCCUACCCGCCAUGACUCACUGAGCCGACUACUAUGACUCACUGAGCCGUCUUAUUUAAAAUAACUUGAUGCCAUACUAUGGUGUUGCCAGCAUUAUUCUAUCAUAUGCAUGCAUCAUAUUGCAUUGCAUCAUGCAUCAUACAUACAUAUCAUGCCGGUCUUCAAACCGGAUCAAAGCAUAAUUUUUUGCAGGAGAAAAUAUAUCUUUAAUAGCCAAUUUGGCUGGAUUUUCAUCAUGGUUUAUCAUAACCAGUGUUAAAUGAUUGGAGUUUUUAAGCCAACUCAGAAGAAUUAACUAUUGUCGAAGAGUCGCCCUAUCACAUAUAAUGUCGGGUCAUCUAAUUGACCGGCUCAUGGAUUUCUUCAACUUGUGCUCUGUAGUAAACUACAACACUUGUGGAUUUCUCAAUCAUAUAUUUGUCAGGUUCCAUUGCAACCACACCAACCGUGUUUCUUAACGCCUCCCGCUUAGCGAUCAUAUAUUUGUUGGGUUACAUUGCAACCAUAUAAUGCGAAGAUGUUCGACUACAUCAACUGUGUUUCUUAACGCCUCCCGCUUAGCGAUCUACAAGGGUAUGUGGAUCCGAUCUCUCCUCUCAUAGAUGGUUAUCACCAUGAAUAGAUGUUAUGUGUGGGUAGGAAAAUUUUGUUUCCCAUGCAACGUUACCCAACAUUAUCACCCUUCUUCUUCUCAUGAGUGCACACCCCAGCUUUAGCAAAGGUUUCCUUAAGAGGGGGGGGUUGCUUGGUCUUGAUCUUUUUGUUCUUCAUUGACUUGGGUGCAAACCCAACUCCUUCCUUUGCAACCACUUACUUUUGAUUGCUCAAAAGGUCAUUGAGACUCUUUUUUCCUUGAAUGCAAGUCACAAGGCCUUUCUCAAGCUACUCCUUUAAUUUUUCAUUCUCCUCCACAACAUGUACAUUCUCACAGCACGGGUUAGUAGCAUGGGCAUUAUCAAUUAAUAUGAAGGGUGAACAUGUGACUAUUUCCUUAGUGAGUUUUACUUGGAGUUGAACAUGAGACUCUUUUAAAGAAGCAUGAUCACUCUUCAAAGCCUUGUGAGCCUUGUCAAGUGUGGCAAGCUCUUCCUUGAGUCUAUCAAGAUCAACCCCACGUGCACCCUUUCUGGAUUGAGGCACAUGAGUGAGAACAAGAGCAUGAUCGUGAUCUUUUUGUAAAUUAGCAAGUUCAUCAUUGUGUGACUCCUCAAGAGCCAAACGAAGCCCUUGCUCUUCCUCAAGAGCAAUGGAAAGAUCCCCCAUCUCAUCGUCAUAGUGAUGACUAUGCCCUUGUAACAUAGAGAUAGUUUAUUCACGAGUUUCAAUAAGGUCACUAGCUUAUCCUAGUUGUUCCAAGAGAGUAACAAAAUGCUUCUUAGUUUUACCAUUGACUUUGAAUCUAUCAAAGGAAUUUUCCUCAUCAUUUACCUCCUCUUUUUCAUCUCCACUAACAAUAGGAGAAGGGAUACUGGAAACGAUAGUUUUUAUGUUGGAGGUUACCUCGUUGGAUGCCUUAGCCAUAAGGCAAUUGGCAAUGUGGUUCUCGUUGGGGGCGUUGAAGAGGGACACCUUGCUCGGGGAAGAGGAUGCAAUGGCCACAGCGGCCAUUCCCGUUACUUCACCACUUGCAUCAUCUUGUCAUCAUCCUCAUCGGAGAGAUACUCUUCUUGAGCCACCAACACCAAUUGGGGCAUCUUAUUGGAGAAGUUCUUCUUGUUGGGGAAGUGCUUGACCUUGUCUUUGCGAAUAAGCUUGCUAGCAUUGUCUUCCCUCUUCUCAUAUGGACAAUAUGCCAUAAAGUGACUCACAUUUCCAUAGUUGUCGCAAGUCCUCACACGUUGCUUUCCUUUCGACCCACUUGCGUUGUUCUUGGAAAAAAUGGGCUUUGAAUUUCUCUUGUUUCCCCAAAACUGCCUUGACGCAAGAGCCAUGUGCUCGCAAUAAGCACACUUGGUGUCUUCAGGGCACAUUUCCUAUUAGUCUUCUUCAUCUUCCUCCACAACAGCCUUGGCCUUCAAAGAAAGGUAGGGGAGUCUUUUCUUGACCAUUGGACAUGAGCUAGAGCAUUGUCAGCAGUAUUUUUUAGUAUCUUCAUGGCAAGAACUCAUCCAACACAUCGCUUGAAGACAAGGAGUGAAAGUCUGGCCUUUGAUGGAUGAAGGAGGACAUGGACUUGUUGAAAGGCAUGAUAGCCUUGAGAAACUUACGCUUGAUCCAAUUAUCAUCUACAUCCUUGCUUCCGCAAUCUUGAAGAGCAACGACAAGCAUUGUCACUCUUCAGUAGAGCUCACGAGGGUCCUCAUCCUCAAUCAUAGCAAAUUCAUCGGCCUCAUCAAGUAUCACUUCAUAGUUAGACCAUUGAAUACUUGAGCUUCCCUUGUACAUGGAAAUGAUGUGCUCCCAACAAUCUAUGGCAUGAGUGAAGGGAAAUGAGAAAGAUCUUCAAUGGGAACAAGAGCUUGAAGGAUGAACAAGGCGGUGUGAUUGAAUUGAUUGUCUACCUCUUCCCUUGGAGUGAGGUUGCUUGGAUCAUGUGGGUAGUAGCCUUGUUCAAUGAUUCUCCAAAGUUGUGUUGAGCUGUGAUUCAAAUGAGCCUUGAUAAGAAAAACCCAAUUAGCAAAAUCAUUCGUAACAAGUUUAGGAGGAGGACCGACGUUAAUAAUAUGCGGUUGGUGAACCGGUCCUCCAUAGACCAUGGUAGGAGGAACCAAGGCAAAAGUAUUUUCCCCACUCGUUCCUUGAAGCAAUUUAUUUCUAUCACUACUAGCAUUUUCCUUUUUGGAGUUUGUCCCUGAAUCCGGAGCUGUGGGAUUAACCACAUGCAACAGAUCGAUAGACAGUUUGAAGCCAUCAAGGAAAUCUUUGAGCAUGUUUUUGACCUCAAUAGCGAGCGGGGAUCUAAACGUAGACAUGGCCUCAUUUAGAUCCUCUCAAGGGACCGAUUUCGCAACUGCUGCCUCGGGCAACUCCACAAACCGAUGCUUGUCGCCAGCAAUACUCUUUGGGUGGUGAAACUCUUAAUAAAGAGACGAGGCUCUGAUACCAAUUGAAAGGAUCGGUAUGGUUGACUAGAGGGGGAGAUAGGAAACUAACAAUUUUAAGCUUUUCUUUAACAAAUUAAGUUUACCAACAAAUAGGUUGUCUAGAUAUGCAAAUAAGUGAGCAACCUACAUGAUUCUAGCAACAAUAAUAACAAGUAAGUAACUAAUACAAGUAAAGGUAAGAAGUAACCACAAGUGGAAUCGAUGAAGACGAAGAUGUGUUUCCAAAGUUCCUUCCCUUUGUGGGGAAGUAUGUCUCCGUUGGAGCAGUGUGGAGGCACAAUGCUCCCCAAGAUGUCACUAAGGUCAUCGUAUUCUCCUCACUCUCUCACACUAUGCGAGGUGUGUGAUUCCAUUAGUGGUUCCCUUGAAGGCGGCAACCGAACCGUUAAAAACAAGGUUGGGGAAAUCUCCACAACUAAAUUGGAGGCUCCCAACAAAACCAUGAAGCUUCACCACAAUGGAAUACGGCUUCGAGGUGACCUCAACCGUCUAGGGUGCUCAAACACCCAAGAGUAACAAGAUCCGCGAGGGAUUGGUGGGUGGAAUCAAAUUACUCUUGCUGGAAGUGUAGAUCAAGGCCCUCUCAAGCAAACCCUAGAGUAUCAAUAAGUUUUGUUGGCUAGGGAGAGAGAUCGGGCAAAAAUGGAGCUUGGAGAAACAAUGGAGCUUAGGGUUGGGAAAGGUGUUCUUCUUGGGGAAGAAGAACCCCAUUAUAUAGUGGGGGAACAAAUCCAACCAUUACCCACUCACUCAGCCCGCAUCAGAGUGGUACUAUCGCUCCAGGGAGCGGUACUAUCGAUGAUAAGAGGUAGUACCGCUCCAGUGAGGAGCAAUAGUACCGCUGGGGCAGGGGGGCAGGAGCCAGUGAGGGAGGCAGAGGCUGGUAGUACUAUCGGAGCGGUAGUACUCCUGCGAGGAGUGGUACUACCGCUCACAAGAGGUAGUAACGCCUCCUAUAUCUGCUCAGGAUAUGCUGCGGACCUAGCCCAGACGUACCAAGGGGUUCUGGCACGGUAGUAACAAGUGGUACUACCACUCGCUGGGAGGUACUACCGCCCUGCACUACCGCUUAGUCUGACACGAAAAGUGUCGAGACCCAUGGGCAGCGACACUAGCCAGCGGAACUAGCUAGACAACUUCCGCCCUGGAGCGGUACUACCGCGGACCAGGUUUGUACUACCGCUGAUAAGAGGUAGUACCGCUCAAUAGAUUGGUACUACCGCUUGGGUCUUUCUAGGCAGGAUAGGGCAAGGUAGGAUGCUCCAUUGAGGCGGGAAACAAGCUGUGAAGGAAUGUGUAAGUGAUGAUUCCGCCCAAACCUUUCCGAAGCGGACCCCCUCUUAAUAGUACGGAUUUUCCUACGACUCAAUUCCACCGACAACGAAACGUAAGAGAGAAAACCGUCUUCAUAUAAAUACACCGAGGGGCAUGAAUCAACUGGUGCCAAACGAUGAAAUACCUGAAAGGCUUAGUGCACACGAUUAGUGUGCAAACGCAUUGUCAUUAAUCACCAAAACCACUAGGGUAGAAAUAUGACCUUAGAGCUGCCCCCAUGCACCCCCAUAUAUAUAUAUNUUUAAAUUUAGAGAUAAGAUAUUAUCUCUAGAUUUAAAUGACAUGUGCCUUGGGGAAUGGUGCAAUCAGAUCAUGUAGGUUGUAGCCCCACCCCUCGGUCCAUGUGGGCCCUUCCUGGGUCGUUGGGUUCCAUGGUGGAACCGGGGUACCUUCUAGAACCUUCUCGGUACUCUACUGAAAAAUUCCUAAACUUUUGCGGAACCGUGAACAUGACUUCCCAUAUAUAAAUAUAUACCUGCAUACCAUUUCGGAGCUCCUCGUGAAUUCCCGGAUCCCAUCCGGGAUUCCAAAAUACUUUUGGAAUUUCCACUAUUAAUAUCUCAACGUUACCCUAGCGCUACUGAACGUUAAGCAUACGAUCCUACAGGUUCGAGAAUCCUGUAGACAUGAUCGAGAUACCUCUAUGGUCAGUAACCAAUAGUGGUAUCUGGAUGCCCAUAUUGGUUCCUACAUAUUCCACGAAUAUCUUCAUCGGCUGAACCAUGAUGGCAAGGAUUCAGUUAAUCCCGUAUGCAAUUCCCUUUGUCUAGCAAUAUGUUACUUGCCCGAGAUUUGAUCGUCAAUAUCUCAUACCUAGUUUAAUCUUGUUAUUAGCAAGUCUCUUUACUAGUUCCGUAAUACAAGAUCUCUUGACUAACUCCUUAGUCACAUUGCUUGCAAGCUUCUUGUGAUGUUUUAUACCGACAUGGCCCAGAGAUAACUCUCCAUCAUACGAAGUGACAAAUCCAAGUCUUGAUCCAUGCCAACCAAGCAGACACCCUCAGAGAUACGUGUAGACUAUCUUUAUGAUCACCCUGUUAAGAAGUGACAUUUCAUACACACAAUGCAUUUCUCCAGUGUGAGGGAGUUGCAUUCUCUUAUGGUCUUAGGAACAAAUACUUGACACGAAGAAAGCAGUAGCAAUAAACUAAGUGAUAUGAUCAAAUGCUAUGCUUACGGUCGGGUCUUGUCCAUCACAUCAUUCUCCUAAUGAUUGAUCACGUUAUCAAAUGACAAGUCAUGUCUAUGGUUAGGGGAUGUUAACCAUCUUUGAUCAACAAGUUAGUCUAGUAGAGGCUCACUAGCGAGACGAUGUUGCUUAUAUAUCCACACAUGUAUUUAAGUUUCCGGUCAGUACAAUUCUAGCAUGGAUAAUACACGAUUAUCAUGAACAAGGAAAUAUGAUAAUAACCAUUUUAUUAUUGCCUCUAGGGCAUAUUUCCAACAAUCUCCCACUUGCACUAGAGUCAAUAAUCUAGCUUUACAUUGUAAUGAAUCUAACACCCAUAUAUGGAGUUUUGGUGUUGAUCAUGUUUUGCAUGUGGAAGAGCUUUAGUCAACGGGUCUCCAACAUUCAAAUCCGUAUGUACUUUGCAAAUGUUUAUGUCUUCAUCCUUGAUAUAAUUGCAGAUGGAAUUGAAGCGCCUCUUUAUGUGUCUGGUACUCUUGUGAAACCUGGGCUACUUGCCUAGAGCAACGACACCAGUGUUGUCACAAAAGAGAGUCAUCGGAUCCAGUGCACUGCGCACAACUCCAAGAUCCGUCACGAACUACUUCAUCCCCCCCACUCUCCUUUGCCUCUUCCAAAGCAGCUAUGUACUCCGCCUCACAUGUAGAAUCUGCUAGCAUGCUUUGCUAGGAACUACAUCAGCUCACUACCCACCAUUGAGAAUAAAUACAUAUCUCGUUUGAGACUUAGAGUCAUCUGGAUAAGUGUCAAAGCUAUCAUAGUCGUAACCCUUUACUAAGAGCUCUUGAUCACCUCCAUAAACGAGAAAUAUCUGCUUAGUCCUCUUCGGGUAAUUAAGGAUAUUUUUGUUGGAAAUAUGCCCUAGAGGCAAUGAUAAAUAGUUAUUAUUAUAUUUCUUGUUUAAAGAUAAUUGUUUAUUAUCCAUGCUAUAAUUAUUGAAUGAAAACAUAGAUACAUGUGUGGAUACAUACAGAAAACAAUGUCCCUAGCAAGCCUCUAGUUGGCUACCAGUUGAUCAAUGAUAGUCAAGGUUUUCUGACUAUGUGCAAGUGUUGUCACUUGAUAACUGGAUCACAUCAUUAGGAGAAUCAUGUGAUGGACUAGACCCAAACUAUGAACUUAGCAUAUUGAUCAUGUCGUUUUAUUGCUAUUGUUUCCUGUGUGUCAAGUAUUUGUUCCUAUGAGCAUGAGAUCAUAUAACUCACUGGCACCGGAGGAAUACCUUGUGUGCAUCAAACAUCACAACAUAACUGAGUGACUAUAAAGGUGCUCUACAAGUGUCACUGAAGGUGUCCGUUGAGUUAGUAUGGAUCAAGACUGGGAUUUGUCACUCCGUGUGACGGAGAGGUAUCUCGGGGCCCACUCGGUAAUACAACAUCACAAACAAGCCUUGCAAGCAAUGUGACUAAGUGUAAGUCACGGGAUCUUGCAUUACGGAACGAGUAAAAGAGACUUGCGGGUAACGAGAUUGAAAUAGGUAUCCAGAUACCGACGAUCGAAAUCUCGGGCAAGUAACAUACCGAAGGACAAAGGGAAUGACAUACGGGAUUAUAUGAAUCCUUGACACUGAGGUUCAACCGACAAGAUCUUUAGAUAAUAUGUAGGAUCCAAUAUGGGCAUCCAGGUCCCGCUAUUGGAUAUUGACCGAGGAGUACCUCGGGGCAUGUCUACAUAGUUCUCGAACCCGCAGGGUCUGCACACUUAAGGUUCGGCGAUGUUUUAGUAUAGUUGAGUUAUAUGUGUGGUUACCGAAUGUUGUUCGGAGUCCUGGAUGAGAUCACAGAUGUCACGAGGGUUUUCGGAAUGGUCGGGAAACAAUGAUUGAUAUAUAAGAUGACUUCAUUUGGUUAUCGGAAGUUUUUCGGGCAUUACCGGCAUUGUACCGGGAGUGACGAAUGGGUUCCAGAAGUUCACCGAGAGGGGGGCAACCCACCCGGGGGAAGCCCAAAUGCCCUAGGGGUGGUGCACCAGCCCUUAGUGAGCUGGUGGGACAGCCCAAGAGGGCCUAUGCGCUAGGAAAGAAAACCAAAGAAAAGAAGAAAAAAAAGAGGUGGGAAGGAAGAGAAGGCUCCACUUUCCAAUCCUAAUUGGAAUAGGAUUGGAGUAGGACUCCUCCUCUCCCUUGGCCGAUGCACCCUUCAGGGCUUGACCCUCAAGGCAAGCCUCCUCCCCCUCCCUCCUAUAUAUAGUGGUGGUCUAGGGCUGAUUUGAGACAACUUUUGCCACGUGCAACUCAGAUCUAGACACCAUAGUUUUACCUCUAGAUCGUAUUUCUACGGAGCUCGGGCGGAGCCCUGCAGGAGUAGAUCCUCACCACCACCGGAGCACCGCCACGCUGCCGGAGAACUCAUCUACUUCUCCGUCUUGCUUGCUGGAUCAAGAAGGCCGAGAUCAUCGUCGAGCUGUACGUGUGCUGAACGCGGAGGUGACGUCCGUUCGGCACUAGAUCGGAAUGGAUUGUGGGACGGAUCGCAGGACGGUUCGUGGGAUGGUUCGUGGGCUUGAUUGAGGGACGUGAAGACGUUCCACUACAUCAACCACGUUUCUUAAUGCUUCCUGUUGUGCGAUCUACAAGGGUAUGUAUAUCCAAAUCUCCUCUCGUAGAUGGACAUCACCAUGAUAGGUCUUCGUGUGCAUAUGAAUUUGUUUUGUUUCCCAUGCAACGUUCUUCAACAGUGGCAUCAUGAGCUAGGUUCAUGCGUAGAUGUUAUCUCGAGUAGAACACCAAGGGUUUUGUGGACGGUGAUGUUCGAUUUGCUGCCCUCCUUAGUCUUUUCUCGAUUCGGCGGUAUUGUUGGAUUGAAGUGGCUCGGACCGACAUUAUUCGUACGCUUACCAAAGACUAGUUUCAUCGAUUGACAUGCAACCUCGUUGCAUAAAGAUGACUCGCGGGUGUCGGUUUCUUCAACUUUUGUUGAAUUGGUUUUGACGGAGGCGGUCCUUGGAGAGGUUAAAUAGCAAUUUGCACAUCUCCGUUGUGGUUUUUGCGUAAGUAAGAUGCGUUCUACUAGAUACCCAUAGUAGCCACAUAAAACAUGCAACAACAAAUUAGAGGACGUCUAACUUAUUUUUGCAGGGUAUGGCCAAUGACGUGAUGUGAUAUAUUGGUUGUAUGAGAUGAUCAUGUUGUAAUAGUUAAUAUCCACUUGCACGUCGAUGGUACGGCAAGCGGCAGGAGCCAUAGAGUUGUCUUUAAACUAACGUUUGUGUUUGCAGAUGUGUUUACUAUAUUGCUAGGAUGUACCUUUAGUAGUAAUAGCAUAAGUAGCAUGACAACCCCGAUGGUGACACGUUGAUGGAGAUCAUGGUGUGGCACCGGUGACAAGAAGAUCGUGUCGGUGCUUUGGUGGUGGAGAUCAACAAGCACAAGAUGAUGGCCAUAUCAUGCCACUUAUGAAUUGCAUGUGAUGUUAAUCCUUUUAUGCACCUUAUUUUUGUUAGAAUGACGGUAGCAUUAUAAGGUGAUCUCUCACUAAAAUUUCAAGAUGAAAUUGUGUUCUCCCCGACUAUGCACCGUUGCUAUAGUUCGUCGUUUAGAGACACCAUCUGAUGAUCGGGUGUGAUAGACUCAACGUUCACGUACAACGGGUGCAAAACAGUUGCACACGCGGAACACUCGGGUUAAGCUUGAUGAGCCUAGCAUGUGCAGACAUGGUCUCAGAACACAUGAGACCAAAAGGUCGAGCAUGAAUCAUACAGUUGAUAUGAUUAGCACAGAGAUGCUUACCACUGAAACUAUCCUCAACUCACGUGAUGAUCGGACUUGAGUUAGUAAAUUUGGAUCAUGUACCACUCAAAUGACUAGAGAGAUGUACUUUUUGAGUGGGAGUUUAGCAAGUAAUUUGAUUACUUAAACUCUAGUUAUCUUGAACAUAGUCUAAGUCCACUUUGAAAAUAUUUGUGUUGUAGAUCAAUGGCUCACGCAAGAGUCACCUUGAAUUUUAAUACGUUCCUAGAGACAGCUAAGUUGAAAGAUGAUGGAAGCAACUUUGUAGACUAGGCUCGUAAUCUUAAGUUGCUCUUGCAAGCUGGGAAGAAGGAUUAUGUCCUUAAUGUUGUGCUAGGAGAUGAACCACCCGCCGCGGCUGACCAAGAUGUUAAGAACGCCUGGUUAGCACGCAAGGAGGACUACUCAGUAGUUCAAUGUGCAGUCUUGUAUGGCUUAGAGCCGGGACUUCAACGUCGCUUUGAGAGACAUGGAGCAUUUGAGAUGUUCCACGAGUUGAAGUUUAUUUUUGAGAAGAAAGCCCGGAUCGAGAGGUAUGAGACCUCCAAUAAAUUCUAUGCUUGCAAGAUGGAGGAUAAUUCGUCUCUCAGUGAACAUGUGCUCAAAAUGUCUGGGUACUCAAACCGUCUAGCUGAGCUGGGGAUUGAACUCCCGCAAGAGGCUAGCACUGACAGAAUUCUUCAAUCACUGCAGCCAAGCUACAAGAGCUUUGUGUUAAACUAUAACAUGCAAGGGAUGAAUAAGUCACCCGACGAGUUAUUCGCGAUGCUGAAAGUCGCAGAGUCAGAACUCCGUAAAGAGCAUCAAGUGUUGAUGGUAAAUAAGACCACUAGUUUCAAGAGAAACGGCAAAGGAAAGAAGGGUAAUUUAAAGAAGAGCGGCACGCCUGUUGCCAAUCCGACGAAGAAACCCGAAGCAGGACCUAAGCCUGAAACGGAGUGUUAUUAUUGCAAGGGUCUGGGUCACUGGAAGCGCAACUGCCCCAAGUAUCUGGCUGAUAAGAAGGCGGCCAAGGAAAAAUCAGGUAUAUUCGGUAUACAUGUUAUUGAUGUGUACUUAACCAGCUCUCGUAGUAGUGUCUGGGUAUUCGAUACCGGUUCUGUUGCUCAUAUUUGCAACUCGAAACAGGAACUGCGGAAUAAGCGAAGGUUGGCAAAGGAUGAAGUGACGAUGCGCGUGGGAAAUGGUUCCAAGGUUGAUGCAAUCACCGUCAGCACAGUUUCACUUCAGUUACCAUCAGGAUUAGUUUUGAACUUAAAUAAUUGUUAUUUAGUGCGUGCGUUAAGCAUAAAAUUAUAUCUGGAUCUUGUUUAUUGCGAGACGGUUACUCGUUUAAGUCACAGAAUAAUGGUUGUUCUAUUUCUAUGAGUACUAUCUUUUAUGGUCAUGCACCAAAUGUGAGAGCAUUGUUCAUAUUGAAUCCUGAUAGCGAUGAUACACAUAUACAGAACAUUGAGACCAAAAGAGUUAGAGUUAACAAUGAUAGCGCCAUGUUUUAUAGCACUGCCGCUUAGGUCAUAUUGGUGUAAAGCGCAUGAAGAAACUCCAUACCGAUGGACUUUUGGAGUCACUUGACUUUGAUUCACUUGACACGUGCGAACCAUGCCUCAUGGGCAAGAUGACUAAGACUUCGUUUUCCGGAACAAUGGAGCGUGCAAGUGACUUGUUGGAAAUCAUACAUACCGAUGUAUGCGGUCCGAUGAGUGUGGAGGCGUUCGGCGGAUAUCGUUAUUUUCUAACCUUCACUGACGAUUUGAGUAGAUAUGGUUAUGUCUACUCGAUGAAGCACAAGUCUGAAACGUUUGAGGAGUUCAAGCAAUUUCAGAGUGAGGUUGAAAAUCAUCAUAACAAGAAGAUCAAGUUCCUAUGGUCUGAUCGUGGGGGUGAAUAUCUGAGUUUCGGGUUUGGUGCUCACUUAAAACAAUGUGGAAUUGUUUCACAGUUGACACCGCCUGGAACACCAUAGCGUAAUGGUGUGUCCGAACGUCGUAAUCGUACUUUAUCAGAGAUGGUGCGAUCUACAAGGGUACGUAGAUCCAAAUCUCCUCUCGUAGAUGUACAUCACCAUGAUAGAUCUUCGUGUGUGUAGGAAUUUUUUUUGUUUCCCAUGCAACGUUCUCCAACAAUUUUUGACCAGUGUCUAGUGUUCCACUCCUGGAACACUUUGAAACCUUCCACCAUACUGUUGGGGAACGUCGCAUGGGAAACAAAAAAUUUCCUACGCGCACGAAGACCUAUCAUGGUGAUGUCCAUCUACGAGAGGGGAUUUACUAUCUACGUACCCUUGUAGAUCGCACAGCAGAAGCGUUAAGAAACGCGGUUGAUGUAGUGGAACGUCCUCACGUCCCUCGAUCCGCCCCGCGAACCGUCCCACGAACCGUCCCGCGAUCCGUCCCACGAUCCGCUCCGAUCUAGUGCCGAACGGACGGCACCUCCGCGUUCAGCACACGUACAUUUCAAUGAUGAUCUCGGCCUUCUUGAUCCAGCAAGAGAGACAGAGAGGUAGAUGACUUCUCCGGCAGCGUGACGGUGCUCCGGAGGUUGGUGGUGAUCUAAUCUCAGCAGGGCUCCGCCUGAGCUCCGCAGAAACAUGAUCUAGAGGAAAAACCGUGGAGGUAUGUGGUCGGGCUGCCGUGGCAAAAGUUGUCUCAAAUCAGCCCUAAAACCUCCGUAUAUAUAGGUGGGAGAGGGGGGCCUUGCCUUGAGGCUCAAGGAGCCCCAAGGGGGUCGGCCGAGCCAAGGGGGGGAGUCCUCCCCUUCCAAACCGAAUCCAACUAGGUUUUGAAGGUGGAGUCCUUCCCCUUUUUCCCACCUCCUCUUUUUUUUUCUUUGUCUCUUUGAUUUUCUUCCUAUGGCGCAUAGGGCCUUCUUGGGCUGUCUCACCAGCCCACUAAGGGCUGGUGCACCACCCCCAAGGCCUAUGGGCUUCCCCGGGGGGGGUUCCCCCCCCCCCCGGUGAACACCCGGAACCCAUUCGUCAUUCCCGGUAACUCCGAAAACCUUCCGGUAAUCAAAUGAGGUCAUCCUAUAUAUCAAUCCUCGUUUUCGAACCAUUCCGGAAACCCUCGUGACGUCCGUGAUCUCAUCCGGGACUCCGAACAACAUUCGGUAACCAACCAUAUAACUCAAAUACGCAUAAAACAACGUCGAACCUUAAGUGUGCAGACCGUGCGGGUUCGAGAACUAUGCAGACAUGACCCGAGUGACUCCUCGGUCAAUAUCCAAUAGCGGGACCUGGAUGCCCAUAUUGGAUCCCACAUAUUCUACGAAGAUCUUAUCGUUUGAACCUCAGUGCCAAGGAUUCAUAUAAUCCCGUAUGUCAUUCCCUUUGUCCUUCGGUAUGUUACUUGCCCGAGAUUCGAUCGUCAGUAUCCGCAUACCUAUUUCAAUCUCGUUUACCGGCAAGUCUCUUUACUCGUUCCGUAAUACAAGAUCCCGCAACUUACACUAAGUCACAUUGCUUGCAAGGCUUGUGUGUGAUGUUGUAUUACCGAGUGGGCCCCGAGAUACCUCCCCGUCAUACGGAGUGACAAAUCCCAGUCUCGAUCCAUACUAACUCAACGAACACCUUCGAAGAUACCUGUAGAGCAUCUUUAUAGUCACCCAGUUACGUUGCAACGUUUGAUACACACAAAGCAUUCCUCCGGUGUCAGUGAGUUAUAUGAUCUCAUGGUCAUAGGAACAAAUACUUGACACGCAGAAAACAGUAACAAUAAAAUGACACGGUCAACAUGCUACGUCUAUUAGUUUGGGUCUAGUCCAUCACAUGAUUCUCCUAAUGAUGUGAUCCCGUUAUCAAGUGACAACACUUGCCUAUGGUCAGGAAACCUUGACCAUCUUUGAUCAACGAGCUAGUCAACUAGAGGCUUACUAGGGACAGUGUUUUGUCUAUGUAUCCACACAUGCACUGUGUUUCCAAUCAAUACAAUUAUAGCAUGGAUAAUAAACGAUUAUCAUGAACAAAGAAAUAUAAUAAUAACUAAUUAUUAUUGCCUCUAGGGCAUAUUUCCAACAGUCUCCCACUUGCACUAGAGUCAAUAAUCUAGUUCACAUCACCAUGUGAUUUCAACGAAUCCGACACCCAUAUAGUUCUGGGGUCUGAUCACGUCUUGCUCGUGAGAGAGGUUUUAGUCAAUGGUUCUGAAACUUUCAGAUCCGUGUGUUCUUUACAAAUCUUUAUGUCAUCUUAUAGAUGCUGCUACUACGUGCUAUUCGGAAAUUCUCCAAAUAUCUACUCUACUAUACGAAUCCAUUUCACUACUCAUAGUUAUUCGGAUUAGUGUCANNNNNNNNNNNNNNNNNNNNNNNNNNNNNNNNNNNNNNNNNNNNNNNNNNNNNNNNNNNNNNNNNNNNNNNNNNNNNNNNNNNNNNNNNNNNNNNNNNNNGAUUACCAGAAAAACUUUCGACCAGUAACCCCCAAGGGUCGGGUCAUCAGUAAAAAGAUGAGUCAGGUCUUGAUUACCAGAAAAACUUUCGACCAGUAACCCCAAGGGCCGGGUCAUCAGUAAAAAGAUGAGCCGGGUCUUGAUUAAUAGAAAAACUUUCGACCAGUAACCCCCAAGGGCCGGGUCAUCACUAAAAAGAUGAGCCAGGUCUUUAUGUUGUAUAAUUUUGUCUGAAAAAAUUAUACAUUAGCCCCCAAGUGUCAGGGAUAUUGCUUGCAAUAGUUCUGAGACUUGCCCCUUAUCAUGUACUUCAACAGGAAACUCUUAUCCAGACUGAAUCAGCACUUGGCGACUUGAAGAAAAACUUAUCUGAUCAGCAGGCUGCCCGAGCCAAAUCGGAGGAGAAGUGUCAACUGGUCUUAGCUGAGAUGGAAAAACUAAAAGUCGAUUUAAAAAGGGCUCAAGCUGACCAAGAUGCUUCAACAAAACGAGCAGAGAAAGCUGAAGCCAAGCUAGCUACUGUGCAACAAGAGUUGUCCGGUUUGAAACGUCAUAUCUCAAACAUGGCACAAUCCGUCUUUGGUAAAAUACUCAAACCUUUGUCCUUUUUAAGAAAAUGACUCUUAUCUUGAGUCGCUGAUCAUCAUUACCCCUUGUAUAGGUCCAAGAGCCGCCAACCUUCAGGAUGAUUGCGUGCUGAUGCUGAAGGCGAUUUACACGCUGACAGAACAGCUAUAUACCGGCAGUGUACUGACUGUAAAAGCAGUGAUGGGCGCCAAGGAGCCUAUAACCUCCAUAAAGAAGAUUCUUGGCUGCCUAUCCAUGCUUCCUCCCCAGAUUGGUGAUUUAACUCGGUCAGCUGCCCGGAAGGGAGCACUGACUACAUUAAGUCGCUGCUUAGCGUAUGCUCCAAAGAUCAACCCAGAAGAAGUAGCGGCGGGCUUUCCUCCACUCAAGGAUGACGGGUCAGAAUUCGCCGAAGAGGACUACCAGCGUGUCGUCAAGGACUCUCGGCUGGCGGCGACUCAACUUGCUACAAGUAUGGACUUAUCAAAGUACCAGGCUGCUUAUGAUAGUAAAAACAAGAAGGUCAACCCGCCAACCUUUGUGACAACCAGCUUAACUCCACGGCGACCCAAGAACCCUUUUGACUUGGACGCAGAUCUUUCAUCAAUCCUAACCGAUGAAGAUGACUUUGCGGCUCUGGCCAAGUGUAACUGGGUACUGGGCGACUUGCAAAUUGAGGUUGGCCAAAGCUCGCAGCAAAACGAUCCAAGGGCGUCAGCAGAAUAAACUUCGUUGAUUUGGCCCUAAGAGCCAUGUAAUAGGUCUCCUUUAGGAAUCGGUAUUGUUUUUGUGACACCUUCAAAAAGAAUCAUUAUGUCGCCCUUAAGGCGAUUUGAAAUACUGGAUCCGCCGUUUGAAAAUUCUUUAUAAUGCUUAAUCCGCCAUGGAUAAAGUGAUUUUGAUCAUCAACCUGUUCUGAGCUUGAAAAACAUAUGUGAAAUCAUCUUAAUGAAUAAUAAGUGAUAACAAAUAUUUCAAGAUGAAUCAGAAAAAAGUUUGGAAAACCUUGUGGCAGUGCCAGGAAGGUAAAUAAAGAAUAGCAAUUUCGUCGGCUCAUAAGGUCGCGACAGGAUGGGGCGAGUCAGAAAGCUCAAACGCCACCCAAGAAUGAUUUCGUCGGCUCAUAAGGUCGCGACAGGAUGGGGCGAGUGAGAAAGCUCAAGCGCGCACCCUAGAUGAUGGUUUCGUCGGCUCAUAAGGUUGCGACAGGAUGGGGCGAGUCAGAAAGCUCAAGCACGCACCCUAGAUGAUUUCGUCGGCUCAUAAGGUCGCGACAGGAUGGGGCGAGUCAAAAAGCUCAAGCGCGCACCCUAAAUGAUGGUUUCGUCGGCUCAUAAGGUCGCGACAGGAUGGGGCGAGUCAGAAAGCUCAAGCGCGCACCCUAAAUGAUUUCGUCGGCUCAUAAGGUCGCGACAGGAUGGGGCGAGUCAGAAAGCUCAAGCGCGCACCCUAAAUGAUGGUUUCGUCGGCUCAUAAGGUCGCGACAGGAUGGGGCAAGUCAGAAAGCUCAAGCGCCACCCUAGAUGAUGAUGAUUCCGUCGGCUCAUAAGGUCGCGACGGGAUGACAAAAUUGAUCUCAAUGAAGAAGCCCCCAAGUCGGGAAGCAUUUUAACUUUAUUACUUCAUAAUAAAACUGAAAAACUUACAAAAUGCCAAGCUUAAGAGCUCAAGUGUAAUAAGGCCGCAAGUGGGCAAUAUUCCAGGGGCGAGUUGACUCAGCCUCCGUGGUCGGCCGGUUAGGUCGGAGAUCCACCAGAUAAUAAGAGUCGUUGUGAAGAUUUUUGUUGACGACGAACGGUCCUUCCCAUGGCGGUGACAACUUAUGCAUGCCAGCACGAUCUUGUAUCAACCAAAGGACUAAGUUGCCUUCCUGAAAGGUCCGGCUCUUAACCCGGCGGUUGUGAUAACGCCGUAGAUCCUGUUGAUAGAUGGCCGAACGGGCCGCAGCCAAGUCACGUGCUUCUUCUAAUGCGUCCAAGGAGUCUUGACGCGCCAUUUCGUUGUCUUGCUCCACAUAUGUGGCGACUCUAGGCGACUCAUGCCUUAUGUCAGUAGGAAGAACGGCUUCUGCUCCGUAGACCAGAAAGAAAGGGGUAAAACACGUGGACCGGUUCGGGGUGGUCCGGAGGUUCCAUAGUACUGAAGGCAAUUCUUUGACCCAACAUCCUGGGGUUUUCUCCAGGGGAACCAUGAGUCGGGGCUUGAUUCCUCGUAAAACCUCCUGAUUCGCCCGUUCCGCCUGCCCAUUAGACUGUGGGUGAGCAACCGCAGAAACAUCAAGCCGGAUAUGUUCUCGACGGAAAAACUCCUGCAUCGCCCCUUGGGAUAGGUUAGUACCAUUAUCAGUAAUGAUACUAUGUGGAUAUCCAAUCCGGAAGAUCAGCUUCUUCAAGAACUUGACUGUUGUCUCCGCAUCGCAAGUUCCAAUAGGUUCUGCCUCAACCCACUUGGUGAACUUAUCAACCGCCACGAGCAAAUGGGUUUUCUUGUUGGAUGACAUUUUAAAGGGGCCGACCAUGUCUAACCCCCAGACCGCAAAAGGCCAAGUGAUGGGAAUCAUUCUUAGUUCUUGAGCCGGCACAUGAGCCUGUCGUCCAUAACGCUGGCAUCCCUCGCACCGACGAACUAUCUCUUCUGCAUCUGCAUGAGCCGUCAACCAAAAGAAACCAUGACGGAAUGCCUUUGACACCAAAGAGCGUGACCCGGCAUGAUGCCCACAGUCCCCGGAAUGAAUGUCAUUUAAUAUUAUGCAUCCUUCUUCGGAGGAAACGCAUCGUUGAAAAACUCCAGAGGCGCUGCGCUUAUAUAAUUCGCCAUUGAUGAUCACCAUGGAUUUGCUCCGCCAAACGAUCUGACGGGCCGAAACUUCGUCUCUUGGUAACUCGCCUUGGGUGAGAUAAGCCAAAUAGGGAAGAACCCAAUCCGGCGUGACGUGGAGAGCCGCCACGAACUGAGACUCAGGAUCCGGUAUUGCCAACUCCUCCUCCGAUGGUAAACUCACGGAUGGUUUAUGCAGAACAUCUAGAAAAACAUUGGGAGGAACUCGCUUUCGCUGGGAACCAAGACGUGAAAGGGCGUCAGCUGCCUCGUUGAGGCGCCGAUCAAUGUGGUCAACUUGAUAGCCAUGAAAAUGACCCGCCACGUCAGACACAGCCCUUCUGUAAGCCGCCAUCACGGGGUCCCGAGAAUCCCAGGUACCUGAAACUUGUUGCGCCACCAGAUCAGAGUCGCCAAAACAUCGGACUCGUGUCAGGUUCAUCUCCUUGGCGAGUCGCAAGCCGUGAAGCAAAGCUUCGUAUUCCGCAGCAUUGUUAGUGCACAGAAACAUGAGUCGGAGGACAUAACAGAAUUUAUCUCCUUGAGGGGAUACCAGUACCACACCAGCCCCCGAGCCUUCAAGCUGUCUGGAUCCAUCAAAAUAAAUAGUCCAGUAUGUAAGAUCAGGCCUGUCCUCCGGGGCCUGCAACUCCGUCCAAUCAUUGACGAAAUCAACUAAGGCUUGAGACUUGAUGGUUGUGCGAGGGGUGUAUCGUACAUGAUGCGGCCCAAGUUCAAUCGCCCACUUGGCAAUCCGCCCUGUUGCCUCCCGAUUCUGGAUGAUGUCCCCGAGGGGGGAAGAACUAACCACUGUGAUAGGAUGUUCUUGGAAAUAAUGCUUAAGUUUCCGACUCGCCAUAAACACCCCAUACACUAACUUCUGCCAAUGUGGGCACCGUUGCUUGGAAAGUGUUAGCACUUCGCUGAUAAAAUACACCGGGCGUUGCACUGGGUACUCCUUGCCUUCCUCCUUUGUUUCAACGACCACUGCCACACUUACUGCUUUGGAGUUUGUCGCAAUAUAUAGAAGUAUGGGCUCUUUCUCAGUCGGGGCGGCUAGGACCGGCGGGUUGACGAGCUGCCGUUUCAAGGCUUCGAGCGCCUCGUCUGCCUCAUUUGUCCAAACAAACUGGUCAGAUUUCUUUAGUAAUUGAUAAAGAGGAAUCACCUUUUCUCCUAGGCGGCUUACGAAGCGACUUAGAGCCGCAAUGCGACCCGCCAGUUGUUGAACUUGAUUAACAUUUGCCGGCUUUCCAAGGGAUGUAACUGCUUCAAUUUUGUCCGAGUUAGCUUCAAUGCCUCGCUCAGACACCAGGAAGUCCAACAAUUUCCCUGCAGGAACACCAAAAACACACUUGGUGGGAUUCAGCUUCAUCUGAUAUACUCGCAGAUUAUCGAAAGUCUCCUUGAGAUCCUCCAGUAGCGUCUCCCCCUGGCGGGUUUUGAUCACAAUAUCGUCGACAUAGGCGUGGACGUUGCGACCGAUUUGGCUGCGGAGGCAAUUCUGGAUGCAGUGUUGAUAAGUCGCCCCCGCACUCUUGAGUCCAAAAGGCAUGGACACAUAGCAAAAAGCCCCAAAGGGGGUUAUAAAAGAUGUUUUCUCUUGAUCCUCCACGGCCAUCUUGAUCUGGUGAUAUCCAUAGUAGGCGUCCAAAAAGCACAAUCGUUCGCAUCCCGCCACCGAGUCAAUGAUCUGGUCGAUGCGGAGAAGAGCGAAAGGAUCUUUCGGACAAGCUCUGUUGAGGUCCGUGUAAUCAAUGCACAUACGGAAGGUACCGUUCUUCUUGAGUACCAAAACCGGGUUAGCCAGCCAUUUGGGGUGGAAAACUUCCACGAUGAAUCCGGAGGCUAAGAGACGGGCAACCUCUUCCCCGAUCGCCUUGCAUCGCUCCUCGUUAAACCUGUGAAGAUACUGCUGGAUAGGCUUUGCCUUUGGGUCAACAUUAAGAUAGUGCUCAGCGAAUUCUCUCGGCACACCAGGCAUGUGAGAAGGUUUCCAUACGAAGAUGUCUCGAUUCUCACGGAUGAAUUCGAUGAGCGCGCUUUCCUAUUUGGGAUCCAGACCCGUCCCGAUGGUGAACUGCUUGGAUGAAUCUGGCGGCGGGUUCGGUCAAGGACUUCGGGGUCCAUGGACAGUGACAAGCCCCCAAGACAAUCCCCAUCUAGAGACCGGAUUGAAUCUGAACCGCCCAUGGAUGAUUCGUCAUCAGUGUUGACUGGUGUAGUUUCCUGGGAUGCUGAGUGUUCUGGUUCCUCCGAUCCCUGCGUGAACCCAACAAAGACCGGGCGAGUCAGAUUUUGCAUCACUGCUGGGCGGACGUACCUGGCCGGCUCGACGAUGUCGAUGGAGAUGUCCGGCUCAGGCACGGACGAUCCGAUCAUGCCGAUGAAGAUGUUGAUCUUGUUGAAGGGGACCCUGUAGCCAGUUUCGAUCGAAUCCGCCUCGGGUCCCCAUUGCCGGUUGUCGAUGUAGAUCUUCCCACGGCGGCUCCGGGUCCUGAGCCCCGCCGCGUAACUCCCAAACCCUGGUAGGGCUCCCUUUGAGAACUCAACUCCACCGUGCAUAGGCCCCACGGUGGGCGCCAACUGUCGUGGUUUUGUCACGGCAGAUGUCCUCGUGAAAGGACUUAGUACUGGAGCCAUCGCACCUUGGUGGCGACUCAAAGGGGUUGAACGGGAGAAACACGACGAUUUACCCAGGUUCGGCCCCUCGUGAGGAGGUAAAGGCUUACGUCCUGCUUUGAGUUGUAUUGAUGAAGUUUCGAUUACAAGGAGGGCUUAACUCACCAGACCUAGCACUCGAUGAUUUCUAACCUGUCCCCUUCUUCCCUGGGACUCGCCUUUAUAUAUAGGUCGAACCCCUAGGGUUUAUAAGGGUACUUUCCUUUCUACAAAUCGUGACCUCUACGGUCUCCAAGUCGCCAUCUUCCAAAGCUUGGAGACCUUCCGGAAAUUAUAAACCGCCAUACAACCUUCGGUCUUGCCAGGCCAAGGCCCAAAACCACGCUCACGUGAAUCGCCUGAUUUGGUGACCCGGCCCAACUAGGGCGGGUUAUUAAUAGGUAAUACCCCCAACACCAUGGGUUAGUACACAAAAGUGUAAUGGACAACGGCUACCAUACCAUGGGAUCACUUGAUCCCUCUCGAUACAUCUUGUAUGCUUUGUGUGUUGAUCAGCUUGAUUUACUCUUUGACUUAGUCUUGAUCAACCUUGUGUCUUUAUGACCCAUCUUUGGAUAAAACCUUUAAUACCACCUUGGUCAACAUAUAAACUCCUUGAAACCAACAGAUGGACUUCAAGAAGUGACUAAGGACAAACCCUACAAAUAUAACUUAAGGCAACCAUUAGUCCAUAGGGAGUGUCAUCAAUUACCAAAACCACAUAUAGAGAAAUAUGCUCUAACAAUUAGCUUCCUCUUAAAUUGGUGUAGGUGUCAUAGAAACAUCUUUAUGUGUCGUGCUACUCUCCAAUUGAAGUGACGGUUUAACAACCUCAUCAAGUUUUAUGUUCCUCCCACUCAACUCUUUCGAGAGAAACACCUUCUCUAGAAAGGAUCCAUUCUUGGCAACAAAAACCUUGCCUUCGAAUCUGAGAUAGAAGGUGUACCCAAAUGUUUCCUUAGGGUAUCCUAUGAAGAUAACUUCUCCGCUUUGGGUUUGAGCUUAUCAAGCUGAAGCCUUUUUACAUAAGCAUCGCAACCCUCAACUUCAAGAAACGACAACUUAGGUUUCUUGCCAAACCAUAUUUCAUAUGGUGUCAUCUCAACGGAUUUAGAUGGUGCCCUAUUUAAAGUGAAUGUAUUUGUCUCUAAUGCAUAACCCCAAAACAAUAGUGGCAGAUGAGUAAGAGACAUCAUAGCUCACACCAUAUCCAAUAGAGUACGAUUACAACACUCGCACACACCAUUACACUGUGGUGUUCCAGGUGGCAUGAGUGGGAGUUUAGCAUAUAAUUUGAUUAAGUUGAACUCUAAUUAUCUUGAACAUAGCCUAAGUCCACUUUGAAUAUAUUUGUGUUGUAGAUCAUGGCUCACGCGCUAGUCAUCCUGAAUUUUAAUACGUUCCUAGAGAAAGCUAAGUUGAGAGAUGAUGGAAGCAACUUUGUAGACUGGGCACGUAAUCUUAAGCUAAUCUUAAAAGCUGGGAAGAAGGAUUAUGUCCUUAAUGCUGCGCUAGGAGAUGAACCACCCGCUACGGCUGAUCAGGAUGUUAAGAACGCUUGGUUAGCACGUAAGGAGUACUACUCAAUAGUUCAAUGUGCAGUCUUGUAUGGCUUAGAACCGGGACUUCAACGUCGCUUUGAGCGUCAUGGAGCAUUUGAGAUGUUCCAGGAGUUGGAGUUUAUCUUUCAGAAGAAUGCCCGGAUCGACAGGUAUGAGACCUCCGAUAAAUUCUAUGCUUGCAAGAUGGAGGAAAACUCGUCUGUGAGUGAACAUGUGCUCAAAAUGUCUGGGUACUCAAACCGUCUAGCUGAGCUGGGGAUUGAACUCCCGCAAGAAGCUAUCACUGACAGAAUCCUUCAAUCACUGCCGCCAAGCUACAAAGGCUUUGUGUUGAACUACAACAUGCAAGGGAUGAACAAGUCUCCCGGCGAGUUGUUUGCGAUGUUGAAAGUCGCAGAGUCUGAACUCCAUAAAGAGCAUCAAGUGUUGAUGGUGAAUAAGACCACUAGUUUCAAAAGAAACGGCAAAGGCAAGAAGGGCAAUUCGAAGAAGAGCGGCAAGCCUGUUGCCAAUCCGCCGAAGAAACCCAAAGCUGGACCUAAGCCUGAAACGGAGUGCUACUAUUGCAAGGGUAUGGGUCACUGGAAGCGCAAUUGCCCCAAGUAUCUCGCAGAUAAGAAGGCGGGCAAAGAAAAAUCAGGUAUAUUUGAUAUACAUGUUAUUGAUGUGUACCUAACCGGCUCUCGUAGUAGUGCCUGGGUAUUCGAUACCGGUUCUGUUGCUCAUAUUUGCAACUCGAAACAGGAACUGCGGAAUAGACGAAGGCUGGCGAAAGAUGAAGUGACGAUGCGCGUAGGAAAUGGUUCCAAGGUUGAUGCAAUCGCCGUCGGCACAGUAUCACUUCAUCUACCGUCAGGAUUAGUGAUGAACUUAAAUCAUUGUUAUUUAGUGCCUGCGUUGAGCAUGAACAUUAUAUCUGGAUCUUGUUUAUUGCGAGACGGUUACUCUUUUAAGUCAGAGAAUAAUGGUUGUUCUAUUUCUAUGAGUAACAUAUUUUAUGGUCAUGCACCGAAUGUGAGAGGAUUGUUCAUAUUGAAUCUUGAUAGCGAUACGCAUAUACAUAACAUUGAGACCAAAAGAGUUAGAGUAAACAAUGAUAGCGCCAUAUUUUUGUGGCACUGCCGCUUGGGUCAUAUUGGUGUAAAGCGCAUGAAGAAACUCCAUGCUGAUGGACUUUUGGAGUCACUUGACUUUGAUUCACUUGACACGUGCGAACCAUGCCUCAUGGGCAAGAUGACUAAGACUCCGUUCUCCGGAACAAUGGAGCGUGCAAGUGACUUAUUGGAAAUCAUACAUACCGAUGUGUGUGGUCCGAUGAGCAUGGAGGCACGCGGCGGAUAUCGUUAUUUUCUCACCUUCACUGACGAUUUAAGUAGAUAUGGUUAUGUCUACUUGAUGAAGCACAAGUCUGAAACAUUUGAAAAGUUCAAGCAAUUUCAGAGUGAAGUGGAAAAUCAUCGUAACAAGAAGAUCAAGUUCCUACGGUCUGAUCGUGGGGGUGAAUAUCUGAGUUUCGAGUUUGGUGAUCACUUAAGAAAAUGUGGAAUUGUUUCACAGUUGACACCGCCUGGAACACCACAGCGUAAUGGUGUGUCCGAACGUCGUAAUCGUACUUUGUUAGAGAUGGUGUCAUCUAUGAUGUCUCUUACUGAUUUGCCGUUAUCAUUUUGGGGUUAUGCAUUAGAAACAGCUGCAUUCACUUUAAAUAGGGCACCAUCAAAAUCCGUUGAGACGACACCAUACGAACUGUGGUAUGGCAAAAGGCCAAAGUUGUCGUUUCUUAAAGUUUGGGGAUGUGAUGCUUAUGUCAAAAAGCUUCAGCCUGAAAAGCUGGAACCCAAAGCGGAAAAGUGCGUCUUCAUAGGUUACCCAAAAGUGACCGUUGGGUACACCUUCUAUCUCAAAUCCGAGGGCAAAGUGUUUGUUGCUAAGAACGGAGCUUUUCUUGAGAAGGAGUUUCUCUCGAGAGAAUUGAGUGGGAGGAAGAUAGAACUUGACGAGGUUGUCGAACCUCUCAUCCCCCUGGAUGGUGGCGCAGGGCAAGGGGAAACCUCUAUCGUUGCGACGCCGGUUGAGGAGGAAGUUAAUGAUGAUGAUCAUGAAACUCCAGUUCAAGUUUCUGUUGAACCACGCAGGUCGACGAGAUCACGUGCUGCUCCAGAGUGGUACGGUAAUCCCGUCUUAUCAAUCAUGUUGUUAGACAACAAUGAACCUGCAAAUUAUGAAGAAGCAAUGGUGGGCCCAGAUUCCAACAAAUGGCUAGAAGCCAUGAAGUCCGAGAUAGGAUCCAUGUAUGAGAACAAAGUGUGGACUUUGGAGAUACUACCUGAGGGCCGCAAGGCUAUUCAGAACAAAUGGAUCUUUAAGAAGAAGACGGACGCUGACGGCAAUGUGACCGUUUAUAAAGCUCGACUUGUGGCAAAGGGUUUUUCACAAGUUCCAGGAGUUGACUACGAUGAGACUUUCUCACCCGUAGCGAUGCUUAAGUCCGUCAGAAUCAUGUUAGCAAUAGCUGCAUUUUUCGAUUAUGAAAUCUGGCAGAUGGAUGUCAAAACGGCGUUCCUUAACGGUUUCCUUAAGGAAGAGUUGUAUAUGAUGCAACCCGAAGGUUUUGUCGAUCCUAAGAAUGCUAACAAGGUGUGCAAGCUCCAGCGAUCCAUUUAUGGACUGGUGCAAGCAUCUCGGAGUUGGAACAAACGCUUUGAUGAGGUGAUCAAAGCAUUUGGGUUUAUACAAGUGGUUGGAGAAUCUUGUAUUUACAAGAAAGUGAGUGGGAGCUCUGUGGCGUUUCUAAUAUUAUAUGUGGAUGACAUAUUACUGAUUGGAAACAACGUAGAGCUUUUGGAGAGCAUAAAAGGUUACUUGAAUGAAAGUUUCUCUAUGAACGACCUAGGAGAAGCUGCUUACAUUCUAGGCAUUAAGAUCUAUAGGGAUAGAUCAAAACGCCUGAUAGGACUUUCACAAAGCACAUACCUUGAUAAAGUUUUGAAGAGGUUCAAAAUGGAACAGUCCAAGAAAGGGUUCUUGCCAGUUUUACAAGGUACAAUAUUGAGUAAGACUCAGUGCCCAGCAACUGAUGAAGAUAGAGAGCAUAUGCGCUCUGUCCCCUAUGCUUCAGCCAUAGGUUCUAUCACGUAUGCAAUGCUAUGCACUAGACCGGAUGUUAGCCUAGCCAUAAGUAUGGCAGGUAGGUUCCAGAGUAAUCCAGGAGUGGAUCACUGGACGGCGGUCAAGAAUAUCCUGAAGUACCUGAAAAGGACUAAGGAGAUGUUUCUCGUGUAUGGAGGUGACGAAGAGCUCACCGUAAAAGGUUACGUCGAUGCAAGCUUUGACACAGAUCCGGAUGACUCUAAGUCGCAAACCGGAUACGUAUUUAUUCUUAAUGGGGGUGCGGUAAGCUGCUACAGUUCCAAGCAAAGCGUCGUAGCAGAUUCUACAUGUGAAGCGGAGUACAUGGCUGCCUCGGAGGCGGCUAAGGAGGGUGUCUGGAUGAAGCAGUUCAUGACGGAUCUUGGAGUGGUGCCAGGCGCACUGAAUCCGAUAACCUUGUUCUGUGACAACACGGGUGCCAUUGCCUUAGCAAAGGAACCACGGUUUCACAAGAAGACCAGACACAUCAAACGACGCUUCAACCUCAUCCGCGACUACGUCGAGGGAGAGGACGUAAAUAUAUGCAAAGUGCACACGGAUCUGAAUGUAGCAGACCCGCUGACUAAACCUCUUCCACGGCCAAAACAUGAUCAACACCAGAACUGUAUGGGUGUUAGAUUUAUUACAAUGUAAUUCACAUGGUGAUGUGAGGGCUGGAUUAUUGACUCUAGUGCAAGUGGGAGACUGUUGGAAUUAUGCCCUAGAGGCAAUAAUAAAUAUAGUUAUUGUUAUAAUUCCUGUAUCAAGAUAAUCGUUUGUUAUCCAUGCUAUAAUUGUAUUGAAUGAAGACUCAUUUACAUGUGUGGAUACAUAGACAAAACACCGUCCCUAGCAAGCCUCUAGUUGGCUAGCCAGUUGAUCGAAGAUAGUUAGUGUCUUCUGAUUAUGAACAAGGUGUUGUUGCUUGAUAACUGGAUCACGUCAUUAGGAGAAUCACGUGAUGGACUAGACCCAAACUAAUAGACGUAGCAUGUUGAUCGUGUCAUUUUGUUGCUACUGUUUUCUGCGUGUCAAGUAUUUAUUCCUAUGACCAUGAGAUCAUAUAACUCACUGACACCGGAGGAAUGCUUUGUGUGUAUCAAACGUCGCAACGUAACUGGGUGACUAUAAAGAUGCUCUACAGGUAUCUCCGAAGGUGUUAGUUGAGUUAGUAUGGAUCAAGACUGGGAUUUGUCACUCCGUGUGACGGAGAGGUAUCUCGGGGCCCACUCGGUAAUACAACAUCACACACAAGCCUUGCAAGCAAUGUAACUUAGUGUAAGUUGCGGGAUCUUGUAUUACGGAACGAGUAAAGAGACUUGCCGGUAAACGAGAUUGAAAUAGGUAUGCGGAUACUGACGAUCGAAUCUCGGGCAAGUAACAUACCGAAGGACAAAGGGAAUGACAUACGGGAUUAUAUGAAUCCUUGACACUGAGGUUCAAACGAUAAGAUCUUCGUAGAAUAUGUAGGAUCCAAUAUGGGCAUCCAGGUCCCGCUAUUGGAUAUUGACCGAGGAGUCUCUCGGGUCAUGUCUACAUAGUUCUCGAACCCGCAGGGUCUGCACACUUAAGGUUCGACGUUGUUUUAUGCGUAUUUGAGUUAUAUGGUUGGUUACCGAAUGUUGUUCGGAGUCCCGGAUGAGAUCACGGACGUCACGAGGGUUUCCGGAAUGGUCCGGAAACGAAGAUUGAUAUAUAGGAUGACCUCAUUUGAUUACCGGAAGGUUUUCGGAGUUACCGGGAAUGUACCGGGAAUGACGAAUGGGUUCCGGGAGUUCACCGGGGGGGCAACCCACCCCGGGGAAGCCCAUAGGCCUUGGGGGAGACACACAAGCCCUUAGUGGGCUGGUGGGACAGCCCACAAGUGCCCUAUGCGCCAAGGAGAAGAAAAUCAAGAGAGAAAAAAAAAGGAGGAGGUGGGAAGGAAGGGGGACUCCCUCCCACCAAACCUAGUCCAACUCGGUUUGGGGGGGGAGAGUCCUCCCCCUUGGACUCGGCCGACCCCCUUGGGGCUCCUUGAGCCCCAAGGCAAGGUCCCCUCCCUCCCACCUAUAUAUACGGAGGUUUUAGGGCUGAUUUGAGACGACUUUUCCACGGCAGCCCGACCACAUACCUCCACGGUUUUUCCUCUAGAUCGCGUUUCUGCGGAGCUCGGGCGGAGCCCUGCUGAGACAAGGUCAUCACCAACCUCCGGAGCGCCGUCACGCUGCCGGAGAACUCUUCUACCUCUCCGUCUCUCUUGCUGGAUCAAGAAGGCCGAGAUCAUCGUCGAGCUGUACGUGUGCUGAACGCGGAGGUGCCGUCCGUUCGGUACUAGAUCGUGGGACUGAUCGCGGGAUUGUUCGCGGGGCGGAUCGAGGGACGUGAGGACGUUCCACUACAUCAACCGCGUUCUCUAACGCUUCUGCUGUACGGUCUACAAGGGUACGUAGAUCACUCAUCCCCUCUCGUAGAUGGACAUCACCAUGAUAGGUCUUCGUGCGCGUAGGAAAAUUUUUGUUUCCCAUGCGACGUUCCCCAACAGUGGCAUCAUGAGCUAGGUUCAUGCGUAGAUGUCUUCUCGAGUAGAACACAAAAGUUUUUGUGGGCGGUGAUGUGCGUUUUGCUGCCCUCCUUAGUCUUUUCUUGAUUCCGCGGUAUUGUUGGAUUGAAGCGGCUUGGACCGACAUUACUCGUACGCUUACGAGAGACUGGUUUCAUCGUUACGAGUGACCCCCUUUGCUCAAAGAUGACUGGAAAGUGUCGGUUUCUCCAACUUUAGUUGAAUCGGAUUUUACCGAGGAGGUCCUUGGAUGAGGUUAAAUAGCAACUCAUAUAUCUCCGUUGUGGUGUUUGCGUAAGUAAGAUGCGAUCCUACUAGAUACCCAUGGUCACCACGUAAAACAUGCAACAACAAAAUUAGAGGACGUCUAACUUGUUUUUGCAGGGUAUGAUUGUGAUGUGAUAUGGCCAACGAUGUGAUGUGAUAUAUUGGAUGUAUGAGAUGAUCAUGUUGUAAUAGAAAUAUCGACUUGCACGUCGAUGGUACGGCAACCGGCAGGAGCCAUAGGGUUGUCUUUAUACUAACGUUUGUGCUUGCAGAUGCGUUUACUAUUUUGCUAGGAUGUAGCUUUAGUAGUAAUAGCAUGAGUAGCACGACAACCCCGAUGGCAACACGUUGAUGGAAGAUCAUGGUGUGGCGCCGAUGACAAGAAGAUCGUGCCGGUGCUUUGGUGAUGGAGAUCAAGAAGCACGUGAUGAUGGCCAUAUCAUGUCACUUAUGAAUUGCAUGUGAUGUUAAUCCUUUUAUGCACCUUGUUUUGCUUAGAACGACGGUAGCAUUAUGAGGUGAUCUCUCACUGAAAUUUCAAGACGAAAUUGUGUUCUCCCCGACUGUGCACCGUUGCUACAGUUCGUCGUUUCGAGACACCACGUGAUGAUCGGGUGUGAUAGACUCAACGUUCACAUACAACGGGUGCAAAACAGUUGCGCACGCGGAACACUCGGGUUAAGCUUGACGAGCCUAGCAUGUGCAGACAUGGCCUCGGAACACAUGAGACCGAAAGGUCGAUCAUGAAUCAUAUAGUUGAUAUGAUUAGCAUAGGGAUGCUUACCACUGAAACUAUACUCAACUCACGUGAUGAUCGGACUUGGGAUAGUGUAAGUGGAUCACGAACCACUCAAAUGACUAGAGAGAUGUACUUUUUGAGUGGGAGUUUAGCAUAUAAUUUGGUUAAGUUGAACUCUAAUUAUCUUGAACAUAGUCUAAGUCCACUUUGAAUAUAUUUGUGUUGUAGAUCAUGGCUCACGCGACAGUCAUCCUGAAUUUUAAUACGUUCCUAGAGAAAGCUAAGUUGAAAGAUGAUGGAAGCAACUUUGUAGACUGGGCUCGUAAUCUUAAGCUAAUCUUACAAGCUGGGAAGAAGGAUUAUGUCCUUAAUGCUGCGCUAGGAGAUGAACCACCCGCUACGGCUGAUCAGGAUGUUAAGAACGCUUGGUUAGCACGUAAGGAGGACUACUCAAUAGUUCAAUGUGCAGUCUUGUAUGGCUUAGAACCGGGACUUCAACGUCGCUUUGAGCGUCAUGGAGCAUUUGAGAUGUUCCAGGAGUUGGAGUUUAUCUUUCAGAAGAACGCCCGGAUCGAGAGGUAUGAGACCUCCGAUAAAUUCUAUGCUUGCAAGAUGGAGGAAAACUCGUCUGUGAGUGAACAUGUGCUCAAAAUGUCUGGGUACUCAAACCGUCUAGCUGAGCUGGGGAUUGAACUCCCGCAAGAAGCUAUCACUGACAGAAUCCUUCAAUCACUGCCGCCAAGCUACAAAGGCUUUGUGUUGAACUACAACAUGCAAGGGAUGAACAAGUCUCCCGGCGAGAUGUUUGCGAUGUUGAAAGUCGCAGAGUCUGAACUCCGUAAAGAGCAUCAAGUGUUGAUGGUGAAUAAGACCACUAGUUUCAAGAGAAACGGCAAAGCCAAGAAGGGAAAUUCGAAGAAGAGCGGCAAGCAUGUUGCCAAUCCGCCGAAGAAACCCAAAGCUGGACCUAAGCCUGAAACGGAGUGCUACUAUUGCAAGGGUAUGGGUCACUGGAAGCGCAAUUGCCCCAAGUAUCUCGCAGAUAAGAAGGCGGGCAAAGAAAAAUCAGGUAUAUUUGAUAUACAUGUUAUUGAUGUGUACCUAACCGGCUCUCGUAGUAGUGCCUGGGUAUUCGAUACCGGUUCUGUUGCUCAUAUUUGCAACUCGAAACAGGAACUGCGCCCCCCCCGAAGGCUGGCGAAAGAUGAAGUGACGAUGCGCGUAGGAAAUGGUUCCAAGGUUGAUGCAAUCGCCGUCGGCACAGUAUCACUUCAUCUACCGUCAAGAUUAGUGAUGAACUUAAAUCAUUGUUAUUUAGUGCCUGCGUUGAGCAUGAACAUUAUAUCUGGAUCUUGUUUAUUGCGAGAUGGUUACUCUUUUAAGUCAGAGAAUAAUGGUUGUUCUAUUUCUAUGAGUAACAUCUUUUAUGGUCAUGCACCGAAUGUGAGAGGAUUGUUCAUAUUGAAUCUUGAUAGCGAUACGCAUAUACAUAACAUUGAGACCAAAAGAGUUAGAGUAAACAAUGAUAGCGCCAUAUUUUAGUGGCACUGCCGCUUGGGUCAUAUUGGUGUAAAGCGCAUGAAGAAACUCCAUGCUGAUGGACUUUUGGAGUCACUUGACUUUGAUUCACUUCACACAUGCGAACCAUGCCUCAUGGGCAAAAUGACUAAGACUCCGUUCUCCGGAACAAUGGAGCGUGCAAGUGACUUAUUUGAAAUCAUACUUACCGAUGUGUGUGGUCCGGUGAGCAUGGAGGCACGCGGCGGAUAUCGUUAUUUUCUCACCUUCACUGACGAUUUGAGUAGGUAUGGCUAUGUCUACUUGAUGAAGCACAAGUCUGAAACAUUUGAAAAGUUCAAGCAAUUUCAGAGUGAAGUGGAAAAUCAUCGUAACAAGAAGAUCAAGUUCCUACGGUCUGAUCGUGGGGGUGAAUAUCUGAGUUUCGAGUUUGGUGAUCACUUAAGAAAAUGUGGAAUGUUUUCACAGUUGACACCGCCUGGAACACCACAGCGUAAUGGUGUGUCCGAACGUCGUAAUCGUGCUUUGUUAGAGAUGGUGCCAUCUAUGAUGUCUCUUACUGAUUUGCCGUUAUCAUUUUGGGGUUAUGCAUUAGAAACAGCUGCAUUCACUUUAAAUAGGGCACCAUCAAAAUCCGUUGAGACGACACCAUACGAAGUGUGGUAUGGCAAAAGGCCAAAGUUGUCGUUUCUUAAAGUUUGGGGAUGUGAUGCUUAUGUCAAAAAGCUUCAGCUUGGAAAGCUGGAACCCAAAGUGGAAAUGUGCGUCUUCAUAGGUUACCCAAAAGAGACAGUUGGGUACACCUUCUAUCUCAAAUCCAAGGGCAAAGUGUUUGUUGCUAAGAACGGAGCUUUUCUCGAGAAGGAGUUUCUCUCGAGAGAAUUGAGUGGGAGGAAGAUAGAACUUGACGAAGUUGUCGAACCUCUCAUCCCCCUGGAUGGUGGCGCGGGGCAAGGGGAAACCUCUGUCGUUGCUACGCCGGUUGAGGAGGAAGUUAAUGAUGAUGAUCAUGAAACUCCAGUUCAAGUUUCUGUUGAACCACGCAGGUCGACGAAAUCACGUGCUGCUCCAGAGUGGUACGGUAAUCCCGUCUUAUCAAUCAUGUUGUUAGACAACAAUGAACCUGCAAAUUAUGAAGAAGCAAUGGUGGGCCCAGAUUCCAACAAAUGGCUAGAAGCCAUGAAGUCCGAGAUAGGAUCCAUGUAUGAGAACAAAGUGUGGACUUUGGAGAUACUACCUGAGGGCCGCAAGGCUANNNNNNNNNNNNNNNNNNNNNNNNNNNNNNNNNNNNNNNNNNNNNNNNNNNNNNNNNNNNNNNNNNNNNNNNNNNNNNNNNNNNNNNNNNNNNNNNNNNNCUUUCAAAAAANAACUUACGGCACUGGUGCAUUGGUCUGCAACACCUUGGUGCUUGAGCUUGCAUGUCGCAUGCAAGCGACGCCUCCCGGUCGGCCCACUACAGCAGCAGCCCAAGACCUUGCAGCAUCUAGGGUGUCAUGGAUGUGGACACACCAGUUAACUUCGGCAAAGAUUAACUUGGGGCUAUGAACGAUCAUUUAGUUAUUCUUUGCCGGAAAAGCAUCAUUUAGUUAACUCGACAACCACCUGUCAAGCUCGAGGCCAAUGGGGUUGGGUUGGUUGACUUAGAAGUUGUGGAUAUUUGACUUCCAUGUGCUGGUCAACAUUCCAUUAAGUUUUUUUUUUGGAAAUUCUAGACAUAUCUAUCGUUGGCUCGUACAAAAACUAAAAAAUCACUUCAUGUUAGGGUAUGGAUAGCACGGUAGCAUCCAAAGUGCUUGCAACACUAUGACUGAUCUGUGUUUGCGCCUUAAUAAAUGCUUUGUGUAGAUGCUUCAAUAAUGAUAAAAUGAGACCUCAUAUUUGGUGCAAGUCGGCGUCAAAUAGUGGAGGACACGCCUGAAGCCGGGUGCAAAUGGGCCAGCCCUAUCUAACGAGUUCACUUGACUUGUUUUCUUUGUGUGUGUUGUUUUACUUUUUCUUAUGUAGUUUUUCCAUAAAACCUGUCGUUGGAUUAUUUUUAUGAAUCUAAGUAAUUAAAACCUAUUUAUAAAAAAUAUUAAAAAAUAUGUGUGUGUUUAGAAAAGUUCAAUGGGCAUUAAAAAAGUAUUCAGAGCAUAUUAAAAUUUGUGUGCCCUAAAACAUCACUCUAUAGAAAACUUUCAAUGCACUCCCUCCAUUCCUAAAUAUUUGUUUUUUCAGAGGUUUCACUAUGAACUACAUACGGAUGUAUGUAGACACAAUUUAGAAUAUAGAUUCAUUCGUUUUGCUUUGCAUGUAGUCCAUAAUUGAAUCUCUAAAAAGGCGAACACGAGUAUUUAGGAACGGAUGGAGUAUUAAAUAAAUUUUCAGUGUGUAUUUAGAAAAUUGUUCACCAUAUAUUAGAAAAUGUUGAUAGUGUAGAAAACUAUAAAAGAAUAAUGGUGCAAAUAUAAAAACUUAAGUCGGGCUUUGGUCCUUCAUUCAUAUGCGGCCCAGUUAUCAUCCCCAAAUCCAAGCACUGGACUUGGGCUGUUCAGGAUUGUGAAAGUAGGCCUAAUAUCUAUCUGUAGCCGGACACCCGAGAGGCUCGACCAUCAACUUGGGUCCGGCCCCAGCGAUCAAAUGAAAGAAUUCCUUCUCUCUCAAAAAAAAAUUGAAAGAAUUCCUGAAUAGGAAGCCCAUCGGGCAACCUAUCUUCCCUCACCCCCCCCCCCCCCCAAAAAAAAACCUGUCCAGAGCAUUUGUGUGCACUAGGUGCGUACCAAAUGCAAGGCCACAUCACUGGAACCUUCUAGAACCAUGGAGUUAUUCGCUGAUGAAAGCGGUGGUAGGUAUAUCUGCCUAUACGAUGAGCUUAAAGAGUGUCUACACACGCAAAGCGUCCUUCUAAUCCCGAGCUCAAAUGCUCCAGUAAAAGUUUUGAACGGGCCUGCUCCCUGGUCGCAAAUCGAAGAGCUUGGUGCAAGUUAUUUCCUCCCACCCUUAUAGUGCCUUCACCUAAGGACACAACCUACCGAAGAGAGCCCGGGCUCCGGACACUUGGCACGUUUCAUCUACCGCCCAAAACCGCAAAAUGCAGCAUCAAAAUCUUGGCAGAGAGGCCCGAGAAUGUCGCCAAAAAAUCGAAGAAAAAGGCACAGCCUGCGGUCACGCGUGGCCGACGUCGACUAAGAUUCAUAACACGAGAGCCGCCAAAACGGGAACCCCUGGCCACCAUGCAGCUGCAGGGAGGGCAACAAUCCCAUUCCCACGGGAUCGCAACCUUUGUCCCCACGUCUCACGGACGCGUCGUCCAGAGCCUCGGACCAUCUCUCGCCCGUCAGCCACAGCCCCCAAAGCCAAAGCCAAAGCCCAGCAUGAGCAAGCCACCAAACGUACCCCUUCCACGAGCCAUAAAGCAAAAAAGGCCCCACAAACAUCACACGCACGGACGGGCACCACGGAGCCGUAGCAUCGAGCGAAAUGCACGGCCCAAGACGGAAAAACAAAAGGAAGGAGAAACGGAAUCCGCCAACGCGNNNNNNNNNNNNNNNNNNNNNNNNNNNNNNNNNNNNNNNNNNNNNNNNNNNNNNNNNNNNNNNNNNNNNNNNNNNNNNNNNNNNNNNNNNNNNNNNNNNNAUGUGAACUAGAUUAUUGACUCUAGUGCAAGUGGGAGACUGUUGGAAAUAUGCCCUAGAGGCAAUAAUAAAUUAGUUAUUAUUAUAUUUCUUAGUUCAUGAUAAUCAUUUAUUAUCCAUGCUAUAAUUGUAUUGAUUGGAAACACAAUACUUGUGUGGAUACAUAGACAAAACACUGUCCCUAGUAAGCCUCUAGUUGACUAGCUCGUUGAUCAAAGAUGGUCAAGGUUUCCUGGGGGGGGGGGGGGGGGGGCACUUGAUAACGGGAUCACAUCAUUAGGAGAAUCAUGUGAUGGACUAGACCCAAACUAAUAGACGUAGCAUGUUGAUUGUGUCAUUUUGUUGGUACUGUUUUCUGUGUGUCAAGUAUUUGUUCCUAUGACCAUGAGAUCAUAUAACUCACGGACACCAGAGGAAUGCUUUAUGUGUAUCAAACAUCGCAACGUAACUGGGUGACUAUAAAGAUGCUCUACAGGUAUCUCCGAAGGUGUUCGUUGAGUUAGUAUGNNNNNNNNNNNNNNNNNNNNNNNNNNNNNNNNNNNNNNNNNNNNNNNNNNNNNNNNNNNNNNNNNNNNNNNNNNNNNNNNNNNNNNNNNNNNNNNNNNNNCUCAUGCCACCUGGAACACCACAGUGUAAUGGUGUGUGCGAGUGUUGUAAUCGUACUCUAUUGGAUAUGGUGUGAGCUAUGAUGUCUCUUACUCAUCUGCCACUAUUGUUUUGGGGUUAUGCAUUAGAGACAAAUACAUUCACUUUAAAUAGGGCACCAUCUAAAUCCGUUGAGAUGACACCAUAUGAAAUAUGGUUUGGCAAGAAACCUAAGUUGUCGUUUCUUGAAGUUGAGGGAUGCGAUGCUUAUGUAAAAAGGCUUCAGCUUGAUAAGCUCAAACCCAAAGCGGAGAAGUCUUCUUCAUAGGAUACCCUAAGGAAACAUUUGGGUACACCUUCUAUCUCAGAUUCGAAGGCAAGGUUUUUGUUGCCAAGAAUGGAUCCUUUCUAGAGAAGGUGUUUCUCUCGAAAGAGUUGAGUGGGAGGAACAUAAAACUUGAUGAGGUUGUUAAACCGUCACUUCAAUUGGAGAGUAGCACGACACAUAAAGAUGUUUCUAUGACACCUACACCAAUUUAAGAGGAAGCUAAUUGUUAGAGCAUAUUUCUCUAUAUGUGGUUUUGNNNNNNNNNNNNNNNNNNNNNNNNNNNNNNNNNNNNNNNNNNNNNNNNNNNNNNNNNNNNNNNNNNNNNNNNNNNNNNNNNNNNNNNNNNNNNNNNNNNNACAACACUCGCACACACCAUUACACUGUGGUGUUCCAGGUGGCAUGAGUGGGAGUUUAGCAUAUAAUUUGAUUAAGUUGAACUCUAAUUAUCUUGAACAUAGCCUAAGUCCACUUUGAAUAUAUUUGUGUUGUAGAUCAUGGCUCACGCGCUAGUCAUCCUGAAUUUUAAUACGUUCCUAGAGAAAGCUAAGUUGAGAGAUGAUGGAAGCAACUUUGUAGACUGGGCACGUAAUCUUAAGCUAAUCUUAAAAGCUGGGAAGAAGGAUUAUGUCCUUAAUGCUGCGCUAGGAGAUGAACCACCCGCUACGGCUGAUCAGGAUGUUAAGAACGCUUGGUUAGCACGUAAGGAGUACUACUCAAUAGUUCAAUGUGCAGUCUUGUAUGGCUUAGAACCGGGACUUCAACGUCGCUUUGAGCGUCAUGGAGCAUUUGAGAUGUUCCAGGAGUUGGAGUUUAUCUUUCAGAAGAAUGCCCGGAUCGACAGGUAUGAGACCUCCGAUAAAUUCUAUGCUUGCAAGAUGGAGGAAAACUCGUCUGUGAGUGAACAUGUGCUCAAAAUGUCUGGGUACUCAAACCGUCUAGCUGAGNNNNNNNNNNAGCUAUCACUGACAGAAUCCUUCAAUCACUGCCGCCAAGCUACAAAGGCUUUGUGUUGAACUACAACAUGCAAGGGAUGAACAAGUCUCCCGGCGAGAUGUUUGCGAUGUUGAAAGUCGCAGAGUCUGAACUCCGUAAAGAGCAUCAAGUGUUGAUGGUGAAUAAGACCACUAGUUUCAAGAGAAACGGCAAAGCCAAGAAGGGAAAUUCGAAGAAGAGCGGCAAGCAUGUUGCCAAUCCGCCGAAGAAACCCAAAGCUGGACCUAAGCCUGAAACNNNNNNNNNNNNNNNNNNNNNNNNNNNNNNNNNNNNNNNNNNNNNNNNNNNNNNNNNNNNNNNNNNNNNNNNNNNNNNNNNNNNNNNNNNNNNNNNNNNNUUAUUAUUGCCUCUAGGGCAUAUUUCCAACAGUCUCCCACUUGCACUAGAGUCAAUAAUCUAGUUCACAUCACCAUGUGAUUUCAACGAAUCCGACACCCAUAUAGUUCUGGGGUCUGAUCACGUCUUGCUCGUGAGAGAGGUUUUAGUCAAUGGUUCUGAAACUUUCAGAUCCGUGUGUUCUUUACAAAUCUUUAUGUCAUCUUAUAGAUGCUGCUACUACGUGCUAUUCGGAAAUUCUCCAAAUAUCUACUCUACUAUACGAAUCCAUUUCACUACUCAUAGUUAUUCGGAUUAGUGUCAAAGCUUGCAUCGACGNNNNNNNNNNCCAACGAAUCCAACACCCAUAUAGUUAUGGGGUCUGAUCACGUCUUGCUCGUGAGAGAGGUUUUAGUCAACGGUUCUGAAACUUUCAGAUCCGUGCGUUCUUUACUAAUAUUUAUGUCAUCUUAUAGAUGCUGCUACUACGUGCUAUUCGGAAAUGCUCCAAAUAUCUACUCUACUAUACGAAUCCGUUUCACUACUCAUAGUUAUUCGGAUUAGUGUCANNNNNNNNNNNNNNNNNNNNNNNNNNNNNNNNNNNNNNNNNNNNNNNNNNNNNNNNNNNNNNNNNNNNNNNNNNNNNNNNNNNNNNNNNNNNNNNNNNNNNNNNNNNNNNUUCAAUAACCUCAUCAAGUUCUACUACCCUCCCACUCAAUUCUUUCGAGAGAAACCUUUCCUCGAGAAAGGAUCCGUUUCUAGAAACAAACACUUUGCUUUCGGAUCUGAGAUAGGAGAUGUACCCAACUGUUUUGGAUAUCCUAUGAAGAUGCAUUUAUCCGCUUUGGGUUCGAGCUUAUCAGACUGAAACUUUUUCACAUAAGUGUCGAAACCCCAAACUUUCAAGAAACGACAGUAUAGAUUUCUCUAAACCUCAGUCUAUACUGUGUCAUCUCAACGGAAAUACGCGGUGCCCUAUUUAAAGUGAGUGCGCUUGUCUCUAAUGCAUAACCCAUAAAUGAUAGUGGUAAUUCGAUAAGAGACAUCAUAGUAUGUACCAUACCAAAUAGUGCGUGGCUAUGACGUUCAGACACAUCAUCACACUAUGAUGUUCCAGGUGGCAUGAACUGCGAAACAAUUUCCACAUUGUCUUAACUGCGUACCAAAACUCGUAACUCAGAUAUUCAUUUCUAUGAUCAUAUCCUAGACAGUUUAUCCACUUGUUACGACGAACUUCACUCUGAAACGGAUUUGAACUUUUCAACAUUUCAGACUUGUGAUUCAUUAAGUAAAUACUCCUGUAUCUACUCAAAUCGUCAGUGAAGUAAGAACAUAAUGAUAUCCACUACGUGCCUCAGCACCCAUUGGACUGCAUACAUCAAAAUGUAUCACUUCCAACAAGUUACUAUCUUAUUUCAUCUCAAUGAAAACAAGGCCUUGCUCAUGUGGUAUGAUUUGCAUGUCACUAGUGAUUCAAAAUCAAGUGAGUAUAAAGAUCCAUCAGCAUGGAGCCUCUUUAUGCAAUUUAUACCAACAUGACUCAAGCGGCAGUGCCACAAGUAAGUGGUACUAUCAUCAUUACCUCGUAUCUUUUGGCACCAAUAUUAUGAACAUGUGUAACACUACGAUCGAGAUUCAAUAAACCAUUGAAGGUGAUUAGUCAAGCAAAUAGAGUAACCAUUAUUCUCUUUAAAUGAAUAAUCGUAUUGCAAUAAACACGAUCCAAUCAUAUUCAUGCUUAACGCAAGCACCAAAUAACAAUUAUUUAGGUUUAACACCNNNNNNNNNNNNNNNNNNNNNNNNNNNNNNNNNNNNNNNNNNNNNNNNNNNNNNNNNNNNNNNNNNNNNNNNNNNNNNNNNNNNNNNNNNNNNNNNNNNNCAAAACGUCUUCUGCGCCUUGCUUCUAAGACAUUAAGUAUUUUGCACUGAACUAUCGUGUAGUCAUCAGAAACGUGUAUGUCGGAUGUUCACAACAUCUACAGACGACGCUCGAGGUGCAGCACACCGAGUGGUGCAUUAAGGACAUAAGCCUUCUGCGCAGCAACGAGGACAAUCCUCGGUUUUACAGACCCAGUCUGCAAAGUUUGCUACUAUCAACUUUCAACUAAAUUUUCUCUAGGAACAUAUNNNNNNNNNNUUAACAAGGGCACAAGCAUGAAAUCACAAUUUCAUCUCUUUAGAACAUCACUUAUGUUCCGUGACGUUUUACAACGUUUUCGGCGCCUUGCUUCUAAGCCAUUAAGUAUUUUGCACUGAACUAUCGUGUAGUCAUCAGAAACGUGUAUGUCGGAUGUUCAUAGCAUCCACAGACGACGCUCUAGGUGCAGCACACCGAGUGGUGCAUUAAGGAUAUAAGCCUUCUGCGUAGCAACAAGGACAAUCCUCGGUUUUACAGACUCAGUCUGCAAAGUUUGCUACUAUCAAUUUUCAACUAAAUUUUCUCUAGGAACAUAUAAAAACAGUAGAGCUAUAGCGCAAGCUACAUCGUAAUUCGCAAAGACCAUUAGACUAUGUUCAUGACAAUUAGUUCAAUUAAUCAUAUUACUUAAGAACUCCCACUCAAAAAGUACAUCUCUCUAGUCAUUUGAGUGGUACAUGAUCCAAAUCCACUAUCUCAAGUCCGAUCAUCACGUGAGUCGAGAAUAGUUUCAGUGGUAAGCAUCUCUAUGCUAAUCAUAUCAACUAUACGAUUCAUGCUCGACCUUUUGGUCUCAUGUGUUUUGAGGCCAUGUCUGCACAUGCUAGGCUCGUCAAGCUUAACCCGAGUGAUCCGCGUGUGCAACUGUUUUGCACCCGUUCUAUGUGAACGUUGAGUCUAUCACACCCGAUCAUCACGUGGUGUCUCGAAACGACGAACUGUAGCAACGGUGCACAGUCGGGGAGAACACAAUUUCAUCUUGAAAUUUUAGUGAGAGAUCACCNNNNNNNNNNAGAAUUGUCGCAACGGUGCACAGUCGGGGAGAACACAAUUUCGUCUUGAAAUUUUAGUGAGAGAUCACCUCAUAAUGCUACCGUCGUUCUAAGCAAAAGAAGGUGUAUAAAAGGAUUAACAUCACAUGCAAUUCAUAAGUGACAUGAUAUGGCCAUCAUCACGUGCUUCUUGAUCUCCAUCACCAAAACACCUGGCACGAUCUUCUUUUCACCGGCGCCACACCAUGAUCAUCCAUCAACGUGUUGCCAUCGGGGUUGUCGUGCUACUCAUGCUAUUACNNNNNNNNNNUGAAAUUUCAGUGAGAGAUCACCUCAUAAUGCUACCGUCGUUCUAAGCAAAACAAGGUGCAUAAAAGGAUUAACAUCACAUGCAAUUCAUAAGUGACAUGAUAUGGCCAUCAUCACGUGCUUCUUGAUCUCCAUCACCAAAGCACCGACACGAUCUUCUUGUCAUCGGCGCCACACCAUGAUCUUCCAUCAACGUGUUGCCAUCGGGGUUGUCGUGCUACUCAUGCUAUUACNNNNNNNNNNNNNNNNNNNNNNNNNNNNNNNNNNNNNNNNNNNNNNNNNNNNNNNNNNNNNNNNNNNNNNNNNNNNNNNNNNNNNNNNNNNNNNNNNNNNNNNNNNNNNNNNNNNNNNNNNNNNNNNNNNNNNNNNNNNNNNNNNNNNNNNNNNNNNNNNNNNNNNNNNNNNNNNNNNNNNNNNNNNNNNNNNNGAUAUUUCUAUUACAACAUGAUCAUCUCAUACAUCCAAUAUAUCACAUCACAUCGUUGGCCAUAUCACAUCACAAGCAUACCCUGCAAAAACAAGUUAGUCGUCCUCUAAUUGUUGUUGCAUGUUUUACGUGGUGACCAUGGGUAUCUAGUAGGAUCACAUCUUACUUACGCAAACACCACAACGGAGAUAUAUGAAUUGCUAUUUAACCUUAUACAAGGACCUCCUCGGUCAAAUCCGAUUCAACUAAAGUUGGAGAAACCGACACUUGACAGUCAUCUUUGAGCAACGGGGUUACUCGUAGCGAUGAAACCAGUCUCUCGUAAGCGUACGAGUAAUGUCAGUCCAAGCCACUUCAAUCCAACAAUACCGCGGAAUCAAGAAAAGACUAAGGAGGGCAGNNNNNNNNNNGCACGAUCUUCUUGUCACCGGCGUCACACCAUGAUCUCCAUCAUCAUGAUCUCCAUCAACGUGUCGCCAUCGGGGUGGUCGUGCUACUCAUGCUAUUACUACUAAAGCUACAUCCUAGCAAAAUAGUAAACGCAUCUGCAAGCACAAACGUUAGUUAUAAAGACAACCCUAUGGCUCCUGCCGGUUGCCGUACCAUCGACGUGCAAGUCNNNNNNNNNNNNNNNNNNNNNNNNNNNNNNNNNNNNNNNNNNNNNNNNNNNNNNNNNNNNNNNNNNNNNNNNNNNNNNNNNNNNNNNNNNNNNNNNNNNNNNNNNNNNNNNNNNNNNNNNNNNNNNNNNNNNNNNNNNNNNNNNNNNNNNNNNNNNNNNNNNNNNNNNNNNNNNNNNNNNNNNNNNNNNNNNNNNNNNNNNNNNNNNNNNNNUUUUGUUGUUGCAAGUUUUACGUGGUGACCAUGGGUAUCUAGUAGGAUCGCAUCUUACUUACGCAAACACCACAACGGAGAUAUAUGAGUUGCUAUUUAACCUCAUCCAAGGACCUCCUCGGUAAAAUCCGAUUCAACUAAAGUUGGAGAAACCGACACUUUCCAGUCAUCUUUGAGCAAAGGGGGUCACUCGUAACGAUGAAACCAGUCUCUCGUAAGCGUACGAGUAAUGUCGGNNNNNNNNNNAAUAUUAACUAUUACAACAUGAUCAUCUCAUACAUCCAAUAUAUUAGAUCACAUCGUUGGCCUUAUCACAUCACAAGCAUACCCUGCAAAAACAAGUUAGACGUCCUCUAANNNNNNNNNNCCAGUCAUCUUUGAGCAAAGGGGGUUACUCGUAACGAUGAAACCAGUCUCUCGUAAGCGUACGAGUAAUGUCGGUCCAAGCCGCUUCAAUCCAACAAUACCGCGGAAUCAAGAAAAGACUAAGGAGGGCAGCAAAGCGCACAUCACCGUCCACAAAAACUUUUGUGUUCUACUCGAGAAGACAUCUACGCAUGAACCUAGCUCAUGAUGCCACUGUUGGGGAACGGCGCAUGGGAAACAAAAAUUUUCCUACGCGCACGNNNNNNNNNNUUGUUGGGGAACGUCGCAAGGGAAACAAAAAAUUUCCUACGCGCACGAAGACCUAUCAUGGUGAUGUNNNNNNNNNNNNNNNNNNNNNNNNNNNNNNNNNNNNNNNNNNNNNNNNNNNNNNNNNNNNNNNNNNNNNNNNNNNNNNNNNNNNNNNNNNNNNNNNNNNNNNNNNNNNNNNNNNNNNNNNNNNNNNNNNNNNNUGUACAGGAGAAGCGUUAGAGAACGCGGUUGAUGUAGUGGAACGUCCUCACGUCCCUCGAUCCGCCCCGCGAACAAUCCCGCGAUCAGUCCCACGAUCUAGUACCGAACGGACGGCACCUCCGCGUUCAGCACACGCACAACUCGACGAUGAUCUUGGCCUUCUUGAUCCAGCAAGAGAGACGGAGAGGUAGAAGAGUUCUCCGNNNNNNNNNNNNNNNNNNNNNNNNNNNNNNNNNNNNNNNNNNNNNNNNNNNNNNNNNNNNNNNNNNNNNNNNNNNNNNNNNNNNNNNNNNNNNNNNNNNNGGUUGGUUACCGAAUGUUGUUCGGAGUCCCGGAUGAGAUCACGGACGUUACGGGGGUUUCCGGAAUGGUCCGGAAAUGAAGAUUGAUAUAUAGGAUGACCUCAUUUGAUUACCGGAAGGUUUUCGGAGUUAUCGGGAAUGACGAAUGGGUUCCGGGAGUUCACCGGGGGGCAACCCACCCCGGGGAAGCCCAUAGGCCUUUGGGGAGACACACCAGCCCUUAGUGGGCGGGUGGGACAGCCCACAAGUGCCCUAUGCGCCAAGGAGAAGAAAAUCAAGAGAGAGAAAAAAAAGGAGGAGGUGGGAAGGAAGGGGGACUCCCUCCCACCAAACCUAGUCCAACUCGGUUNNNNNNNNNNNGGAGUCCUCCCCCCUUGGACUCGGCCAACCCCCUUGGGGCUCCUUGAGCCCCAAGGCAAGGUCCCCUCCCUCCCACCUAUAUAUACGGAGGUUGUAGGGCUGAUUUGAGACGAUUUUUCCACGGCAGCCCGACCACAUACCUCCACGGUUUUCCUCUAGAUCGCGUUUCUGCGGAUUUCGGGCGGAGCCCUGCUAAGACAAGGUCAUCACCAACCUGCAGGAGCACCGUCACGCUGCCGGAGAACUCUUCUACCUCUCCGUCUCUCUUGCUGGNNNNNNNNNNNNNNNNNNNNNNNNNNNNNNNNNNNNNNNNNNNNNNNNNNNNNNNNNNNNNNNNNNNNNNNNNNNNNNNNNNNNNNNNNNNNNNNNNNNNGAUAACAUUAGUACUUGAAAACAAACUACCACUUCUUUUAGUACUGUAGCAAACUUGAAUUAUAUCUAUAUUGAUGAUGGGCUACCGUAUUCUCACUUUUCCAUGGCUAUUACCCCCCGAUACUAACCAUAGUUUCGUCAAAACAAGCAACCAACUCAACAAAAACAGAAUCUGUCAAAAACAGACGAGUCUGUAGCAAUCUGUAUACUUCGUAUACUUCUGGUACCUCAACAAAUCUGAAAGCUUACUACAGCCUGGGAAAAACGCAUAUCAAUCAGCAGAAAAAAGAAUCAACUCAAAAUCUCUUUCUGAAUAAAAAUGAAAAAUCAUCUCGUGAGCGAAAAGUUUUUGUCUUUUUCCAGCAGGAUCAAACAACCAUGACCAAGACUAGUCAUAAAGGCUUUGCUUGGCUCAAACACAAAAAGAAACACAAAAAACACAAUCACAACAAAAUUAUGAAAUGUAGACACAACAAAACAAAAAGAAAAAGAUAAAUUCUUUGGGUUGCCUCCCAACAAGCGCUAUUGUUUAACGCCCCUAGCCAGGCAUAAAAGCGAUAGAAUAACGUAUCGUCAUCUUUGCUGCUCAAACCAUAAGUGACGUGAUCACUUAUCAUCUUAAGGUUUUCAUCUUUCUUGCUGGAUGAUUUACCACUACUUUUAGGAACAAAUACAAACUUGGUGAUUUCAUUGUGGGCAAAAUUUGGAGUAUUCUGCACAGCGGCAAAAGCAGAACCCAAGUUGGUUAUAACAUCCUCUAGUUUGCCAAUCCUAGCGGAAUCAUGACCUAGCUUUUCGUUAACUGUGGGUUCCUUCUCCUUUAAAUUUUUCAAAUCCAUUCCCACCUUGGAUCCGUACUGAGUGAUUUGAUUGUGGAUCUUUUUUUCCAAAUUCUCAAUGAGUUCAAUCCUAGCAAGUUUAUUUUCAAUAACGUCCAGCCUACGCAUCACAUGUUCCAGAGUUAAGGUAGUUCCAUUAACCAAGAGUGGGGGUGAGCCUACCAGAUUUAUCACAGCUCUGUAAGAAUCAACGGUAUGGCUACCCAAGAAAUUUCCACCUGCGAUGGUGUCAAGAAUAUACCUAUUGCAAGGAGAAACACCCACAUAAAAACUGCGAAGCAAGAGGGUAGUGGAUUGCUUAUGCGUAGAUCUACUCUGAGCGUUGCAAAUCCUAUACCAAGCAUCCUUUAAGUUUUCUUCCUCAAUUUGUUUGAAAUUAAGGACUUCGCUAUCGGGAGUAUCGUUUGAAGUGGUGGAUCUAGCCAUCAGGAUAGACUAUCCCACACAGACGAGCAAAAAGCAAGCGAGAGAAAAGGGCAAACAAAAAAGGCAAACGAAAAAGGCAAUUGGUGAAGUGGGGGAGAGGAAAACGAGAGGCAACUGGCAAACAAAGUAAAUGAAAGAGAUGAGUUUGCGACACCUACUUGGAUGAGUUCUUGACUUGAUCUUCCUCCCCGACAACAGCGCUAGAAAUUCUUCUGCUACGGUAACAAAAGUCCUUCCUUGGCACUAGNNNNNNNNNNNNNNNNNNNNNNNNNNNNNNNNNNNNNNNNNNNNNNNNNNNNNNNNNNNNNNNNNNNNNNNNNNNNNNNNNNNNNNNNNNNNNNNNNNNNUCGUUUCGAGACACCACGUGAUGAUCGGGUGUGAUAGACUCAACGUUCACAUACAACGGGUGCAAAACAGUUGCGCACGCGGAACACUCGGGUUAAGCUUGACGAGCCUAGCAUGUGCAGACAUGGCCUCGGAACACAUGAGACCGAAAGGUCGAUCAUGAAUCAUAUAGUUGAUAUGAUUAGCAUAGGGAUGCUUACCACUGAAACUAUACUCAACUCACGUGAUGAUCGGACUUGGGAUAGUGUAAGUGGAUCACGAACCACUCAAAUGACUAGAGAGAUGUACUUUUUGAGUGGGAGUUUAGCAUAUAAUUUGGUUAAGUUGAACUCUAAUUAUCUUGAACAUAGUCUAAGUCCACUUUGAAUAUAUUUGUGUUGUAGAUCAUGGCUCACGCGACAGUCAUCCUGAAUUUUAAUACGUUCCUAGAGAAAGCUAAGUUGAAAGAUGAUGGAAGCAACUUUGUAGACUGGGCUCGUAAUCUUAAGUUGCUCUUGCAAGCUGGGAAGAAGGAUUAUGUNNNNNNNNNNNNNNNNNNNNNNNNNNNNNNNNNNNNNNNNNNNNNNNNNNNNNNNNNNNNNNNNNNNNNNNNNNNNNNNNNNNNNNNNNNNNNNNNNNNNCCAAUAUGGGCAUCCAGGUCCCGCUAUUGGAUAUUGACCGAGGAGUACCUCGGGGCAUGUCUACAUAGUUCUCGAACCCGCAGGGUCUGCACACUUAAGGUUCGACGUUGUUUUAUGCGUAUUUGAGUUAUAUGGUUGGUUACCGAAUGUUGUUCGGAGUCCCAGAUGAGAUCACGGACGUUACGAGGGUUUCCGGAAUGGUCCGGAGACGAAGAUUGAUAUAUAGGAUGACCUCAUUUGAUUACCGGAAGGUUUUNNNNNNNNNNCCGGAAACGAAGAUUGAUAUAUAGGAUGACCUCAUUUGAUUACCGGAAGGUUUUCGGAGUUACCGGGAAUGUACCGGGAAUGACGAAUGGGUUCCGGGAGUUCACCGGGGGGGGCAACCGACCCCGGGGAAGCCCAUAGGCCUUGGGGGAGACACACAAGCCCUUAGUGGGCUGGUGGGACAGCCCACAAGUGCCCUAUGCGCCAAGGAGAAGAAAAUCAANNNNNNNNNNACGAAUGGGUUCCGGGAGUUCACCGGGGGGGGCAACCCACCCCGGGGAAGCCCAUAGGACUUGGGGGAGACACACCAGCCCUUAGUGGGCUGGUGAGACAACCCACAAGUGCCCUAUGCGCCAAGGAGAAGAAAAUCAAGAGAGAAAGAAAAAAAAAGGAGGAGAUGGGAAGGAAGGGGGACUCCCUCCCACCAAACCUAGUCCAACUCGGUUNNNNNNNNNNUCGAAAACGAAGAUUGAUAUAUAGGAUGACCUCAUUUGAUUACCGGAAGGUUNNNNNNNNNNNNNNNNNNNNNNNNNNNNNNNNNNNNNNNNNNNNNNNNNNNNNNNNGACCUUAGUGGGCUGGUGGGACAGCCCAAGAAGGUCCUAUGCGCCAUAGGAAGAAAAUCAAAGAGAAAAAGAAAAAAAAGAGGAGGUGGGAAAAAGGGGAAGGACUCCACCUUCAAAACNNNNNNNNNNGGUGCACCAGCCCUUAGUGGGCUGGUGAGACAGCCCAAGAAGGCCCUAUGCGCCAUAGGAAGAAAAUCAAAGAGACAAAGAAAAAAAAAGAGGAGGUGGGAAAAAGGGGAAGGACUCCACCUUCAAAACCUAGUUGGAUUCGGUUUGGAAGGGAAGGACUCCCCCCCUUGGCUCGGCCGACCCCCUUGGGGCUCCUUGAGCCUCAAGGCAAGGACCCCCCCUCUCCUACCUGUAUAUACGGAGGUUUUAGGGCUGAUUUGAGACAACUUUUGUCACGGCAGCCCGACCACAUACCUCCACGGUUUUUCCUCUAGAUCGUGUNNNNNNNNNNUCUCCCACCUAUAUAUACGGAGGUUUUAGGGCUGAUUUGAGACAACUUUUGCCACGGCAGCCCGACCACAUACCUCCACGGUUUUUCCUCUAGAUCAUGUUUCUGCGGAGCUCAGGCGGAGCCCUGCUGAGAUUAGAUCACCACCAACCUCCGGAGCACCGUCACGCUGCCGGAGAAGUCAUCUACCUCUCUGUCUCUCUUGCUGGAUCAAGAAGGCCGAGAUCAUCAUUGAAAUGUACGUGUGCUGAACGCGGAGGUGCCGUCCGUUCGGCACUAGAUCGGAGCGGAUCGUGGGACGGAUCGCGGGACGGUUCGUGGGACGGUUCGCGGGGCGGAUCGAGGGACGUGAGGACGUUCCACUACANNNNNNNNNNUUAACGCUUCUGCUGUGCGAUCUACAAGGGUACGUAGAUAGUAAAUCCCCUCUCGUAGAUGGACAUCACCAUGAUAGGUCUUCGUGCGCGUAGGAAAUUUUUUGUUUCCCAUGCGACGUUCCCCAACAGUAUGGUGGAAGGUUUCAAAGUGUUCCAGGAGUGGAACACUAGACACUGGUCAAAAAUUGUUGGAGAACGUUGCAUGGGAAACAAAAAAAAUUCCUACACACACGAAGAUCUAUCAUGGUGAUGUACAUCUACGAGAGGAGAUUUGGAUCUACGUACCCUUGUAGAUCGCACCAUCUCUGAUAAAGUACGAUUACGACGUUCGGACACACCAUUACGCUAUGGUGUUCCAGGCGGUGUCAACUGUGAAACAAUUCCACAUUGUUUUAAGUGAGCACCAAACCCGAAACUCAGAUAUUCACCCCCACGAUCAGACCAUAGGAACUUGAUCUUCUUGUUAUGAUGAUUUUCAACCUCACUCUGAAAUUGCUUGAACUCCUCAAACGUUUCAGACUUGUGCUUCAUCGAGUAGACAUAACCAUAUCUACUCAAAUCGUCAGUGAAGGUUAGAAAAUAACGAUAUCCGCCGAACGCCUCCACACUCAUCGGACCGCAUACAUCGGUAUGUAUGAUUUCCAACAAGUCACUUGCACGCUCCAUUGUUCCGGAAAACGAAGUCUUAGUCAUCUUGCCCAUGAGGCAUGGUUCGCACGUGUCAAGUGAAUCAAAGUCAAGUGACUCCAAAAGUCCAUCGGUAUGGAGUUUCUUCAUGCGCUUUACACCAAUAUGACCUAAGCGGCAGUGCUAUAAAACAUGGCGCUAUCAUUGUUAACUCUAACUCUUUUGGUCUCAAUGUUCUGUAUAUGUGUAUCAUCGCUAUCAGGAUUCAAUAUGAACAAUGCUCUCACAUUUGGUGCAUGACCAUAAAAGAUAGUACUCAUAGAAAUAGAACAACCAUUAUUCUGUGACUUAAACGAGUAACCGUCUCGCAAUAAACAAGAUCCAGAUAUAAUUUUAUGCUUAACGCACGCACUAAAUAACAAUUAUUUAAGUUCAAAACUAAUCCUGAUGGUAACUGAAGUGAAACUGUGCUGACGGUGAUUGCAUCAACCUUGGAACCAUUUCCCACGCGCAUCGUCACUUCAUCCUUUGCCAACCUUCGCUUAUUCCGCAGUUCCUGUUUCGAGUUGCAAAUAUGAGCAACAGAACCGGUAUCGAAUACCCAGACACUACUACGAGAGCUGGUUAAGUACACAUCAAUAACAUGUAUACCGAAUAUACCUGAUUUUUCCUUGGCCGCCUUCUUAUCAGCCAGAUACUUGGGGCAGUUGCGCUUCCAGUGACCCAGACCCUUGCAAUAAUAACACUCCGUUUCAGGCUUAGGUCCUGCUUCGGGUUUCUUCGUCGGAUUGGCAACAGGCGUGCCGCUCUUCUUUAAAUUACCCUUCUUUCCUUUGCCGUUUCUCUUGAAACUAGUGGUCUUAUUUACCAUCAACACUUGAUGCUCUUUACGGAGUUCUGACUCUGCGACUUUCAGCAUCGCGAAUAACUCGUCGGGUGACUUAUUCAUCCCUUGCAUGUUAUAGUUUAACACAAAGCUCUUGUAGCUUGGCUGCAGUGAUUGAAGAAUUCUGUCAGUGCUAGCCUCUUGCGGGAGUUCAAUCCCCAGCUCAGCUAGACGGUUUGAGUACCCANNNNNNNNNNGAGAGACGAAUUAUCCUCCAUCUUGCAAGCAUAGAAUUUAUUGGAGGUCUCAUACCUCUCGAUCCGGGCUUUCUUCUCAAAAAUAAACUUCAACUCGUGGAACAUCUCAAAUGCUCCAUGUCUCUCAAAGCGACGUUGAAGUCCCGGCUCUAAGCCAUACAAGACUGCACAUUGAACUACUGAGUAGUCCUCCUUGCGUGCUAACCAGGCGUUCUUAACAUCUUGGUCAGCCGCGGCGGGUGGUUCAUCUCCUAGCACAACAUUAAGGACAUAAUCCUUCUUCCCAGCUUGCAAGAGCAACUUAAGAUUACGAGCCUAGUCUACAAAGUUGCUUCCAUCAUCUUUCAACUUAGCUGUCUCUAGGAACGUAUUAAAAUUCAAGGUGACUCUUGCGUGAGCCAUUGAUCUACAACACAAAUAUUUUCAAAGUGGACUUAGACUAUGUUCAAGAUAACUAGAGUUUAAGUAAUCAAAUUACUUGCUAAACUCCCACUCAAAAAGUACAUCUCUCUAGUCAUUUGAGUGGUACAUGAUCCAAAUUUACUAACUCAAGUCCGAUCAUCACGUGAGUUGAGGAUAGUUUCAGUGGUAAGCAUCUCUGUGCUAAUCAUAUCAACUGUAUGAUUCAUGCUCGACCUUUUGGUCUCAUGUGUUCUGAGACCAUGUCUGCACAUGCUAGGCUCAUCAAGCUUAACCCGAGUGUUCCGCGUGUGCAACUGUUUUGCACCCGUUGUACGUGAACGUUGAGUCUAUCACACCCGAUCAUCAGAUGGUGUCUCUAAACGACGAACUAUAGCAACGGUGCAUAGUCGGGGAGAACACAAUUUCAUCUUGAAAUUUUAGUGAGAGAUCACCUUAUAAUGCUACCGUCAUUCUAACAAAAAUAAGGUGCAUAAAAGGAUUAACAUCACAUGCAAUUCAUAAGUGGCAUGAUAUGGCCAUCAUCUUGUGCUUGUUGAUCUCCACCACCAAAGCACCGACACGAUCUUCUUGUCACCGGUGCCACACCAUGAUCUCCAUCAACGUGUCACCAUCGGGGUUGUCAUGCUACUUAUGCUAUUACUACUAAAGGUACAUCCUAGCAAUAUAGUAAACACAUCUGCAAACACAAACGUUAGUUUAAAGACAACUCUAUGGCUCCUGCCGCUUGCCGUACCAUCGACGUGCAAGUGGAUAUUAACUAUUACAACAUGAUCAUCUCAUACAACCAAUAUAUCACAUCACGUCAUUGGCCAUACCCUGCAAAAAUAAGUUAGACGUCCUCUAAUUUGUUGUUGCAUGUUUUAUGUGGCUACUAUGGGUAUCUAGUAGAACGCAUCUUACUUACGCAAAAACCACAACGGAGAUGUGCAAAUUGCUAUUUAACCUCUCCAAGGACCGCCUCCGUCAAAACCAAUUCAACAAAAGUUGAAGAAACCGACACCCGCGAGUCAUCUUUAUGCAACGAGGUUGCAUGUCAAUCGAUGAAACUAGUCUUUGGUAAGCGUACGAAUAAUGUCGGUCCGAGCCACUUCAAUCCAACAAUACCGCCGAAUCGAGAAAAGACUAAGGAGGGCAGCAAAUCGAACAUCACCGUCCACAAAACCCUUGGUGUUCUACUCGAGAUAACAUCUACGCAUGAACCUAGCUCAUGAUGCCACUGUUGAAGAACGUUGCAUGGGAAACAAAACAAAUUCAUAUGCACACGAAGACCUAUCAUGGUGAUGUCCAUCUACGAGAGGAGAUUUGGAUAUACAUACCCUUGUAGAUCGCACAACAGGAAGCAUUAAGAAACGUGGUUGAUGUAGUGGAACGUCUUCACGUCCCUCAAUCAAGCCCACGAACCAUCCCACGAACCGUCCUGCGAUCCGUCCCACAAUCCAUUCCGAUCUAGUGCCGAACGGACGUCACCUCCGCGUUCAGCACACGUACAGCUCGACGAUGAUCUCGGCCUUCUUGAUCCAGCAAGCAAGACGGAGAAGUAGAUGAGUUCUCCGGCAGCGUGGCGGUGCUCCGGUGGUGGUGAGGAUCUACUCCUGCAGGGCUCCGCCCGAGCUCCGUAGAAAUACGAUCUAGAGGUAAAACUAUGGUGUCUAGAUCUGAGUUGCACGUGGCAAAAGUUGUCUCAAAUCAGCCCUAGACCACCACUAUAUAUAGGAGGGAGGGGGAGGAGGCUUGCCUUGAGGGUCAAGCCCUGAAGGGUGCAUCGGCCAAGGGAGAGGAGGAGUCCUACUCCAAUCCUAUUCCAAUUAGGAUUGGAAAGUGGAGCCUUCUCUUCCUUCCCACCUCUUUUUUUUCUUCUUUUCUUUGGUUUUCUUUCCUAGCGCAUAGGCCCUCUUGGGCUGUCCCACCAGCUCACUAAGGGCUGGUGCACCACCCCUAGGGCAUUUGGGCUUCCCCCGGGUGGGUUGCCCCCCUCUCGGUGAACUUCUGGAACCCAUUCGUCACUCCCGGUACAAUGCCGGUAAUGCCCGAAAAACUUCCGAUAACCAAAUGAAGUCAUCUUAUAUAUCAAUCAUUGUUUCCCGACCAUUCCGAAAACCCUCGUGACAUCUGUGAUCUCAUCCAGGACUCCGAACAACAUUCGGUAACCACACAUAUAACUCAACUAUACUAAAACAUCGCCGAACCUUAAGUGUGCAGACCCUGCGGGUUCGAGAACUAUGUAGACAUNNNNNNNNNNNNNNNNNNNNNNNNAUCUAAAGAUCUUGUCGGUUGAACCUCAGUGUCAAGGAUUCAUAUAAUCCCGUAUGUCAUUCCCUUUGUCCUUCGGUAUGUUACUUGCCCGAGAUUUCGAUCGUCGGUAUCUGGAUACCUAUUUCAAUCUCGUUACCCGCAAGUCUCUUUUACUCGUUCCGUAAUGCAAGAUCCCGUGACUUACACUUAGUCACAUUGCUUGCAAGGCUUGUUUGUGAUGUUGUAUUACCGAGUGGGCCCCGAGAUACCUCUCCGUCACACNNNNNNNNNNNNNNNNNNNNNNNNNNNNNNNNNNNNNNNNNNNNNNNNNNNNNNNNNNNNNNNNNNNNNNNNNNNNNNNNNNNNNNNNNNNNNNNNNNNNGUUGGAAAUAUGCCCUAGAGGCAAUAAUAAAUUAGUUAUUAUUAUAUUUCUUAGUUCAUGAUAAUCGUUUAUUAUCCAUGCUAUAAUUGUAUUGAUUGGAANNNNNNNNNNCAAGUGCCAAUCGGAGUCGCGAGACGGAGAUUGGUUACAAGAGAUGAACUAGGGAUUGGAGAGGAGAUGGUGCNNNNNNNNNNUGUUCGGUACUAGAUCGUGGGACUGAUCGCGAGAUUGUUCACGGGGCGGAUCGAGGGACGUGAGGACGUUCCACUACAUCAACCGUGUUCUCCAACGCUUCUGCUAUACGGUCUACAAGGGUACGUAGGUCACUCAUCCCCUCUCGUAGAUGGACAUCACCAUGAUAGGUCUUCGUGCGCGUAGGAAAAUUUUUGUUUCCCAUGCGCCGUUCCCCAACAGUUGUUGGAAUUAUGCCCUAGAGGCAAUAAUAAAUAUAGUUAUUGUUAUAAUUCCUGUAUCAAGAUAAUCGUUUGUUAUCCAUGCUAUAAUUGUAUUGAAUGAAGACUCAUUUACAUGUGUGGAUACAUAGACAAAACACCGUCCCUAGCAAGCCUCUAGUUGGCUAGCCAGUUGAUCAAAGAUAGUUAGUGUCUUCUGAUUAUGAACAAAGUGUUGUUGAUUGAUAACUGGAUCACGUCAUUAGGAGAAUCACGUGAUGGACUAGACCNNNNNNNNNNAUGUAUCAAUAUAAUCGUUUAUUAUCCAUGCUAUAAUUGUAUUGAAUGAAGACUCGUUUACAUGUGUGGAUAUAUAGACAAAACAACGUCCCUAGCAAGCCUCUAGUUGGCUAGCCAGUUGAUCGAAGAUAGUCAGUGUCUUCUGAUUAUGAACAAGGUGUUGUUGCUUGAUAACUGGAUCACGUCAUUAGGAGAAUCACGUGAUGGACUAGACCCAAACUAAUAGAUGUAGCAUGGUGAUCGUGUCAUUUUGUUGCUACUGUUUUCUGCGUGUCAAGUAUUUAAUCCUAUGACCAUGAGAUCAUAUAACUCACUGACACCGGAGGAAUGCUUNNNNNNNNNNUGUGUCAUUUUGUUGGUACUGUUUUCUGUGUGUCAAGUAUUUGUUCCUAUGACCAUGAGAUCAUAUAACUCACGGACACCAGAGGAAUGCUUUAUGUGUAUCAAACAUCGCAACGUAACUGGGUGACUAUAAAGAUGCUCUACAGGUAUCUCCGAAGGUGUUAGUUGAGUUAGUAUGGAUCAAGACUGGGAUUUGUCACUCCGUUGUCACUCCGUGUGACGGAGAGGUAUCUCGGGGCCCACUCGGUAAUACAACAUCACACACAAGCCUUGCAAGCAAUGUGACUUAGUGUACGUUGCGGGAUCUUGUAUUACGGAACGAGUAAAGAGACUUGCCGCUAAACGAGAUUGAAAUAGGUAUGCGGAUACUGACGAUCGAAUCUCGGGNNNNNNNNNNAGUUACGGGAUCUUGUAUUACGGAACGACUAAAGAGACUUGUCGGUAAACGAGAUUGAAAUAGGUAUGCGGAUACUGACGAUCGANNNNNNNNNNACGGAGAGAUAUCUCGGGGCCCACUCGGUAAUACAACAUCACACACAAGCCUUGCAANNNNNNNNNNUUCUCGGGCAAGUAACAUACCGAAGGACAAAGGGAAUGACGUACGGGAUUAUAUGAAUCCUUGGCACUGAGGUUCAAACGAUAAGGUCUUCGUAGAAUAUGUGGGAUCCAAUAUGGGCAUCCAGGUCCCGCUAUUGGAUAUUGACAGAGGAGUCACUCGGGUCAUGUCUGCAUAGUUCUCGAACCCGCAGGGUCUGCACACUUAAGGUUUGACGUUGUUUUAUGCGUAUUUGAGUUAUAUGGUUGGUUACCGAAUGUUGUUCGGAGUCCCGGAUGAGAUCACGGACGUCAUGAGGGUUUACGGAAUGGUCCGAAAAUGAAGGUUGAUAUAUAGGAUGACCUCAUUUGAUUACCGAAAGGUUUUCGGAGUUACCGGGAAUGACGAAUGGGUUCCGGGUGUUCACAGGGGGGGGNNNNNNNNNNNNNNNNNNNNNNNNNNNNNNNNNNNNNNNNNNNNNNNNNNNNNNNNNNNNNNNNNNNNNNNNNNNNNNNNNNNNNNNNNNNNNNNNNNNNNNNNNNNNNNCUGUGACCUGCGCUAUAUAAAAGUGGUGGGGGCCGGGGCGCACGGUACGAGGUUCACCGCGCCGCCAGACACCCCACCUAAAUCCCCUUCCGAUCUAGGAUUUGCGCAGUGCUCAUGGGAAGCACCACCCACGACCACACCUCCUCCCUCACACCACCGACGACUACACCGGCGCCAAUGUCCGGAGCAGGGAGUUCAUCGGGCUCGGGAUUAGGUGAGUACAUGGUAACACCGGAUCUAUCUAUGCCUAGUCGAUCUACGGCUUUAAUAUUGGUAUCAGAGCCGCUAGGCAAAGAUUCGUUCGGUCAAAGAAAAGCGAAUGUCUUUCCCCUCCCCACAUGAACCCUAGAUGGGCAAGUACCGAAGACGGCCUAAAGCCUCGUCGGAAAAGAAGCGCCGCCGCAAGGCCGCGCCUGUUCCUCUCGAUCCCCACACGCAUCGGCAAGCCGAGGUGUGGGGAAGAAGAACCUACCUCCUCGGAGGCAAGUAUACGGAUCCGAUCCGCAAAAGAAAAGAAAAACAAAGGGGGAGAGGAACAUGCAAAGAAAAGAAAGAUUCGCCCUGCGGAUCGCAACGAGGCACCACGGCCAACCCAUUCGACGGCAACGCGCUCCCACAAGGGAACGCGCCACCGGCGAAAGGGGAGGCCACGGUGCCAUGACUAUGUCUCUGCUCAAGGACGAAAAGGAUAGCAGGGUGUAUGGCACCCCAACGCCCCCCUUGACGGCGGCGCACUCUCCCUCGGGAGAGGGCGCGCACCGGCAAGAGGAGCGGAGGGGGCCGCCGCUGCAUCUCCGGCGGGGCAAGAGCCUCCACGCGAGAGAGAAAAGGGAGCCGGUCGGGGCCCUCUCCGGCGGGCGAGACGCCGCCGCGCAGAAGAGCCGAACCGGCAAGAGGAACAAGCAGAGAGGCCGACGGCCUCCUCCUCGGCGGGGUCAGAGAGCGCGCGGCGCGGGGCUCUCGGCCGCCGCGGCCGGCGAACACCCGCAGGAGAGGAGCCGUCGGGCAGAGAAAAGUGGAUAAGAGCGGCGCGGGGGAAAUGGGGGUAGGGUUUACCCUCCCCACCGGCCCAGCCGUUUUUGUUCCCCCUAGGGCCGCGGGGGACCGUCCGAUCCGACGGAUGGCCAGGAUCGCCCCGCAUGUAACCCUAGGCGCGGCUCGGGCCUCUAAGGCCGGCGGGAGCCAGGCCGGCCCAGGCCAGGCCGAAGCGGCGCGCAAAAGAGAGAAGGGCCUUCGGGCCAAAAGCAAGCCGACNNNNNNNNNNNNNNNNNNNNNNNNNNNNNNNNNNNNNNNNNNNNNNNNNNNNNNNNNNNNNNNNNNNNNNNNNNNNNNNNNNNNNNNNNNNNNNNNNNNNCGGAUUUCCGACGAGUGUCGGACGUCCAGCGCUCGGACGUCCGGAGGGAGCCGGAUUUCCGAGAUAUAGAACUCAACUUCUACUGGUGUAGGCUUCCGGAUUUCCGAAGUUGGUCGGAUAUCCAGGCCUCGGACGUCCGGAGGAGGCCGGAUGUCCGGGCCUCGGACGUCCGGAGGAGGCCGGAUGUCCGGGCCUCGGACGUCCGGAGGAGGCCGGAAGUCCGAGGCACUUGUCCUUUGUUCUGAUAACAGCAGAGCAGUGGAGAUGUGGUAUGAGCAAAACAAUGGAGAUGUAGUUUGAGCAAGUUCAUUGCAAAACCUGUGAUCCCCUCUUAAUAGUGCGGGAUCCCUAAAGACUCANNNNNNNNNNUGAGGUACUCGUCCUUUUUUCUGAUAACAGCAGAGCAGUGGAGAUGUGGUAUGAGCAGAACAAUGGAGAUGUAGUUUGAGCAAGUUCAUCGCAAAACCUGUGAUCCCCUCUUAAUAGUGCGGGAUCCCUAAAGACUCAAGAAUCAUAAAAGAGGUAUUGAUGAGCCAUACUUGAGUGUAUACUGUUAUUUGCUGAUCAUCCCUCCGCACAACUAACGUCAAAGGAACUGAUACCUUUGAGUUAGCCCUUUCACUUGAGCUUGAUGUUGUUGUUCCUUGUUGGCUCAAGUUGAAAGCAAUACAUGAUGAAGUCUUCAAGUAGCUCUCCCAUACACAACGUGGAAAGCCUAGCUUAUGUAUUCAUCUUCAUUUGUCCACCAUGUGAACAUCCACAAGAAUCAAGCAUGAAGUGCUCAAGAAUGCUCAUCUUGAUCUUGUCCUGUCCACCAUGUGCACAUCCACAAGAAUCAAGCAUGUAGUGCUCAGGGAUGCUUAUCUUGAUCUUGUCCUUGUUAGCACAUAAGGUUGUCCUUAUCAACACAUGAUCAUUGACAAUAGUUUCAAUGAUAUAUUCGUGUUGAUCCACGUGAACUUGCACACCACAAUCUUGAUGAUGAUCACCACUUGACGUCAUCCUUCAUGGGUUCUAUGAGAUCUUCCUUUUGACGCAAGCCCAAUGGAAACACACCUAACCCCCACAUAGGAGUCUCACAAAGACCAUGGGUUAGUACACAAACACGUAAUGGACAAUGCUUACCAUACCAUGGGAUCACUUGAUCCCUCUCGGUACAUCUUAUACGCUUUGUGUGUUGAUCAUCUUGAUUUACUCUUUGUCUGAGAUCCUGAUCAACCUAGUGUUUCUAUGACCAUUCUUUGAGUAAUGACUUGAAUAACAUCUUGGUCAACAUAUAAACUCCUUGAACCCAACAGAUGGACUUCAAGAAGUGCCUAUGGACAAAUCCUAUGAAUGUAACUUAAGGCAACCAUUAGUCCAUAGGUUGUACGCUUUGUGUGUUGAUCAUCUUGAUUUACUCUUUGUCUGAGAUCUUGAUCAACCCUGNNNNNNNNNNAGUUCUUGGUUGCGUUGUGAGGUGUGAAUUUGAGUAAGACUCAAAACCCGACCACGACAGAAUAAAGAGAAUAGACGAAGGUCGUCUUCUAUGCCUUAGCCGUAGAAUCUAAAGUAUGCCAUGCUGUGUACCGCACCUGAAGUGUGCCUUGACUCAAAGUAUGUUGAGAGGUACAGAGAGUGAUCCAUGAUUGAAUCACUAGCAGCGGUUGAAAUUUAUCCUUAGUAACUAAUGGACUAAGGAAUUUUUCUCGAUUAUGGAGGUGGUUAAAGAGUUUGUCGUAAAGGGUUACGUCAAUGCAAGCUUUGACACUAAUCCGGAUAACUAUGAGUAGUGAAACGGAUUCGUAUAGUAGAGUAGAUAUUUGGAGCAUUUCCGAAUAGCACGUAGUAGCAGCAUCUAUAAGAUGACAUAAAGAUUUGUAAAGAACGCACGAAUCUGAAAGUUUCAGAAUCGUUGACUAAAACCUCUCUCACGAGCAAGACGUGAUCAGACCCCAUAACUAUAUGGGUGUUGGAUUCGUUGGAAUCACAUGGUGAUGUGAACUAGAUUAUUGACUCUAGUGCAAGUGGGAGACUGUUGGAAAUAUGCCCUAGAGGCAAUAAUAAAUUAGUUAUUAUUAUAUUUCUUAGUUCAUGAUAAUCGUUUAUUAUCCAUGCUAUAAUUGUAUUGAUUGGAAACACAAUACUUGUGUGGAUACAUAGACAAAACACUGUCCCUAGUAAGCCUCUAGUUGACUAGCUCGUUGAUCAAAGAUGGUCAAGGUUUCCUGGCCAUAGGCAAGUGUUGUCACUUGAUAACGGGAUCACAUCAUUAGGAGAAUCAUGUGAUGGACUAGACCCAAACUAAUAGACGUAGCAUNNNNNNNNNNUGAUCUUGAUCAACCUAGUGUUUAUAUGACCAUUCUUUGGAUAAUAACUUGAAUAACACCUUGGUCAACAUAUAAACUCCUUGAACCCAACCGAUGGACUUCAAGAAGCGCCUAUGGACAAAUCCUAUAAAUAUAACUUAGGGCAACCAUUAGUCCAUAGGGAUUUUCAUCAAUUACCAAAACCACAUAUGGAGAUAUAUGCUCUAACACCCACCACCGUCGCGCCGCCGCCCUUGGCGCCCCCGGCGCCGCCCCGCCACCCCCAACACCCCGGCCCCUCCNNNNNNNNNNCUAUAAAUGUAACUUAAGGCAACCAUUAGUCCAUAGGAAUUGUCAUUAAUUACCAAAACCACAUAUGGAGAUAUAUGCUCUAACACCCGGGCCGAAGCGAGGCCCGAAGACCCGAGCCGCCGCCGCCCCGUUCUGCUCGGAUCUCCCCACCGAGCAGGCUCCUCCCCGUGCUCACGAGCCCCUGGUGGCGAGACGCCGCCGACCUGCCCGCGCCGCUCCGGGCUUCCCUCUGCCCGCCGCCGUCUGUAGCUCGCGGAGAGCCGAGCCCGCAGCUCCUCGCCGCCUCCCUGUCCCGUUCUGCGCCGCCCUCUGCCCGCCGCGUCGCCCCUCGAGCCACCGGCCAGCCUUGCCGGAUCCCGCCUCCGCCAUGCGCCGCCGUCUUGCGCCACCAACCACGCCCCGUUCUGCGCCGCCGCCGGGAUCUGGCUCCCUUCCCCCGCCGCCGGGUUCCCGUGGUAGCCGCCGCCGCCUGGGNNNNNNNNNNNNNNNNNNNNNNNNNNNNNNNNNNNNNNNNNNNNNNNNNNNNNNNNNNNNNNNNNNNNNNNNNNNNNNNNNNNNNNNNNNNNNNNNNNNNUAACUGGAUCACGUCAUUAGGAGAAUCACGUGAUGGACUAGACCCAAACUAAUAGACGUAGCAUGGUGAUCGUGUCAUUUUGUUGCUACUGUUUUCUGCGUGUCAAGUAUUUAAUCCUAUGACCAUGAGAUCAUAUAACUCACUGACACCGGAGGAAUGCUUUGUGUGUAUCAAAAGUCGCAACGUAACUGGGUGACUAUAAAGAUGCUCUACAGGUAUCUCCGAAGGUGUUAGUUGAGUUAGUAUGGAUCAAGACUGGGAUUUGUCACUCCGUGUGAACGGAGAGAUAUCUCGGGGCCCACUCGGUAAUACAACAUCACACACAAGCCUUGCAAGCAAUGUAACUUAGUGUAAGUUGCGGGAUCUUGUAUUACGGAACGAGUAAAGAGACUUGCCAGUAAACGAGAUUGAAAUAGGUAUACGGAUACUGACGAUCGAAUCUCGGGCAAGUAACAUACCGAAGGACAAAGGGAAUGACAUACGGGAUUAUAUGAAUCCUUGGCACUGAGGUUCAAACGAUAAGAUCUUCGUAGAAUAUGUAGGAUCCAAUAUGGGCAUCCAGGUCCCGCUAUUGGGUAUUGACCGAGGAGUCUCUCGGGUCAUGUCUACAUAGUUCUCGAACCCGCAGGGUCUGCACACUUAGGGUUCGACGUUGUUUUAUGCGUAUUAGAGUUAUAUGGUUGGUUACCGAAUGUUGUUCGGAGUCUCGGAUGAGAUCACGGACGUCACGAGGGUUUCCAGAAUGGUCCGGAAACGAAGAUUGAUAUAUAGGAUGACCUCAUUUGAUUACCGGAAGUUUUCGGAGUUACCGGGAAUGACGAAUGGGUUCCGAGAGUUCACCGGGGGGGCAACCCACCCCGGGGAAGCCCAUAGGCCUUGAGGGUGGCACACCAGCCCUUAGUGGGCUGGUGGGACAGCCCAAAAGGCUCUAUGCGCCAAGGAGAAGAAAAUCAAGAGAGUAAGAAAAAAAAAGGGAGGAGGUGGGAAGGAAGGGGGACUCCCUCCCACCAAACCUAGUCCAACUCGGUUUGGGGGGGGGGAGAGUCCUCCCCCUUGGACUCGGCCGACCCCCUUGGGGCUCCUUGAGCCCCAAGGCAAGGUCCCCUCCCUCCCACCUAUAUAUACGGAGGUUUUAGGGCUGAUUUGAGACGACUUUUCCACGGCAGCCCGACCANNNNNNNNNNNNNNNNNNNNNNNNNNNNNNNNNNNNNNNNNNNNNNNNNNNNNNNNNNNNNNNNNNNNNNNNNNNNNNNNNNNNNNNNNNNNNNNNNNNNACCUCGAUCACCACACACUGCAAAGUUAAGAUGUGGCACGAUGAGGCAUCAAGGUGUUCCAUGCCAGGGCACCGAGCUGCUCGAUGCUUGUGCUGUCGGGAGAGUAUCAGGCGAUACCACUUCCCAAAUGCUCCCAUGACACCAUUUAAAAAUAGUAAUUUUAAUUAUUUUAAAAAUUUCUGAAAACAAUUAUGGAUGUUCAAAUUCAGAUCCAAAUUCUAAAUACACAUUGAGAAACUGAAAAGAGAAAUUCGGGCAUGAACAGUGACAUUUUGACUUUUGUCUUUUUUGAUACUAUUUAUGCUGGAUUUGUCUUUAUUGUUUCUCAAUGUAUAUUUUGAAUUUGGAUCUGAAUUUUUUAGGGUUGUACAUUCAUGUGAUGUGAACAUCCAAAAAUGUUUUCAGAUUUUUUUUGAGUAAUUUGAAAUUAAAUUUUGCAAAAUGAUAUAUGGUAUCACCUAAGGGUGGUAUCAUGGGAUAUUUCCCUUGGGCUGUCAAGAUCGUUGGUGCUACAGGCACGCCCUACUGCUUUGAAUCGGUAUGCUGAUGUGGUAACGAUGGACCAUUGCUGGGAGGUAAGGACUAAUAAUUGCGUUGUUGCAUGUGCAACGACCAACGGUGCAACACUGCGGUCACCCCUAAUGCUAGGUUACUUCGCGGCCAGUUUUUUUGAUCGAUUCUCUCAUAAUCGUCCCCUUCUUAGCUUCUUCCAUAACUGUUAUUUCAUUUUUUACAAUCCAAGCUAAUUAGACCUUAACUAAAUAGAAUUUUAAAAAACAUACGAAGUGACAAUUUUGAAGAAGCUAGGGACGGGAACGAUUAUGAAAGAAUCGGCCAAAAGAACUGGCCCUUACCCAGAAAACCCGGACCCAACUACAAUGCAUCCCUUUUAUUGAAAAAUACCAAAUUAUUGGGCAAAGAAAUUCAAUAGAUUGGAGAGAAUUACGAAGCUAUGAUGAUCAUGCAGAUAAUAAUCAUAAAACUGAGAGAAGACUCAAAUAUUUUUCAUGAAUAAUCUGAACAUAAACUCACAAUUCAUCGAAUCCCAACAAACGCACCAUACAAAAAAAAAUACAUCGAAUAGAUCAAAGCGAAAAUGCGAUGAUCAUUGUAUUGAAGAUCAAGAGAGAGAGAUAUAACCAUCUAUAUUAACUACGGACCCGUAGGUGUGUGGUGAAUGUUGGGGAACGUCGCAUGGGAAACAAAAAAUUUCCUACGCGCACGAAGACCUAUCAUGGUGAUGUCCAUCUACGAGAGGGGAUGAGUGAUCAACGUACCCUUGUAGAUCACACAGCAGAAGAGUUAGUGAACGCGGUUGAUGUAGUGGAACGUCCUCACGUCCCUCGAUCCGCCCCNNNNNNNNNNUAGCUCAUGAUGCCACUGUUGGGGAACGUCGCAUGGGAAACAAAAAUUUUCCUACGCGCACGAAGACCUAUCAUGGUGAUGUCCAUCUACGAGAGGGGAUGAGUGAUCAACGUACCCUUGUAGACCGUACAACAGAAGCGUUAGAGAACGCGGUUGAUGUAGUGGAACGUCCUCACGUCCCUCGAUCCGCCCCGCGAACAAUCCCGCGAUCAGUCCCACGAUCUAGUACCGAACGGACGGCACCUCCGCGUUCAGCACACGUACAACUCGACGAUGAUCUCGGCCUUCUUGAUCCAGCAAGAGAGUCAGAGAGGUAGAAGAGUUCUCCGGCAGCGUGACGGCGCUCCGGAGGUUGGUGAUGACCUUGUCUCAGCAGGGNNNNNNNNNNGCUCGACGAUGAUCUCGGCCUUCUUGAUCUAGCAAGAGAGACGGAGAGGUAGAAUAGUUCUCCGACAGCGUGACGGCGCUCCGGAGGUUGGUGAUGACCUUGUCUCAGCAGGGCUCCGCCCGAGCUCCGUAGAAACGCGAUCUAGAGGAAAAACCGUGGAGGUAUGUGGUCGGGCUGCCGUGGAAAAGUCGUCUCAAAUCAGCCCUAAAACCUCUGUAUAUAUAGGUGGGAGGGAGGGGAGGAGGCAGCCUCAAAACCUAAAUGUUUGGCCGAAAUUGGAGGUGGAGGAGUCCUACUCCAAUCCUACUUGGAGUAGGAUUCCACCUUCCUACUUGGAAACUCUUUCCACCUUGUGUUUUUUCCUUCUCAAACCUUAUGGGCCUUAGUGGGAACUUAUUCCAGCCCACUAGGGGCUGGUUUAUCUCUUCCCAUAGCCCAUGAGACCCCUUGGGGCGUGACACCCCUCCCGAUGGUCCCCGGCACCCCUCCCGGCACUCCCGGUACACUACCGAUGAUCCCGAAACUUUUCCGGUAAUGCACGAAAACCUUCCGGUAACCAAAUGAGGUCAUCCUAUAUAUCAAUCUUCGUUUCCGGACUAUUCCGGAAACCCUCUUGACGUCCGUGAUCUCAUCCGGGACUCCGAACAACAUUCGGUAACCAACCAUAUAACUCAAAUACGCAUAAAACAACGUCGAACCUUAAGUGUGCAGACCCUGCGGGUUCGAGAACUAUGUANNNNNNNNNNNNNNNNNNNNNNNNNNNNNNNNNNNNNNNNNNNNNNNNNNNNNNNNNNNNNNNNNNNNNNNNNNNNNNNNNNNNNNNNNNNNNNNNNNNNNNNNNNNNNNNNNNNNNNNNNNNNNNNNNNNNNNNNNNNNNNNNNNNNNNNNNNNNNNNNNNNNNNNNNNNNNNNNNNNNNNNNNNNNNGCAUUCCCUUUGUCUUUCGGUAUGUUACUUGCCCGAGAUUCGAUCGUUAGUAUCCGCAUACCUAUUUCAAUCUCGUUUACCGGCAAGUCUCUUUACUCGUUCCGUAAUACAAGAUCCCGCAACUUACAUUAAUUUACAUUGCUUGCAAGGCUUGUGUGUGAUGUUGUAUUACCGAGUGGGCCCCGAGAUACCUCUCCGUCACACGGAGUGACAAAUCCCAGUCUCGAUCUAUACUAACUCAACGAACACCUUCGGAGAUACCUGUAGAGCAUCUUUAUAGUCACCCAGUUACGUUGCGACGUUUGAUACACACAAAGCAUUCCUCCGGUGUCCGUGAGUUAUAUGAUCUCAUGGUCAUAGGAACAAAUACUUGACACGCAGAAAACAGUAGCAACAAAAUGACACGAUCAACAUGCUACGUCUAUUAGUUUGGGUCUAGUCCANNNNNNNNNNNNNNNNNNNNNNNNNNNNNNNNNNNNNNNNNNNNNNNNNNNNNNNNNNNNNNNNNNNNNNNNNNNNNNNNNNNNNNNNNNNNNNNNNNNNAUAUAUAUAUAUAUAUAUAUAUAUAUAUAUUUGACAGCACAUUUAUAUAAUUCACCACACAUAUAUGAUAUAUAGUUCACCACACAUAUACUUGCCAACACAUAUAUAUAAUUCACCACACAUAUAUGAUUCACCAAUGUACAUCCCCAUAUAUCCAAAGAACCAACAUACCAUGUAUUGCACUGUUUAUCCAUAUAUACAUAUACAUAUAGUUCGACAUUGUUCAUCAACUCAAAUGAAAACUAGAUGAUAUACAUAUAAAGUUCAUCCAUCGACAUUGUUCAACUCCAUGAAUGCCAGCUUCCAUGCAUGUAGUAUAUCCAAUCUGCAAAAAUGUGAAUAAGAAAGUUAGAAGAAGAACAAAAUAUGAUGUUUUUCAGCUAAUUAUGUCAUUUUUAGCGGAAAACAAGCUAAGUAUAUAUGUGGUGAACAAUAUAUCAUUUGUUGGAGCUAAAUUACCUAAUUAUGUCUUUUUUGAGCUAAAUGGGCUAAUUAUCUCGUUUUAGAGGAAAACAAGCUAAGUAUAUAAUAUUCAUAAGCUAACCAAGGUUCUUAUGCCAUUUUGAGGUUAUUAUGGUAUUUUGGAGCUAAAUGGGCCAAUUAUGUCAUUGUUGGGUUAAUAAAAGCAAGGAUAAUAUGAAAGAGGAGAAGAAAGAGGAGGAGGAGGAGAAGACGAAGAAAUGAAGAAGAAGGAGGAGAAGGAGGAGAAGGAGGAGGAGGAGAAGGACUAGAAGGUCCUUGGCCUUCUCCUCCUCCUCCUCCUUCUUCUCUUCUUCUUCUUCUUCUCUUCUUCUUCUUCUUCUUUCUUUUCAUUUUGCCUAUUUCUUCUCCUCUUGUUGGAGCUAAAUUACCUAAUUAUGUCUUUUUUGAGCUAAAUGGGCUAAUUAUCUCGUUUUAGAGGAAAACAAGCUAAGUAUAUAAUAUUAAUGAGCUAACCAAGGUUCUUAUGCCAUUUUGAGCUUAUUAUGGUAUUUUGGAGCUAAAUGGGCUAAUUAUGUCAUUGUUGGGUUAAUUAAAGCAAGGAUAAUAUGAAAGAGGAGAAGAAAGAGGAGGAGGAGGAGAAGAAGAAGAAGAAAUCAAGAAGAAGGAGGAGAAGGAGGAGAAGGAGGAGGAGGAGAAGUACUAGAAGGUCCUUGGCCUUCUCCUCCUCGUCCUCCUCGUCCUCCUCGUCCUCCUCCUCCUUCUCCUUCUUCUCUUCUUCUUCUUCUCUUCUUCUUCUUAUUCUUUCUUUUCAUUUUGCCUAUUUCUUCUCCUCUUCUCCUCUUGUUGNNNNNNNNNNGAGGAGGAGAAGAAAAAGAAAUCAAGAAGAAGGAGGAGGAGAGGAGAAGGAGGAGGAGGAGAAGGAUAGAAGGUCCUUGGCCUUCUCCUCCUCCUCCUCCUCCUCCUUCUCCUUCUUCUCUUCUUCUUCUUCUUCUUCUUUCUUUUCAUUUUGCCUAUUUCUUCUCCUCUUNNNNNNNNNNNNNNNNNNNNNNNNNNNNNNNNNNNNNNNNNNNNNNNNNNNNNNNNNNNNNNNNNNNNNNNNNNNNNNNNNNNNNNNNNNNNNNNNNNNNGCGAUCCGCUUUUCUCACCCCCGUGCCCCCACCGCCCCGUCACGCGCCAACGUGUGCCGCCUCCCGCCACCGGAUGCCCCGGACCGCCCCGCAGCCGCUUGCCAGCCACCUCCAUAGUACUUGGCAACAAACCUAUACAUUCCCGAGCUGGCACACUCUCCAGCUCGCUCCUCGCCUCCUCCUCCUCCUCCUCCCCUGCUUCUGCUUCAGAGGGACACGACAACAACACGAGCCUAGAGCAGAGCAAGAGCCGAGAGCCACCCUCAGCGAAGAGGAGAGGUGUGCUUGGAUUGCCGCUCCAUUGCUGAAUAAUAUAUACUCUGCUAGUGGUAGUUUUUUAUUGAUUUUAGCCGGGAGGGGAUAAAAGAUGUCGUCGCUGGUGUCCGCGCCGUUCGCCACGGCCACCGGGGCGCAGAAGAAGGCGCNNNNNNNNNNNNNNNNNNNNNNNNNNNNNNNNNNNNNNNNNNNNNNNNNNNNNNNNNNNNNNNNNNNNNNNNNNNNNNNNNNNNNNNNNNNNNNNNNNNNNNNNNNNNNNNNNCGCGCCGCUGCACUCCUUCCUGCUCACCGGCCGGCGGGGGCGGCGCGCGACGAUACGGUGCGCCGUGGCCGGGAACGGGCUGUUCACGCAGACCAACCCGGACGUGCGCCGCGUGGUUCCCGCCGAGCGCGGCCUGCCGCGGGUCAAGGUGGUCUACGUCGUGCUGGAGGCGCAGUACCAGUCCUCCGUCACCGCCGCCGUGAUGCAGCUCAACGCCGACCCGCGCCGCGCCGCCGAGUUCGAGGUGGUGGGCUACCUGGUGGAGGAGCUGCGGGACGCGGACACGUACGCCGCCUUCUGCNNNN
RNAcentral lists this long non-coding RNA (117891 nucleotides) under Hordeum vulgare. RNAcentral's name for it is "long non-coding RNA (HVUL_LNC003030)". The record is from RNAcentral. Lineage: Eukaryota; Viridiplantae; Streptophyta; Magnoliopsida; Poales; Poaceae.